RNAcentral lists this long non-coding RNA (127807 nucleotides) under Eucalyptus grandis. RNAcentral's name for it is "long non-coding RNA (EGRA_LNC000022)". The record is from RNAcentral. Lineage: Eukaryota; Viridiplantae; Streptophyta; Magnoliopsida; Myrtales; Myrtaceae.
ACAACACUCCAUAUGGGCUUGCGAACCAAGCAAGUACAGCCAUUUUACGAGACAUUUCCCAGAACCAACAUCACAUUGGCCUAACGCUAGCAGUCCUCUGUCGCAUAGUGAUAACCCCUUGGCGAAGCGCUUCUUGGAACAGGACUGGGUUUCAGGGACUUCGCCUCCGCAUGAGCCUGGAUGGCCCUGAACAUCACGGACGCCUUCUCUCUCAUGGCCCCGAUCAUCUCCUCCUCCGUGAUAUCCCCUUGGCCGACGGUGAAGCACCUGCCCGCGUACUUACAGACCGAGCCACCCUCCAGGGGCAACGCAACGAUCUUCACCUCAUGGCUGGUUUCCUUGGAGAUUCUGCCCUGCUCAUCACGAUCGACGGUCGAGUGGUUGUAGACGAAGGGCUCCUGGUCCGGCGCUUUAACCGUGUGCCUCACCGUCCUGCCCUGUCUGCCUAUAAAUGUAACCAAAGUGACAUUUGCGCUAAUCUGUUGUAUGAGUUUAUUCGUACCGAGGGUUCGGAUUCCUCUCUUUCCAUUUUUCCUUAAUGACUCGUUAUUUUAUUUAUAUUUAUUUUCAAAACUUUUCUUUGUUUUUUGUUUUUUGUUUUUUGUUUAUUAUUUAUUUCAUAUAGUAAAUAAGGAUGUACAAUAGAUAAAAUCCUAAGUAAGUUAAUUGAAAAAUUUUGCAAGAAAAAAGAAAAGCCUUUUUAUUUUUUGUGUCUAGGAUUACCUCCUGGAUCACUGGAUAGGAAUUCAAAAAUGAAAGAGUGUAAACAAAGAGCUUGAAAAUAAACAUUACACAAUCUCCACUCUCUCUUUUUUUUCAACAUCAUGAGCACCAAUCUUAGUGUUGUUGAUCAGGGCAUCUAGGGAACCACGCCCAAUUAUAAUCGUAAAGCAAUAUGAUUCAUAUGUGAUUUUAAUUGUAAGGAACAUUUCAAUUGACCCAGUACCUUCGACAGAGAUCGUCUCCUGGAUGUCGGCAUUUUUUAUGGCUGGUAGGAGGGUGUGGGGGAAGAAGCCCUUGGCUUCGAGAAAAGCCUCAACCAACCUAGCCUUAGGGAUCGGGUGCGUGAUCUCGGCCUUGAGAGUAACUUCUACCAUCGAUUGAAUCCGAAUAGAAUUUGCUGAACUGAAAAGGGUAUAAAAAUCUCAAAAGAAAGAAAGAAAGGAAUGAGUAGAAGGAACUUUGAAUUGAGGUGAAGUAAAAGGUCAAUAUAUAUAGUGAUAAGAAAAGGGAUAAUUAUACAAAUGAUCCCAAAACUUUGAUUCAAUGUGUAACGUGGUCCCUAAACUUUUAAUUUAUUCAAUGUGAUCCUUGGAGUUUUGAUAAAUAUUUAAAAUAGUCCAUGAACUGUUUGAAAAUGUUUAAUGUAGUCAUUCAUUAAUUCAAGAUCAGAGACACCGUUUAAUAUAUUCAUAUAAUUCAGGGACUAAUUGAACAUGUACCAAAAGUCCAAAAAUCUCAUUGCACAUUGGGUUAAAGUUCAUAAAUCAUUCAUGUCAUUUUUCAGUAUGGACAUCGACCUUCCAAAAAUUCGCCAUGGAGUAACUUCCGCUUAAUUGCAUGUAGUAGAAAAGCAAAUUAUUUGUUUUCCUUGAAAGCAUCUCUCCUCCCAUAAAAAGUUGAACCCCUCAAAACCCAAUAAAUUACCCAUACGACAGAUGAUUAACUUUAGGAUUGAAUUUAAUUUAAUUAUCUCCCUUCUUUUGCUAAAACAACAUAAAGCUUAUGCAACCCAUUUUUUUUUUUUUUAAAUUGAGGCAAGCUUUGGUCAUUUUCCUUGAAAGCAGCUCUCCUUUGUUCAGCCUCUAACCCUUUGCCAGAAAAUAUUGACUGGUCUGCACGUUAUUGUCAUGAUAUUAUCUUGCUCCUAGUUUUGUCUGGUCAUCAAAAGCAAAUUGACAACUAUGAUGGGUCUCUUGUUUCUGAUCGGGAAUUAUCCCAAGACAAAUCCCUUCUCCUCGGCCAAAAGAUUAAUUAACCAGUUGCAUGAAAUGAUUCCAUGAGUUUAUUGCAAUGUAAGCAUCUAUAUGUCAGCUUCCUGAGGUAAGCAAGAGCUUACUCCAUGCUUUUCUUGAUCAAAGGUUAGCCUAUCUCUUGUGUCUUAUUCAAGUGCUUUUCUUAGAAUAGGAGUUUUGUUUAUUCAAGUUUAGAAUCACUGUGGUUGAGUGUCUUUUCUAUUCGAAUUGUUGACCAUCUCAUCAGAAAGUUAUUCCACAAGUCUGAAUUUAGAACCACAAAAUUGGACCCCACAAGGCAAGUUAGGAUAAAUUUCUACAGUUUCAUGAAUACAUUAUUUUCUAUGUACUUCCGUUGAAUGCUAAAAUCAAUGUAAGUGACGAGGGUAAUUGGGUUUGUGUCAUAACAUAUACAUUUCUCGUAAAUGUCUAAUAUUGUUGUAAUAUUAAUGCGGAAACGAUAGGAUCUCGCAAAUGAAGUCAAUGCGAAAAAAUCAAGGAAAUAAGGGAGGAAUAAUAGAUCACCAGAGAUUUAUGUGAUUUGGUCCGAAUAUCGAUACUUACGUGUACGGAGAGAGCUAGUAGCAAAUAAUACACUACAAUCAAAAAAUCAAAUUUACAAUCGCUCACACGCUCCAGUAUUUCUCACACCUAGAUUUAAGUCCAAAUCUAAAAUAUUUGCAAAUAAAUACUUAAUUAGACGUAAACUCACGACAAUAAAUUACUGUAUAUUCACGUCCGUGCGGCGGAGAGACAACUCCUUCGUGCGUCCAAGAAGUCCUCUGAUCGGCUUCUUGAAUUUUCUCUGUGCAGCGUCUAUACCACCCACGAAAACCCCCUGGCGGCUAUUUCUUGCGCGGCUCUUUUUCGCUCAUGUAAAAUCCUUAAUUUUAUUUUAUUUUAUUUCAUUUUGUGCAGCUACAAGGAGUCCAAUGAAUUUCUCCUUUUUUGACCGACCAAUCACAGGAUCAGGAUUUGAAGAAGACGUCCACUGUACGGACCUAAAGCGGAUUUCCUUUCUUGUGCUAUUUUAAAAAGAUGUCUUCUCCAUUAAAUAUGAAUAACUUAUCCAAAUGGUUAAAAUAUGAAAAAACUUAUCCAAGCAGGUUGUGUUUAGCAAGCCCUUAAACUUGAGACAUAAUUUAACAAAUACGAUGAAAUUAUUUCCAAAUGCACACACUUCUAAGUUAGAGAUCUAAAAAAGAAAAAUGGAUGUUACUAAUGCAAACUAUGUUCAUAAAUAUAUUAUAUCGCUGUUAUACACGUCAAUUUCAUUGAAUUGUAAAGUAGUACGAGGGAAAUGGGUAAUUAUGGCUAGAGAUUUGAAGAGUUCUGUAAUCUUUGGUUCUAGGAAAAAUCCUAUCUAUCUUUUCUCUAGGUGUAGGUUGCAUGAACAAUGGCCUGGAAGAAUUGCAUUUGUUUCUUUUUUGCUUCAUCUAAAUUGUUUUACUUCUCAUACUCUCUAUAGAAACCACUGGGGUUUGCCCCUAUGGCCAUCCUUCCAACAUAGAAGGAGGAGCUGGGGGUUGGAGUGGGGACAAUUUAGUUUCAAGUAUGGGUUUUGACUCCCAUCCCUUGUAAGGAAGCAAUGCAAAAGUUUGAGAGUGAGAAUUAAUGUAGGAAUAAAGUAUGGCUGACAAAAAAAAAAACUUAUCUAUAGAGCUUCACCUUAUUUAUUGUUCUUGGGUUAUGGUUGCCUGAUGGUAUGAUUUAUAUAAUUAUUGUUUCAUUUGCAGACUGCAAAAGCUAGUGGGACGGCCAUUCAAUCGUUACUGCAGUUAGUUGGUCGGCUGCAGCUUGUUGUCACUCAGGUUUAGUCCCUUUAUAUCUUUGCUUCGGAUAAUCUUUUGGCUUGAGAGUCUCUAGUUUUGGUAAACGUCGUCUUACAACAGAUUGACAAGGCCACGCGUGAUCAAACUAGAGAUUCUCUUCACCAGUGUCGAGCUGAUGAAAGUGAUGAUGAGGAUGAAGACAUUGAUCAUGUCUUUUACGGGGAUGAGGUUGAAUUUGGACAAACUACCGAUGAUACAGAUGUUGAGUAGAAGCUCUAAAUCUUAAGAGGUAGUCAUUCUUGCUGGUGUUGAAUUUGACUUGCCGCGUUGAAUCUUCAUAAACUUAGGAUUGUUGGGAUAAUUAGUGGGUAAAGAACAGGUGAAGUGAAAGACUGUAAGACUUUUUCUUUGAUUACAUUUUCAGGUUAAAGUAUUAUGUUCCACCGCGAGAACUGAAUUCCAAAAAGCAUCUUAUAUAUGGACCAUCUUGCUGUUUCGAUUAAGAACCAGUUGAACAGGAACAGCUCUAGGUUAUAUACGCAAUUUACUGGAAGUUUUACUGCUGAUCAUGAUAAAGAGUUUCCAUGUGCUAAUUGUGGCUUUAAAUUUUCCAUACUCACUGCGGGUAGCAUUUUUCCUCUAAACAUUCAGUUUGAGUUGGAUUUGUUUUCACUGCUUUGUAGUGUGAAACUUGCUCAUGACGUAGAUGCUCGCUUGGGGCAACUCACUGGUCAAGUUGCAGCUGCCCCGGGAGAAAUUCAUACGUAUGCUGCCAAUUUCACGCCCUUCACAAAUUUUCUGAUCCCAACCGCGUGUGCUGGUCUCAGGCAAUCACCACGACGACAGAGACCACCACAGACUGGCCGUCGCAGUAGUGGUUAUUGCCUUAUAGUGGACUAUGGCAUCUCUAUUUAUACUUUCGUGAAAAUUAUUUCUUCAAUUAUUCAAUCAUAUCAUCCGUUUAUCAGACAAUCUAUUGACUGUUUAUCUGUAUCUGUCCUUGUAUCUGGUGCUUUCUCGUACAAGGAAUGUCACAUCCCGAGCCCCGAGCGCGUGCCCAUCCUUAUCUGGUCGAUAAUAAUUUGUGACUUCCCAGGACGAGUCGCCGACCCUUUCCAUUUAUUGCACAUGCGGAAGCGAAAAGAAAUCCUCUGACAUUAAUCAUCUCGGGAUAGAAAAGCAGGACAAUAGAUUCACAAACAAACAUGCUUUUAUAUUUACACUGAGUCAUGUACACAGGUCUAUGGCCAAAGACUACAAAAGACUAGCCUUCCAAAAAGAAGCGGUCCUAACUGACCUACGCUUCCAAUCACCUCCUCUCAGCUCCAGGUCCUCCACUCGACGACUCUGAAAAUGUUGUCCCACAACGGGUGAGAUAUCAUCUCAGCGAGUCUAAGCUCUAAACCCCAAUUAGGAGGGAAAUACGCCCAGAAGUGUCCUAAUCACACGAGCACACGAUCAAGGAGACUUACCUCGUCUCAGAUCCACCCUGCAGGUCAGUAUAAUUCAAAUACUCAAUUAAACAAUUCAAUUCAAAUUCACCAUCAAUCAGUCGAUUCAUUCGACUCCAUGCCAUCAAUGUCAACCAUAUAUUAUGUCGAUUCGAACACUGCUCGCCUAAGCUGAAAUAGAUAUACUCAUAUAUCAUUGCUCCCCAAAGCUGAUAUCUAAAAUUUGCUCACUGAAGCUGCUAGAUCAAAUAGUGCUCACUGAAGCUGCUAAAUAACAAGUGCUCGCCGAAGCUGAUGUCUAAAGUGCUCACCGAAGCUGCUAAAGCAUUAUUGCUUGCCAUUGCUCACCGAAGCUGCUAGAGAUCUAUAAUGACGUUAACGCUCACUGAAGCUGUUAUAGAUCUAUAUUGCUCACCUAAGCUAAUUUGAUACUCAAAGACCACUUUUGGUGUCAACACCCGACACCCGGCAUUUUCCAAUUAAAAUACCAAUAUAUCACAAUCAUCACUCAAUUCAACAAUACAUCAUUCAAUUGUAGAAACUAAACACAUCGCCACGAUCAGCUUGAAAUUCUAUCGAGCGGCUCUCCCGAUAUAAUUUCCAAAAAAAUAAUUAAUAAUUAAAUAAUUACUGAAAUUAAUUAAAUAAAUCAAUUUAAAUUCUAACAAUACUAACCUAGGCUGGAAUCAUUAAAUUAAUAACCAAUACGGACUCGGAGAAAUUCCCGAACCCUUCUAGAUAAAUAAUACAAUUUAUUUAGGCCUUAGCUAAACCAUGCUAACCACCUAACAUGCUCAAUUUAAAUAAUUAAUUUCUAAUUUAAUCUAACUAACCACCUAAUUCUUAAUAAAAUAAAUCUAAACACCCCUUAAAUGUCAUUAAUCUACUAAGCAGAGUUUAGAGUAUAAACUCACCGGUUAAUUGAGGAAGCCGGUUCACCGUGACGACGACGUGACGGUGGCUGAAAUCUUAAUUUUCGGCGGUGUCGGCGAACUUGGACCGGGCCUAGGACCGGCCCAACACAACUCAGCAAGGCUGAGUUUAGGUAUUGGGCCUCUGCAGGCUGCUGGUUGCAGGCUUGGGCCUUCUUCUCGGGCCCAAAAUGGCUGAACUUCAAAUGGGCUAGAACUAACUGAACUUGGGCCUAAGCUUGGGCUUCAAAAUCUGUUGGAGAUUGGCUGAAAAUCACUGGGCUGAAGACACUUGCUGGACUGGAAUCGAGUUGGACCAAAGGCUCAAAUUGUGGGCUGCAAUUGGGCUCGUGGGCUGAAGCUUGCAGAUUUGGGCCGCUGAAAAUCGAACUGGCUUGCUGGGCUGAUCCACGAGCGCAGGAAAUGGACGCUGGAGAAGACCACACGGACAGCUUGCUGGCGAAGAGGAAAGAAGCGGAGCAGCAGGCGUCGACGUGGGAGCUACUGCAGGGGUCUUCGAUGCUGGGGGUUUGACCGAGGUUUCGGUGGUUACAAACGGUGAAGGGUUCGGCUUUGAGGGCUGAAGGAUGAACGGCAAGUAGCAGUUGUAGGGGGGAAAGAUCGCUGAAGCAGGUUCGGCCUUCACUUCGGUCGUUGGUGCUGAGUCGCGGACGAAGGAAAAUGAGAGAUCUUCGAACGUGGCUGCUUCGAGCGGUUGGCAGACGUAGCGAGAGAGAUGGGACCAGCUGGCGUUGCGGAUGCGGGAGACGCGCGGCCAAGAGUCAACAGAACAACUUGGCUGAGGAACUUUGACACAUGGAGAUCAGGUGUUGGACGUGUGGCUCUGCAACAGGGGAAUUGGUGGCUUCAAUGGACGCAUGGGCUUGAGAGAAAUGCAUGGAGAGAGAGAGAACUCGGUGGAUGGUGAUAUUGAUGAUGAAAGAUGAUGAUGAUGGCAUGGGUUGAAGGAUAUGCGACCAAAAGCAAUUUCGGUGGGGGAUUGCCGUUGCAGAGAGGGAGACCGAAAUGAAGAAGCUCAAAAAUGAAAAUGAAAGUGAAGCGGAAGACCAGGUUGUCGCACAAAGGGAGGAGGAGGAGAGAGAAAACCAAGCUUAAUUAGCCAAGGCCAAAAUAUCUAAUAUCCAUCAUGAUUUUGGUCCAAAAAGUCUUCAUGAAUAUCCCUUUGUCCCCAUGUUUAUUAUUUGCUAUUUAAUCAUCAAAUAAUUCACUUUUGAUAUCCAAAAAUCCAACCUCUUCCCAAGCUCCGAAUUUAAUCAAAUUGAACUUUAAUUCAUCACUCAAUUUCCCAAAUUGAAGUCCAAUUUCGCGGUAGAAAAAAUCUCAAAUAAUUUUCUAUAAUUCCCCAAUAUCAUACAGCUCGGCUUGGAAGUCCAAAUUUCCUUUAAUUUGGCCGAUCCAAAUUUCCUCUAAUUUUCCACGGCAUUCGAUUCGAUUUUCCGUAAAAAUCUCGAAAUCUCUAAAAAUUUCUCAGAGGAUGAGUCAACGUUCCUAAAACAGCUUGUGACACCUCAGAACUUUCAAAUUAUGAAAUCGGGUUCAAAUUCGCGAUUAUUUUCAAUCCGGCGCACUUUUAGCGUGACCUAGUCUAUUGGAUAACUUUUAGGAAUUUUUGAUGCAAUUGACCCGUGAUCGAUUUAUAUCAAGUCACAAUGUACAUCUCCGACACAUUGGCGACUCUCGAUUGUCGUGAAAAUCUCGAGGUUUCAAUUACGGGCACUGGGUACCAAAACGACAGAAAAUCAAUUUAGUGCCAAUCGAUGAGAAUUUUUCAAUCAAGUGGAAUCAUCCACAAUUUGAUCACAUAUCUCAGUCAAAUCGACCUAUCUCUGAUGUCUGAUCGAUCUCUGACGAUGCUGUAAUGACCCUUGCAGAUCAACACGGUCGAGUAGUCGAUUCUUGAUCGAAUUCUCAAGUCCAAUUGCAUUUAGAUUUCCUAAUUGCUUGCCCAAAUAAUCCAGUUAUCUCGUGAGUGAUCAGCUCAGAGAAUAGCACUAUUAGCGUUUCGAUGAAAUGCCCGAUUUAUUUAAUCGAAAACAAAUUAUGAAAAUUCAGGCUGUCACAAGGAAUGUGAUAUGAAAAAUCGGCAGGACUUCUUGUUUGAUCUUAACGUAUGCUUUUUGACUUUUAUUUCUUGGUGACCGAAUGCCACAUAAGAGUAGAACAUGACAUUUUACCUUCAACGAGUUGACAGAAUACAUGUCGCAAUCUUUAGCUAUAAUUCCAAAAUAUGAGACCCGGAAACUUUAGGUGACCAUCUCACUGACGUGGGAUGCUUUAGAUGUCCUCAUUUGCAUUGCACUGGCAACCUGAAAACCGUUUUGGCAUUUUGACAUCAUCUGCUUUUUGCUGGAUGUAAUUAUCGAAGGUUGUAAAGCCAAUUAUUGUGCAAAGCGAAGUCAGCUAAAGCCAAGAGGUCGCUCUUGAGACAUCUGACAAUAUUAAAAUGAUACGGUAGUUUUACAGAGAAAACAUGGAAUAUGGCGAUGGAAUUCCGAGUUCGUUCUGGUAAGAGAAACAACGAAAGGCAAGAGGAGUUCAAAAGGAGAAGCGAAAAUGGUUGCUGUAUUUGGUUUUAAAUUAUUCAUUCGAUUUUGCAGGGUUUCGAUAUGUCCCGAUCCAAAUUCAGCUGUAUGUAUUAUGAAACUCGAAGGGGAGCACACGCAACUAUUGAGACCAAAAUAAAAAUAGAAAGAAAGAAAGAAAACCGGGCCGUACUCGAAAAUCACUCAAUCGAGGACCACAUCGGACGAUGGUUUAUUCCAACAACACUUCCUAUGAGCUUUGCAAACGAAGCAAGUACAGCAAUUUUACGAAACAUUUCCCGGAGCCAUCAUAUUCGCGGAAAAGACGAGACCAACACACUCCCUCGACGACAAGACAAGAUCAGCACUCGACUAGACCUUAUUCGAAGAGAACAUAUUUGACUAAGCUGCCGGAUCAACUUGGAUGGCCCUGAGCAUCAGGGACUUGGAUGGCCCUGAACAUCACGGACGCCUUCUCUCUCAUGGCCCUGAUCAUCUCCUCCUCCGUGAUAUCCCCUUGGCCGAUGGUGAAGUACCUGCCCGCGUACUUACAGACCGACCCACCCUCCAGGGGCAACGCAACGAUCUUCACCUCAUGGCUGAUUUCCUUGGAGAUUUUGCCCUGCUCAUCGCGAUGGAUGGUCGAGUGGUUGUAGAGGAAGGGCUCCUGGUCCGGCGCUUUAACCGUGUGCCUCACCAUCCUGCGCUGUCUGCCUAUAGAAGUAACCAAAGUUAUAUCCGCGCUAAUCCAUCGUACGAGUUUAUUGGUACUGAAGGUUUGAUAUCCCUCUUUUCUUUUCUUUUUCGUUUCCGUUAAUGACUAAUUAUUUUGUUUACAUUUAUUUUCAAUACCUUCCUUUGUUUUCGUUUUUCUUAUUUCAUAUAGUAAGUAAGGAUGUACAAUAGAUAAAAUUCUAAGUAAGAAUAUUGAAAAAUUACACAAGUACAAAGAAAAGGCCUUUUUAUUCUUCACGUCUAGGACUACGUGCUGGAUCAUUAGAUAGAAAUCCAAAGACGAAGAGAGUGUAAACAAAGAGCUUGAGAGUAAACAUUACACAAUUUUCAAUUUCUUUUUUUAUUUUUUUUCAACAUCAUGAGCAUUGAUCUUAGUGUUAUCAAUUGGGCCAUCAAGGGAUCAUGCCCAAUUAUAAUAUGAUUGAUAUGCGAUUUUAAUGGUAAGGAACAUUUCAAUUGAUCAAGUACCUCCGAUAGAGAUUGUCUCCUGGAUGUCAGCAUUCAUGACGGCUAGCAAGAGGAUGUGGGGGAAGAAACCCUUGGCUUCGAGGAAAGCCUCGGCCAACCUGGCCUUAGGGAUCGGUUGCGUGAUCUCGGCCUUGAGAGUAAUUGCUACCAUCGAUUGAAUCUGAAUAGAAUUUGAUGAAAUUGAAAAGGGAAUAAAAAUCUCGAAAGAAAGAAAGAAAGCGGUGAAGAGAAGGAGCUUUGAAUGGAGGCGAAGUAAAUGGUCGAUAUUUAUAGUGAUAAGAAAACAGAUAAUGAUACAAAUGAUCCCUGAACUUUGAUUUAAUGUGCAACGUGGUCUCUAAAUUUUUAAUUUGUUCAAUGUGGUACUUUGACUUUUAGUACAUGUUCAAUAUAGUCCAAGAACCGUUUGAAAAUGUUUAAUGUAGUCCUUCAUUAAUUCAAGAUUAGAGACACUGUUGAACAUUCUUCAUAUAAUUCAGGAAUUAAUUGAAUAUGUACCAAAAGUCCAAGGACCACAUUGCACAUUAAGUUAAAGUUCAGUAAUCAUUUGCAUCAUUUUCCCGUACGGUCCUUCCAUAAAUUUCACCAUAGAGUAACUUCCACUUAAUUGCAUGUAGUAGAAAAACAAAUUAUUUCAUUUUACUUGAAAGCAUCUCUCCUCCCAUGAAAAGCUAAACCCCCUCAAAACCCAAUAAAUUACCCAUACGACAUGUGAUUAACUUUAGGAUUGAAUUUGAUUUAAAUAUCUCCCUUCUUUAGCUAAAACAACAUAAAGAUUCUCCAACCCAAUUGUUUUUAAAAAUUUUGAGUUUUAACUGUCUUCAUGGACUCCAGAGAAGGAGGGAAGCUUUGGCCAUUUUCCUUAAAAACAUCUCUCCUUUGUUCAGCCUCUAAUCCUUUGCCAGGAAAUAUUGACUGGUCUGCAUGUUAUUGUUAUGAUAUUAUCUUGUUCCUAGUUUUAUCUGAUUAUCAAAAGCAAAUUGACAACUAUGAUGGGUCCCUUGUUUCUGAUCAGGAAUUAUCCCAAGACAAAUCCUUUUCUCCUAGGCCAAAAGGUCAAUUAAUCAGUUGCAUGAAAUGAUUCCAUGAGUAUAUUUCAAUGGAAGCAUCUUUAUGUCAGCUUCCUGAGGUAAGCAAGAGCUUACUCCAUGCUUUUCUUGAUCAAAGGUUAGCUUAUCUCUUGUUUCUUUUGUGACAUCCAGAUUUUCGGGUUUUAAUUUCGACUAGAUAAAUAGGGCCGUUUUCAUUCAGUUGAAGCUAGAGAUUAUGAAAUUAGGAUGCAAGUAUGCCACAGUGGUAAGGAAAAAUACCAAUUUGAUUGAUGAGGUGUUGAAUGAAUUAAUAUGGGUCAAUUUGAUUUAAUUCAAGUGGGAUUAAGAGUUAAUUGGAAGAGAAUUAAAUGAAAUUGAAGAAUUGGAUGUACAAGACUUUAUGCCCCGGCGGAAAACAAAAUUGAACCUAUUGGACUAAGGUUAUGGGAGAUUGGAGUUAGUGGAAGAUGACAUCACCUUAUGUCAUGGUGGUUGAAGCAAAGAGAUGAGAGCUUGACAAGUGGCAAGUGUUAAUUGGCUCUCAAAAAGUGGGGCUCUCCCAUCAAUCUUCUUCUUCUUCCUUGAGAACCGGAUGGGAGGGAAAGAGGGGGGAGGGAAAACCAGCGACCGACCGGCCUCCCCUUCGCUCGACGCACGCUUGCACGCCUCCGGAGCCGCCGCCGUUCGCCGCCGCCGUCGCAGCCGCGCCUAGCCGCUCGCUCCUCCGCCUCUCUCCCUCUACCCUUGCGUCAUUGAAGCCCUCUCUUCUCCAUCUUCGGUUGCUGCUCGUUCCCCAGCAGCAAGCCCAAGCAGCCAUGGCCGUCGCACGUCGCCAGCCGGAGCUCCUCGCCGUCGUAGCUCCCCGCCGUUCGACCGCUCGCCCGCUCGCCAGCUCGCGCCGCUGCCUCACCCGCGCCUGGCCAUCCCCGUCUGUCUCGGUUCGUGGGUUCCGGGAGCUGCCGAAGCUCGUCCUCGCCGCCGUGAGCCGCCGUGCGCCCCCGCCUCAGCUCGCCGGAAGUCCCUCGGCCCAUCUCGGCCCUUGUGCGCCUCAACCGGCGCCGAAUCCGCCCCCAACCAGCAGCCACCGGCGAGCAGGAAAAAUGGGUAUGACAGCCCCUUCAUGUCCCGUUUUGGCUGCCUUCCCGAGCCCGAAUGCUCAGCCCGCCUUGAGGAAAGUCGAUCCUCGCGUUGUCCUCGUCGUUUUGGUCCGCUCGGCUCGCUAAUCCGGUGAGUUUAACUCACUAAACCUUGAUUAGACGGUUAAUGAUGCCCUAAGUGAGCUUAGCCUAAGUUAAGUAAGCUUAGUGGGUUGAAUUAGUUUAAUUGGUUGAUGAUUAGAUUAUGGUGUUUAAUUAAGUUAAAGUGUGUUUAGUUUAAAGUUAAGUAUGUUUAUUGUUAAUAUAAAGCCUUGAUGUGACAUAAAAGGAUUUUAAUUUUGAAUUAGUUAAUUGCUUCGAAAUUCUGGAAAUUUAUAAUAUUAUAUUAUAUUCCGAAAUUAUUAAAAUAUUAUUAUAUAAAAAAAAACGGAAAAAUUAUUUUUGAUCCCGGUUGCUCAGAAUUUCGUGCCGAUCGCUGCUGUGUAGUUGGAUUUAGAAAUUGAUGAUUGGAUAUUAUAAAUCGAGUGUGGAUUGUGAAAGAUAUGGAUAUUAUUAUUUAAUUAAUUUUCGAAAUAAAUUUAAUUAUUAAAUAAAUUCCGAAAAUUAAGUUGAGACCCUAAAUUCUCAGAAUUUUGUGCCGAUCGCUGCUGUGUAUUCAGAUUAUGAAUUUGAUGGUUAGAUAUUACAAAUUGAGUGAUGAUUUGUGCAAUUGAUUAUUGAAUUGUUGUGUGCUGGUUGAAAGACUCGGGUCGCAGUAGUGGCUAGGCCGACUGGAUCCUUAUUCUGCUAGAAAUGCCGUCAAGAGAAUGACGUGGCUUGGUCGCAGUAGUGGCGAGACCGACUGGACCUUUAUUCUUCUAGAAAUGCUGUCGAUAGAACGACGUGGCAUGGUCGCAGUAGUGGCGAGACCGACUGGACCUUUAUUCUUCUAGAAAUGCUGUCGAUAGAACGACGUGGCAUGGUCGCAGUAGUGGCGAGACCGACUGGACCUUUAUUUUUCUAGAAAUGCUGUCGAUAGAACGACGUGGCAUGGUCGCAGUAGUGGCGAGACCGACUAGACCUUUAUUCUUCUAGAAAUGCUGUCGAUAGAACGACGUGGCAUGGUCACAGUAGUGGCGAGACCGACUGGACCUUUAUUUUUCUAGAAAUGCUGUCGAUAGAACGACGUGGCAUGGUCGCAGUAGUGGCGAGACCGACUGGACCUUUAUUCUUCUAGAAAUGCUGUCGAUAGAACGACGUGGCAUGGUCGCAGUAGUGGCGAGACCGACUGGACCUUUAUUCUUCUAGAAAUGAUGUCAAUAGAACGACGUGGCAUGGUCGCAGUAGUGGCGAGACCGACUGGGCCUUUAUUCUUCUAGAAAUGCUGUCGAUAGAACGACGUGGCAUGGUCGCAGUAGUGGCGAGACCGACUGGACCUUUAUUCUUCUAGAAAUGUUGUAAUAUUAGUAGAUAGCCGACCGGCGAAUAAGCUGUACUCUUGUGUGGCAGUGGAUAAUGAUGACAUGGAAUGCUUGCUGUGAUUGUGAAAUUAAGUGAAAUUGAUUGUGUUCCGAUGGCUUACAUUCUUAUCAUUACUGGUGCUUGAGUGAUAUGAAUUGUACUAACCUGCAGGAAGGCAAGAAGGCGAGGUAAGUCUUCUGUGCUGUGUGGCUAGACCACUCUGGGGCGUAUUUUCUUUCUAAUAAGGGUUUAGGGGGUUGAACUUGCUGAGACGUUGUCUCAGUGGUUAUUGAAUAACCAUUUCAGGUCCCUGGUGGACGGAGCGGCCAGAUAGCUUUGGUUGGCCUUGAGGAGUUGCAGAGGUGAAGCCAUAAGGAUUGGAGAGCGUGUCCGAUUUGUAGGUCGUAGGACAGUUCCUUUUUAAGAGCCGGUCUUUUGUAGACUUUUGGCUGUAGGCCUUCGUCUGUAACUCCGUUGGUUUGUGUAAGUGAUUGGUUGUGAAAUUGUUUCCUGCUUUUCUAUCCCGUAUUUUAUUGUCAGGGGUUUUAUAAUACGUUCCGCUUGCGUAAUAAUAAAUGAAUGGGGUCGGCGACAUUACCUGGGAAUGUCGCAUUUGCAUGACCAUAGUAGGAUGUUGGCGCGCUCGAGGUUCGGGGCGUGACAUCUUUUUCAAGUGCUUUUCUUAGAAUAGGAGUUUUGUUUAUUCCAGUUUAGAAUCAGUGUAGUCGAGUGUCUUUUCUAUUCGAAUUGGUGACUAUCUCAUCGUUAGCCCUAGUCUAGGAUAAUUAGUAGAGAGUGGUGAUUUUAACUGACCUCAGGGAUGUGAACGGUGGCAUGCAGUAAUAUAGGGCUUAAUCACAUUAGUUAGGCUGCACAAGACAUAUAAUGGGGGUCUAGAUUUGGGAUUGCUGUCUGGGACUUUCGAAGUAGAAGGGAGAAUUAGCAAAAUGUUCUGGUGCUGAAAUUUAUGGUGCCUAAUGUCGCUUAGGCGAUCCAUCCUCUUCCUUUUCUCCUGCAAUUACAUUUUCCCUCCUGCUCAACUUAAUUCUUCCAAAUAAGGUAAGUUCUUUUACUUGCUGCCCCAAUUUCGUUCUUUAUUACUUAAAUGAUUUAUUGUGCAUUUGGUUGUUCUAUUUCGUAGAUCUCUUCUUCUUUUCUCAUCCCUUUACCAUUUUGAUUUCUAACAAGGAAUGUUCUUUCCCCCAAUCUACCGUUCCUGCUGUUAAUAUCAAAUAUUGCAAAAUUGGACGGAUUUAUCUCUUGCUCCCUCUGCUAAUAUUUUCCUAUACAUUUGGCAGGUUUGCAGUUAUGGUGCCAGAUCCCAGGUUUGAUAGCUCUUUUCAUGAUGUAGCGGACCAAGUACUGAAAUCUCUGUUGGAUUUCGAUCCAUCGGAAUGGGGUUUGCCACCCUUUGACGAACAGAAAAGCUGAGAAUUCAUUGAAACCAGACGACAUGCAAUGGCAUCUCGUGUCAAAUUCAUUUGAAACCACUGCGUAUUUACGUUCAUGCGGCUGAGAGACAACUCCCUCAUGCAUCCAAGAAGUACUCCGUGCGGCUUCUUGAAUCUUCUCUGUGCAGCAUGGCGACUGUUUCUCGUGAGGCUCUUUUUUUUUUUUUUUUUGGUAAAAGGUAAUAGGUAUAUAGACUUUUGCACAAAAGGCUAUACAGAUGUAUAGCAAAGGGAGGGGACCCGGCACCAGCUCACACUCAGAAGGACAACAAAUCCAAACGAGUGGAAGGGGGCCGGGGCCAAGAGAAAAGAAAGGGGGAGGGAAGAGCUGCAAGAGAGAUACAAUGCAGAUAAAAGCAGCAGCAAAGAAGGCCAAACAACGGCCAAGGGCAAAGAGCACACAACACUGUGGCCCGCACAAGGAAAAGACAGAUAGAGGAGAAGAAAAUGAGAGACACCAAGAUGGGAACCCAGGACGCAACAGGGGGCCAAUAAGCAAAAUCAAUCAAAGAUGGAAGGGGGGAUGCCCCAACUAAGUUGAAGUCUUCUAUUACGGGGGUUGUCCGGGACCUUGGGGAAUGAUAAAGCCCUAUCAUUGACAGCUUUACGAAGGAGGUCCUUUAAAGCCGGGAGGUAUAAUCUUUCAUUGCGGAAGAUAAUGCUAUUUCUUACUUUCCAAAUGUGAUAGAAUAAGGCACCAAAGGCAAAGCGAGCCAAGGAUUGGUGGAAGGAUGCAUCGGAAAGGUGUUCAAUAACCCAUAAAAGAUUGUCAUUCCAAGCUUGAUUCCUCCAAGGUAAGUUACACUUAGCCGCCCAAAAGGAUGCAAGGUGAUUAGUGAUAGAACAUCCGAAGAAAAGGUGAUCAACCGAGUCUGGUGUAGAAGAGCAGAUUGCACAAGUAACAUUAGGGAUUCUCUCGCGAGCUAAUAACAAUACUUGGGUUGGCAGACGAUUGCGGGAGAUUAACCAUAGAUGUGUUUGAUAUCGAGGAGGUAAGGAGGGGUUCCAUAUAAAUCUCGACCAGGGGACCACAACAUCCCUCGGCCUUAGAAGGCACCAAGCUGAGGCAGUAGAAAACACUCCUGAGGAAUGACCAAGCCAUAGAAAACGGUCACUGGCUUCAUUGAGGGUUGGAAGGGGAUCAUCCCAAUUACUUAUAGAGGUGGCAACAGUAGAAGAUAGGGGAAAGGCAGUUAAAGCAGUAGCUACCGUAGCAAGCCUUGAUAUACCAGAGCAAUAGAUUUCACGGUCAGAGAACAACUUGUAGAGCGGACCAUGAGGAUGCCGGUGAUCAAACCAAAAAGAGACAGAUAGUCCAUUACCAACGCGCCAUUUAAUAUGAUGUUGGAUCAAGUCACGAAGGCCAAGCAACUUCUUCCAAGCCCAAGAGCAAUAGGUAGGUCUUGGGACAAUCCAGAAAUUUUUAUGUUUUCACUCAAGAAAAACCCUUAAUUUAAUUUUAUUUUAUUUCCUUUUGUGCAACCACAAGGAGUCCAAGGAAUUACUCCUUUGUUGACCGACCAAUCACAGGAUUAGGAUUUGAAGAAGACGUCCACUAUACGGACCUAAAGCGGAUUUCUUUCCUUGUGCUAUUUCCUUGGACAAAAAAUAUCUUCACGAUUAAAUAUGAAAAAGUUAUCCAAGUAGAUCAUAUUUUGAACGCUCAAACUUGAGUCAUAAUUCUAACAAAUACGAUAAAAUUAUUUUCAAAUUCACAUGCUUCUAAGUUAGAAAUCUUUGAACAAAAAAAAAAAAAAAAGCUGCUGCUAGUGCAAACUCUGUUUGUACUUAUCAUAAAUUGCCUUUAUAUACGUCGAUUUCAUUAAAUUGUAAAAGUAGUAUGAGGAAAAGGGGUAAUUCUGGCUAAAGCUCUGAAGAGUUCUGUAAUCUCUAGUUCUAGGAAAAAUCUUGUCAAUCUUUUCUCUAGGCGUAGGUGGCAUCAACAAUGAUAUCAAAGAAAUGCCUUGGUUUUCUUUUUUGCUUCAUCUAAAAUAUUUUACUUCUCAGACUCUCCGUAGAGUUUCACGUUAUUUACCGUUCUUGGGUCAUGGUUUCCUGAUGGUAUGAUAUAUAUAGUUAUGUUUCCCUCGUAGACUGCAAAAGCUAUAGGGGCGGCUAUCCAACCAUUACUGCAGUUAGUUGGUCGGCUGCAGCUUGUUGUCGAUCAGGUUUAGGCCCUUUUAUAUCUUUGCGUCAGAUAAAUUUUUGAGCUUGACAGUCUCUAAAUUUGGUAAACGUUGUCUUCCAACAGUUUGACGAGGCCGUGCAGGAUCAAACUAGAGAUUCUCUUCAUGAGCAUCGAGCUGAUGAAAGUGAUGAUAAGGACGAUGACAUCAAUCAUGUCCUAUACAGGGAUGAGGAUGAAUCUGGACAAACUAGCGAUGAUACAGAUGAUGAGUAGAAGCUCCAAAUUUUAAGAGGUAGUCAUCCUUGCUGGUGUUAAAUUUGAUCUGUCGUCUUGCAUUUUCAAAAAUUGGUUCGUUGGGGGAAUUAGUGGGUAAAGAAUAGGUGAAAUAAAGGCUGCAACAUCUUUUUCUCUGAUCUGCAUUUUCAGGAAAAAGUCUUUUAUUCCACGGCAAGAAGUGAGUUCCAUAAAGCAUCCUGUAUAUAGUCUAUUUUGCUGUUUUGAUUAAGAACCAGUUAAAUGCGAACAGCUCUACUUUAGAUACGCAAUUUACUGGACGUUCUGCUGAUCGUGAUCAAGAGUUUCCAUGUGCCAAUUAUGGCUUGUAAUUUUCCAUGCUCAUCGCAAGUAGCUUUUUUCCUCUAUACAUCAGUUUGAGUUGGAUUUGUUUUUGCUGCUUUGCAGUAAACUUGCUCAUGAUGGAGAUGCUCGCUUGGGGCAACUCACUGGUCAAGUUGCAGCUGCCCCUGGAGAAAUUCAUACGUAUGCUGCCAAUUUCGUGCCCUCCACAAAUUUUCUGAUCCCGACCGUGUGUGCUGGUCUCAAGCAAUCACCAUGACGAUAGAGACCGUCACAGACUGGCCGUCGUGGUAGUGGUUAUUGCCUUAUAGUGGAUUAUGGCCAGAAGAAGAGAUAGUGGAAUGGACCCUUUUCUCAUGCCAGAGGGGGAAAGAAAAGAGGCCCUCUACGAGAGGAGAGAGUGAUUUAGCUGCUAACAAGCGCAGGUUUUUCAUGAAAUGAAUGGUUAUUCAUUCGGGAAAGGUCUGUUGAUUAGGAGGUUAUACCUCUAUUAAUACUUUCCUGAAAAUUGUUUCUUCAAUUAUUCAAUCAUAUCAUCCGUCUAUUGGACACUUUAUUGACUGUUUAUCUGUAUCUGUCCUUGUAUCUGGUAUUUUCUCGUACAAGGAAUGUGAUAUAAAAAAUCUGCAAGACUUCUUGUUCGAUCUUAAAGAAUCUUUUUCGACUUUAUUUUUUAGUGCCCAAAUGAAGCAUAAGAGUAUAACAUGACAUUUUACCCUCUAUGAGUUGACAGAGUACAUGUCACAUUCUUAAGAUAUGAUUCCAAAAUCUGAGACUCGAAAACUUUAGAUGACCAUCUUACUGACCAGGGACGCUUUAGAUGUCCUCAAACCACGUGGCAACCUAAAAACCGUUUUGGCAAUUUAAUAUCAUCUGCUGUAUGCUGGAUAUAAUUAUCAAAGGUUCUAAACCCAGUCAUUAUGUAAAGUGAAGUCAGCUAAAGCCAAGGGGUUGCUUUUGAGACGUUUGAUAACGUUAAAAUGAUAUGCAGUUUUACAAAGAAAAAAUGGAAUAUGAUGGUUGAAUUCCGAGUUCGUUUGAGUAAGAGAACAAACAACGAAAGGCGAGGAAGUUCAAAAAGGAGAAGCGAAAAUGGUUGCUGUAUUCAGUUUUGCAGGGCUUCAAUGCGUCCCGAUCCAAAUUAGGCUGUAUGCGCAUCAAACUCAGAGGGGGCCACACGAAGCUCUCUAGACCAAAAGAAAAAAAAUUAAAAAGAAAGAGAAAACGGGGGCCGCACGCUACGUCCAUCAUUCAAUUGAGGACCACAUCGGACGAAAGGUUACUCCAAAAACACUUCAUCCGGGCUUGCGAACGAAGCAAGUACAGCAAUUUUGCAAAACAUUUACCAGAACCACCAUCAUAUUCGCGAAGAGACAAAGACGAACGCACUCCCUCGACGACAAAACAAGAACAGUACUCAACUAGCGCUGACUCGAACAGGACUAGCAGUCUUCUGUCUUAUGGCGCUGAUCAUCUCCUCCUCGGUGAUAUCCCCUUGGCCGAGAACUUACUCGAACAGGACAGCGUCUGAUGGCACCUCCAGAUAAGCCUCAAUGGCCCCGAACAUCACGGACGCCUUCCCUCUCAUGGCCCUCAUCAUCUCCUCCUCGGGGAUAUCCCCUGGGCCGACAGUGAAGUACCUGCCCGCGUACUUACAGACCGAGCCACCCUCCAGGGGCAACGCAGUGAUCUUCACCUCAUGGCUGAUCUCCCUGGAGAUUCCGCCCAGCUCAUCCCGAUCGACGGUCGAGUGGUUGUAGAGGAAGGGCUCCUGGUCCUGUGCUUUAACCCUGUGCCUCACCGUCCUGCGCUGUCUGCCUAUAGAAGUAGCAAAAAGUGACAUUCGCGCUGAUCCGUCCUAUGAGUUUUUCGUACCAAAGGUUCCAAUCCCUUUCUUCCGUUUCCGUUGAUGACUUAUUAGAUUAUUUUUUUUUUCAAAAUCUUCCUUUGUUUUUGUUUUUUUAAGUUCAUAUAAUAAAUAAGGAUGUACAAUAGAUAAAAUCCUAAGUAAGAACAUUAAAAAAUUAUGCAAGUAAAAAAAAAAAAACUGGCCUUUUUGUUCUUCAUAUCUAGGAUUAGGUUCUAGAUCAUUAGAUAGGAAUUCAAAGAUGAAGAAAGUGUAAACAGAGCUUGAGAGUAAACAUCACAUAAUCUCCAAUAUCUGUUUUUUUUUUGUUCUUUUUUUUUUUUCAACAUCAUGAGCACCAAUCUUAGUGUUGUUGAUCAAGCCAUCUAGGGAUCAUGCCCAUUUAUAACCGUAAUGCAAUACAAUGAAUAUGCAAUUUAAAUGGUGAGGAACAUUUCAAUUGACCAAGUACCUUCGAUCGAGAUUGCCUCCUGGAUCUCAGCAUUUGUGACGGCUGGCAAGAGGUUAUAGGGGAAGAAGCCACCCGCUCCUAGAAAAGCCUCGACCAACCUGGCCUUAGGGAUCGGGUGUGUGAUCUCGGCCUUGAGAGUAACUUCUACCAUCGAUUGAAUCUGAAUAGAAUUUGCUCAAACUGAAAAGGGGAUAAAAAUCUCGAAAGAAAGAAAGAAAGCAAUAAAAAGAAGGAGCUUCGAGGAGAGGCAAAGUACAAGGUUGAUAUUUAUAGCGAUAAGAAGAUGGAUAAUUGCACAAAUGAUCCCUGAACUUUGAUUUGAUGUGCAAUAUGAUCUAUAAAUUUUUAAUUUGCUCAAUAUGGUCCUUAGAAUUUUUGUAUAUGUUUAAUAUAACCCCUAAAUAGUAUGAAAAUGUUCAAUAUAGUCCUUCAUUAAUUUAAGAUCAUAGACAACAUUAAAUAUUUUUUAUAUAAUUCAUGGAUUAAUUGAACAUGUACUAAAAAUUUAGGAACUAUAUUAAACAAAUUAAAAUUUUAAGCACCACAUUGUAUAUUAGGUUAAAGUUUAUGGAUCAUUUGUAUCAUUCUCUUGUACAGACAUUGACCCUCCAUAAAUUUGGCCGUAAAGUAACUUCCGCUUAAUUGCAUGUGGUGGAAAAGCAAAUUAUUCCCUUUUGCUUGAAACCAUCUCUCCUCCCAUAAAAAGCUAAACCCCCAAGUUUUAGCCAAUAAAUAAAUAAAUAAAGCUAAACCCCUCAAAACCCAAUAAAUUACCCAUUCAACAAAUGAUUAACUUCAGGAUUGAAUUUAUUUUAAUUAUCCUCAUUCUUUUCCUAAAGCAACAUAAAGCUUUUGCAACUCAAUUUUUUUAAUUUUCUUUUUAAAAUUUUGAGUUUUAACUAUCUCCUCAUGGACUCUGGAGAGAGGGAGGGAAGCUUUGGCCAUUCUCCUUAAAAGCAUCUCUCCUUUGUUCUGUCUCUAAUCCUCUGCGGCCCUCUCCAUGCGUUGACUGGUCUGCAUGUUAUUGUUGUGAUAUUAUCUUGUUCCUAGUUUUGUCUGGCUAUCAAAAGCAAAUUGACAACUAAGAUGGGUCUCUUGUUUCUGAUCGGGAAUGAUCCCAAGACAAAUCCUUUCGACUCGGCCAAAAGGUUAAUUAACCAGUUGCAUGAAAUGAUUCCAUGAGUAUGUUGCAAUGUAAGCAUCUAUAUAAAUCAGCUUCCUGAGGUAAGCAAGAGCUUAUUCCAUCCUUUUCUUGAUCAAAGGUUAGUCUAUCUCUUGUUUCUUUUUCAAGUGCUUUUUUCAAAAUAGGAGUUUUGUUUAUUCAAGUUUAGAAUCAAUGUGGUUGAGUGUCUUUUCUAUUCGAAUUGGUGACUAUCUCAUCAUAAAGUUAUUCGAGACUUGAGCAAGACUUGAGCAAUUCUUUAAAUGGCUCGAUGGACUCUUUAUGGGGGAAGAACCCUUGAGGGUUUGGACUCUCCAUUGUAAUCCCUCGUCUUCCCUCCUAUCCAGGAAGAAAAAGAUAGGAUGGGAAUCAGGGGGCUUGUCGGUGGCAAAGCUAAACACCAUGUCAGUUCUUUGAAGCUGGCUACCGCCUAGGAAGCAUUGAUACUAUCUAAAAAUCUUUGUGUCGUGUUGGCCACUUCAACAUAUGUCUGAUACUCUCUGACACUUUUCGAUACUCUCCAAUACUCAGUUAACAGGUUUAAGAAAAUUUGAUGCUCAGUCAACUCUCUUGACACUCUCCAAUACUCGAGUUCGAAAUUCCAACACGCAACUUUAGAAUUCUGAUAGGUAAUUUUGACAUGCACUGAGUCAAUUUUAAUUUUUUUUAAUAAAUAAGGAGUCUAAAUGUAAAUAUGUAAAAAUAAUAAUAAAAAAAUAAAAAUAGGUGGAAGAGGAAAAACCUCAUCUUUCUUCUCUUCUGACUUUCACUUAUUGUGCUACAUAAUUCACCCCUCAAAAUUAUUUUUUUCUCUUUUCUUCUGACAUGCAAGACCAUAAUGUGGAUUCUUUUUUUUUUCCUUCCAAGUUAUAUGGAUUAUUGGAAUGGAGUUAAAUUUGUCAAAUUAAAACAAUAAAUAAUAUUAACAAAUGUUGAAUUAAUAUUUUUAGUGUAAAUUCAUGCUAGCCUCUUUUUUUUUUUUUAAUUAUUUUAUUUAUUUGUGAAUUUAAAUCAAAUUAAUUUGAUUAAAUAAUCAUAAAAAUGAUAAUUUAUUAUGUAUAUAUAAAAAUAUACUUUUAAUAUAUAACAUGUCUUAACGUGUUAGAGUUCUCUAUUUUUUUAAAAACAACGUGUCUGCGUAUCAUGUCGUGUCGUGUUGUAUCGCGUGUUAGUGCCAAUGCUACUUAGGCCACCGCAAGUUAUGAGAGUAUAGUAGUUCUCCGUGCCUAGGUGAGACAUGGUGGCUUCAAAACUAGUGCUGGGCAAGUAAAAGCUUACUCAAGUCUUUCAACCGACUACUUAGAAUAGGAGUUUGUUUAUUUGAGUUUAGAAUCAAAGUGGUCAAAUAUCUUUUCUAUUCAAAUUGGUGACUAUCUCAUCAUAAAGUUAUUUCACAAUUCUGAACUUAGAAACACAAAAUUGGACCCCACAAUCUGGAUUAGGAUAAAGUUCUACAGUUUCAUGUAUACAUUAUUUUCUAUAUACUUCUGUUGAAUGCUAAAACCAAUGUAAGUGACGAGGGUAAUUGGGGUUGGGUUGUUACAUACAUUUCUCAUAAAUGUCUAAUACGAUGAAACUAUUUCCGAAUUCACAGGCUUCUAAGUUAGAAAUCUAAAAAAAAAAAAAAUGGAAAAAAAGGCUGCUGCUAAUGCAAACUCUAUUCAUAAAUAUCUUAAACCGCCUUUAUAUCCAUCGAUUUCAUUGAAUUGUAAAAGUGGUAUGCGGGAAAGGGGUAAUUAUGGCUAGAGCUCUGAAGAGUUCUGUAAUCUCUGGUUCUAGGAAAAAUCCUGUCUAUCUUUUCUCUAGGUCUAGGUUGCAUCAACAAUGAUAUGAAAGAAUUGCAUUAGUUUCUUUUUUUGCUUCAUCUAAAUAAUCUUAGUUCUCGGACUCUCCAUAGAGCUUCACGUUAUUUACUGUUCUCAGGUUAUGGUUGAUGGUAUGAUUUAUAUAAUUAUUGUAUCCCUUGUAGACUGUAGAAGCUAGAGGGACGGCCAUCCAACCCCAUUACUACAUUUAGCUGGUCAGCUGUAGCUUGUUGUCGCUCAGGUUUAGGCCCUUUAUAUCUUUGCUUCAGAUAAUCUUUUGAGCUUGAGAGUCUAUAAUUUUGGCCAACGUUGUCUUCCAACAGAUUGACAAGGCCACACAUGAUCAAACUAGAGAUUCUCUUUACGAGCGUCAGGCUGAUGAAAGUGAUGAUGAGGACGAAGACAUCGAUCACGUCUUUUACAGGGAUGAGGAUGAAUCUGGACAAACUAACGAUGAUACAGAUGAUGAGUAGAAGCUCUAAAUCUUAGGAGGUAGCUAUUCUUGUUGGUGUGAGAUUUGAUUCAUCUUGUUGCAUCUUCAUAAAUUUCGGAUUGUUGGGGUAAUUAGGGGGUAAAGAAUUGGAGAAGUGAAGUUUUAUAUUCCACCGCGAGAAAGUGAGUUCCAUAAAGCAUCUUGUAUACGGACUAUUUUGCUGUUUCAAAUAAGAACCACUUGUUCUAGGUUAUAUACGCAAUUUACUGGAAAUUUUGCUGCUGAUCGUGAUCAAGAGUUUCCAUGGACUCAUUACAGGUAGCUUUGUUCCUCUAGACAUCAAUUUGAGUGGGGUGCUUUUGCUGCUUUGUAGCGUGAAAUUUGCUCAAGAUGGAGAUGCUCGCUUGGGGCAAGCCACUGGUCAAGUUGCAGCUGCCCCAGGAGAAAUUCAUACGCAUUCUUGCCAGUCUCGUGCCCUCCAAAAUUUUAUGAUCCCGACCACGUAUGCUGGUCUCAGGCAAUCACCAUGACGACAGAGACCACCCGGCCUCGCCGUUGCACUAGUGGUUGUCGCCCUAUGGUGGAUUACGGCUCUGUAUAUAUACUUCUCCGGAAAAUUGUUUCUUUAAUUAGACAAUCACAUCCUCCGUCUAUCAAACGUUCGACUGGACAGUAUAUCUGUAUCUGUCCUUGUAUACAGUGUUUACUCGACCAAAGAAUAUGAUAUAAAAAAUCUGCAGGACUUCUUGCCUAAUCUUAAUAUAUCCUUAUUGACUUUAUUUCUUAGCGACCAAAUGCAGCAUAAGAGAAGAACAUUACAUAUUACCCUCGAUAAAUUGGCUGAGUGCAUGUCACAUUCUUUAGCUAUAAUUCCAGAAAUCUGAGAUCUGGAAACUUUAGAUGACCAUCUUCCCUAAAAGCCAUUUUGGCAUUUCGACAUCAUCUGCUGUAUACUUAAUUAUAAUUAUCAAAGGUUCUAAACCUAGUUAUUAUGUGAAGUGAACUUAGCUAAAGCCAAGAGGUCUCUUUUAAGACAUUUGACAACAUUAAAAUGAUAUGGUUUUACGCAGAAAACAUGAGAUAUGACGAUCGAAUUCCAAGUUCCCAAAUGGUAACCCGUCUGUUCAGGUAAAACAAACAACGAAAGUUGAUAUGUUCAAAAGGGAGACACGAGAAUGGCCGCUGUAUUCAAUUUUCAAUUUUUGCAGUGUUCUCGGUUGAUCGUAUUUUCGAUUUUGCAGAGUUUCUAUACAUCUCGAUCCAAAUUGAGUACAAAUCACCGGAUACUAUAAGUUGUUGGUCUGCAUGUAGUGUCGAUAAGAUCGCAAAUAAUCAAGAGACGCAGUUGCUCAUUUCUGUUUAUCUCACGUUCCAAUUGUCCAAGCUCAAGAAUUUAAAUCCGAUUUCGAAGAACUUGGUUUUCAUGACUCUGGCGAGCUCUAAAUGCUGCAGAUCAAAAUUUGGUCGGUCGAAAUCACAAGACAAAAGUAAAGAAGAUAUGGUAGCUCUUCUUGAGAGCAAGAGCUUUUGUAUGACACUCAACAAAUUCUUAUGUGUAAACCUAAAUCAUGGCAAAGAAUUACAAACAAUAUUCUUAACGAGGAGGGCGUCGGAACAUGUCCUAGGCGUAGGCCUGUGGGUUCUCUAGGAGGUAAGACUCCACCACCUUGAAUAUGGCCAUGGCCUUCUCCUUCCCAGCCUUGAUCUCCUCUUCUUCAACUUGAAAUGCCUCCUUGGUGUUGUACUUGCUGGUCAUCUUGCACACUGACCCUCCGUCACUGGCGGCAUCAAACUUGACCUGAUAAUCAAUCGACUCGAGCUUGUCGCCCAGUGCAUCACCCUCAAUCAUCGUGUACCUACAAACGAAGUUGUCCUUGUCGAGCUCAUCGAUCCGGUGCCUCACAUACUUGAAAUGACUAGCUGCGUUUGUUACCGAAUGAGAAAUAAAUUCACUGAACUCAUCACUAGAGAGAGGAUCCAAAAGAAUGGUGUAUGCUGAGUCUACGUACCUUCGGUGAAGUUAACUUGCUCGAUGCUCCCGGCUCCUCCAUCGCCUUGCACUAGCUCCACGCUUUUUAUGAACUGAGGAAGGAGCUUCGGGAUCAGGGCAUUCGCCUCGAUGAUCAAGGCCUUGAACAUGCGAGCCGCAGCGAUCGGGCAUGUGAGCUCUUGUGUGAUGCUGGUUGCCCCCAUGGCUAUUAGCAAAGCGAUGAGAAAGAAAUAACCUCAAAGAAGUGAUAUGCUUCUGAGUCCUGUCGAUGCCUCCUAUUUAUGGUUAGAAUUAUGUGAAUAGGUAGGCUUAGUUUGGCAAGAGUCACGUUUGAGGAAAAUAGAAUGGUCAAGGAUUUGCAGCCUAAAGGAAUGUAAAAGAGUAAAUAAGUUGGUCUCUUUUGUUCUUUUGGUCAUGAAAAUGGUUUCGGUCCAUUUCAGAUUCAAGUUGAAAUGGCAAAGAUGAUGUUCCGAAAGAUGAACACAAGAGAGAGCACGUUCUCAUGUUCACAUGGGCGGCCAUCCCUUUGAAUUGAUUGUUGUGGAGUUUGAUCUAAUAACAAUUUGGUCGGACUACUACGUGACUUGCUGAAUAGAUAUUACAAGGAAAUACCCUUGUUUGGAGAAAAGUGAAUUAAUUGAAUGUCGUUUGAUAUGGAGUAAAUGAGAAUCCUUGAUUGAUUAGUGAUAUUACGUCAGCAUGUCAUACUAUAUCAACAUCAUAUAAUUUGUUUUUCUUCUUAAGCAACGCCCUAAUGUCACGGCAGAUCUGUUCAAAUGCAUCGAGCAAGGCCGUUCAAUUGGGUUAAGGUUGAUUCAAACUUCACUAACACCGGCGGUUUGACUGGGUCAAAAUCGGGUCGGCCAAGGGGCGUCUAAGGAUCAGCUUAUCGUCUACGUUGGGGGGAGGGGGGGCCGGCUGCUUUUCCGUUAUACUUUGCUUCUCUUCUUCUUCUUCUUCUUCUUCUUUUUGGUUUUCGAUUUUAUUAUCGUUGAAUCAUUUGAUCUCCAAUCCAAUGUCCCCAUCAAGAGAUAUGAUAGGAUUAUCUUAAAUAGAAUUUCAAAUAGCCCAAGUGUUGUAAUAAGAUAAGUCCAAACCCUAGACACAUUCAACUAUGUUUUUCAAUAGCUUUUUUGAUAUAUUAUAAGAAUGUACUUUUCCUUAACAUUCUUACAUAUUGUGGUUUAUGAAAGUUUGUGCCACAUUGAUAGCUUUAGAUGUUAGUUCAAAUUCGAAAUAUCGGGCCAAAGUGUGGUCUUUUAUUGGCCAUUUGGCAUUUCAUUUGUAACUCAUGAAUUCUCUCCUUGUAAAAAAAUUACUAAAAUUAGAGAAUUUCAUUCUACAAGCUUUGUAUAAACACGUAGCAUAGUUUACCAAAUUCCACAAAACCACUGAACCGGAGUCCUGUCACACCUUUUAUUCUCUUAUUCUCAGCAAAGACAAGAACAACAACACUCACCAGCCCAACAUGCUUAGCUCCAAACAGAGUGACUCAAACUCUUCUUGUCUCCUUUUCAGUUCAGCACAACCAGACAUGUUUAACACAUUACAUAAACAAUAAAAGAUAGCGAUGAGAUCGGCUCAAUAGGCAUCAGGGUUUGCCACGAGAUAAGCCUCGAUGGCCUUGACCAUUGCGGAUGCCUUCUCUUUCCCGGCGUUGAUCUCCUCCUCGGUAAUGUCCACCUCGCCAACGGUGAAAUAGUUGCUCGUGCUCUUCAACAACGAGCCUCCCUGGGGCAACGCAGUGAUCUGAUCUUCUCAAAGGUGGUGCCCAGCACUUCACCCUCGAUGAUUGAGUAGCAAUAGGUGAAGUUCUCCUUGUCCAGGGCCUCAACCUUGUGCUUCGCUGUUUUGUACUGACUGCCUUUCAGUGUAACAAAAAGUCACAUUCACAUUUAGAACUCGCAGGUUUCAAUAUCACGAGCACCAAUCUUCUUGGUGUUGAUCAGGCCAUUUAGGAAUUAACCCAAUUGUUCUGACCGCAAUCCAAUAUGAUUGACUUAGACAUAGCCUGAUCACUUGUGUAAAGUUAAAUGGUUAGAAACAUCAUAAGUAAUCGAGUCAUAUUUCUAUCAUUUUCAAUGUUCAUUAUAGUGUUCCAUAAGGUUGAAUCCACCUUGAUUCAGAGCAAUCAUAAGUUCCUAAUACGGAUGGACUAACCUUCACCAAAAGUCAUCAACUUGAUGGUCCCGGGACCUCCAUCGCCCUCGAGGACUUCAAUGCUCUUGACAGCUUGUGGGAGGACCUUGGGGAGGAGGUUAUCGGCGUCGAGGAUAGCGGCCUUGAACAUCUUGGCCAGGGGAAUGGGGGACGUGAGCUCUAAGUCGAAAGUGAUGACACCCAUGACUGGAUCCUAACAGAGUUGUUGAAACUGAGAAGGCAGCGAUGAUCUGGAAAGACUUGAGUAGUAGUGAUGAAGUUGGUCUCUGGGACUUGGGAGUGAAGAGAAGAGGCUGAAUUGAAGUUGACAUAUAUAGAGAGAGGGAGACUGAGUGUGAAGGGUUCUGAUCACUGCAUAUUUUCUUCUUACAAGAUGCAUUAUAUUUCGCAGGAAAUAAAUAAUUUAGAAAAUAUUUUCCUAAAAAUAAUAACUAAAUUUAGAUAGUGUUUCCAAGCAUAAGUUAUUUGGUGAGUGUGCUGCAUCUUCUAAAUUGAUCUAAAUUGCUAAAUUUAAUGGGCUCACUAGAAAUAAAAGUCUAGAUUCCCUUUAAUAUAAGUAUGACAUUACCUCAUUUUCAAGUUUUCGUCAAAAUUGUUUGUAUGUACUAAGUUAAUCUAAAUCACUAAAUUUGAUGGGUUCACGUGGGAUCCAUACAAAAUUCACUAGAAUUAAAAGUUCAGAUUUUGCUUACUAUAAAUACAGUGCUCUUUCCUCAAAUUGUGUAGCGUGUACUAAAUUGAUCUAAAUUGCAAAAUUCAAUGGGUUCAAGUGGGACUCAUAUGGAACUCACUAGAAUUAAAAGUCCAGAUUUUGCUUAAUAUAAAUAAGUCCCUAGCUCAUUUCCGAGUCUUCAUAAAAAGUGUGUUGUAUGUCCUAAAUUGAUCUAAAUCGCUAAAUCUAACAAGUUCACGUGGGAUCCAUGUGGAACUCACUCGAAUUAAAAGUCCAGAUUCUCCUUGAUGUAAAUACGAUGCUAUGUCAUUUCUAAGUUUUCGUCAAAAUUGUAUUGUAUAAACUAAGUUAAUCUAAAUUGCUAAAUUUGAUGGGUUCAUGUGGGAUCUAUAGGAAACUCACUAAAAUUAAAAGUUCACAUCAUCUUGAUUAAAAUAUAGUGCUCUUUCAUCAAAAUUACGCCGUAUGUACUAAAUUAACCCAAAUCGGUAAAUCUGAUGGGUUCAUAUGGGACCUAUAUGGAACUCGCUGGAAUUAAAAGUCUAGAUUUUGCUUAGUAAAAAUAAGACCCUAAUUCAUGUCCGAGUCUUUGUCAAAAGUGUGUUGUAUCUCCUAAAUUGAUCUAAAUCACCAAAUCUGAUGGGUUCACAUAGGAUCCAUAUUGAAUUCACUGGAAUUAAAAGUCCAAAUUCCACUUAAUAUAAAUAUGACGCUAGCUCAUUUCCAUUUAUUUAUCAAAAUUGUGCUAUAUGUACUAAGUUAAUUUAAAUCGCUAAAUUUGGUAGGUUUAUGUGGAACUCAUAUGAACCUCCCUUAGAUAAAACAUCCAAAAUCGAUUAAAUAUAUACCACGUCAACUCAUUUAUGAGUCUCCAUCAAGUGCCUUUUUCUCAUCUCUUUGAAGCUUCCGAUCGUGUGCCAUUCCGUCACAUGUGAGUCGCGAAUGAUUUUCCACACCAAAGUCUUUGUUAAAUCUCAAGACUUAAAAAUACGAAUGUGAAGUAACAAUUGCGUGUCAAAUGCAGAAAAUUCUUAUGUGAAAGAGUUGACCGUCCCUUCUUGAGUCAACUGUUCUCUUCCUUGAUAUGCUUUGCUGAUCUGGCCUCAGACACAGAUGUCAGAUGGUCAAAGGGGCGCAUUCAUGUUGACACAUAAAUUUUGAUUAGGUUAUUAAUUAAGCCUUAAUUUCUUUUAUAUUUCCUUUUUUCGGAUAUUAAACAAAACAAAUAACAAAAACAACAAAAAAAUAAAUAAAAACAAAGAAAAAAACCAAAGCAGCAGCCAUUGGAGUUGGGCCUCCAAGCCCAGCCCAUCCUUUUUCUUCGAGUGGGCUCACACGACCCAACCCACCCCCCUCUCUCCUUCUUCUUCCUUCUUCUUCUUCCUCACUCCUUCCUUCUCCGCCUCUGUAGUUCACACGCAGUGACGACGACACGCUCGAAGACAACCUACGGCCGAGGAGGGUAGGCCAACGUCGGCCGGAAGAGACAGAUUCUCAAGCGCCAUUAUUGGUUUCCUUCAAUGCCGAGCAUAGUUUGUUGGUGGAGCUCGGAUGGGACACCGAUUCAACCGCGGGGGUCCAGUCGGCGUGCGAGGGCCGAUGGUCGAACCUCCAUCGACCGGCCUCCUCGCUUAUAAAUAGGAAGGCACAACCUCCGUCAAAGAGGACACAAGCCGAUAAGCUCAGAGGGGUCCCUGAGAGACUUCAAGGAGCUCAAAGAGCAAGCAAGGCAGAAAUCGAGUCGCGAGCUCAAAGCGACCUCCCUCUGAGAGACUUCGGGGGAGGCCGGCGGCAAGCGAGCUUGAGGGGGAGAAAGGGGCUGAGCGAGAGAAGAAUCGGAGGAGAGAGGGUCAGAUAUGGGCAUGAAGGCUCGUUGCUGUCCCCUAGACGCCGUCGCCUUGACCAAGUUCCCGACGCUGUGCCCCAACGCCGUCCAGAUUUGAGUGAGUAGGCCAGAGAGAAGAGGAGAUCGGAGGAGAUCCUAUGCCCCGACGCCGCCGCUGCGUCAGAUCUCGCCGUGCCGCCAUCCUCACGCCUCGUCGCUGCCGCUUUCCUUGACGUCGUCCAAAUCUGAGUGGGCUUCGGGGAGCAGGGGUCCGUUGCCAUCGUUGUCGCUGUGUCUGGGUCCUCGCUGUGCUGCCCCCUACUGACGAGCCCCGGUUGAAGUCCCCAAAGCCAGUGAGCAUCUCUGACCCCCCCUCGUCUAUCACCUCAUUUCUAGGUCGGCCAUGUCGGGGCAUGCGAUUAUCGAGCUUGCAUAAGCUCCAACCGCCGGUCGCCCCUUUCUUCGCCGUUCUGCCUUCUCCGUUGUAGCCUUGCCAUAGUAGCCCAAAUGUCGCCCAAUCGCUUUCAUUCUUGCCAUCUUCGCCGUAGCCUACCGAAGCCACUUCGCCGCCGCUCGGAUGCCUUCCCCUCCCGUCGCUCGUCGCGGCCACUGGACCGCGAAGGUAGCUGCGGCUGCGAAAAUCGGGUCAGCCAAGUCAGAUCGUGUGACCCGGCGCCCUAGGGUUUCCAUCAAGUAGGUCGGGUCGUCAGGCCGGGUUUGGAGCUCGGGCUAGGCAUCCCCUUUUUAAUUCAAAUAGGCCCAAUUCCCGUGUGUGGGCUGAGGUUUUUUUAAGAAAAACAAAAACAAAAAUAUAGUCCGCAUUCUAAGCAGACGACCCGGGUCGGACCCAACCUUGGAUCCAACCUGGUUCGUUUUUAAAUUAUUUUAAUAAAUAAAAAAUAAAAAAAUAAUUUAUUUUCCAGAAAAAAAUAUCUAUACUUUCCCAAAAAUGUCUAAAAUGUCAAAAAAAAAAUAAUCCAAAAAUGAUUUAUAUUUUCAGAAAAAAGAUCAAAAAUCCAAAAAAUGCUUUUUAUGUCCAAAAAAAUAGAAAAAAGACCAAAAAAAAAGUUUUUCCUCCACAAAUGCAUGGAAAAUCCCUCAAACAUCCAAAAAGCCUCAGGGUUUAAACAAGAUUAGGUACCGAAAGGGCGUUAGUGAUUAACUAGUAUAAUCAAGUCUCCGAUUCUAAUUUCUCUCGUUGCGCAAGAGCGAAUAUUUCUCCUGAUACUUCGCUUGGGUUUCUAAUUGACCCACCCCAAACCGAUUAGUGGCGACUCCAUUUUAAAAUUAGCUUACAGGUUAAAACUUGGACUAUUAAGUCGUGAAUUGGUGGACUUGGGAGAGUCCAGGCUUAAAUAGACAUAGCUGAACCAUUAGCCUCCGCCGACGCCCGCCCCGAUCGGGCAUAAAAAAAGAAAAAGAAAAAAAAAGAGGUCGCGACAGGGGCACAUUCAUAUCCAUAAUCUCGCAGCAGUUUCAACUCUGUAAAAGAAUGCCGAGAUCUUUACAAGAUGUUUGACAAGCGUCUUUGAUGACAGCAUGCAGCAUAUCUACCGCUUCAGAACAUAGUUACGGUUCAGUCUCGAUUGUUAUUUUUCUUGAAAGAGACACGAGAAUGAAGACGUAAACCAUGGUGGGAGAUAGAUCGAGCCAACGUGCAGGAACAACUCAAUUGUAAGCAUCAGGGUUUUUGCAAGAGAUGGGCUUUCAAUGGCUUUCAACAUUCCCAUGGCCUUCUCUUUGCUGGCCUUGUUCUCCUCCCGUCAUGGCGAAGUACUUGCUCGUGCUCUUGCCCCCACCUUGGCCUUGAUCUCAUUCGAGAUCUUCUCUAGCGCAUCGCCCUCAACGAUGGCAUAUGUGUGCGUGAGCUUUCCUUGUCCAGCUUGUCGAUUGGUGCUUCACUGAGUUGAACUGUCUAGCUGCGAAACACAAAAAACUGCAGUCAGCUCCCACGUUAGCCUUAUCAAAGAAUGUCGGCAAACAUCUUCUUGACAUCACAUGUUAGUGCGAUGCGAUCAAAAUGAGUGAAAUUAGAAGACAGCGCAAGCACUUGCCUUUGCUGAAAACAACGUGAUGGUGCCGGGACUGCCAUCACCUUCAAGGGUGACAAAAUCCUCAAUGGCUUGCGGAAGGAGCUUGGGGAUGAGAUUGUCAUCGAGAACAAAGGCCUUGAACAUUCUUGCAAGUGGAAUUGAAUUCACUGUUGCCUAACAUGUUGUCGCGCGCGUGCAGAAUAUAGAUAGACCAAGCGAAUCGGAUAAAAUAGUCGGAAUGAAUGAAAGGAAAUCGGACACCGGAUUUACAUGGUUCGGUCCGAAUAUCGGAACCUACGUCCACGGGGAGAGCAGCACAGAAUUCCACUAUAGAAACAAGCGAUACACCGGAGAUUACAAUCACUCGAGUACUCAAACACACUCUUAGUGUUUUCCAGCCCCAAAUUACACCCAAAUAACUCACACAGUGUUUAGCCUCUCAUAAUUCCUAGUGAAACCUUACUCAAGGAAUUAAAUAAAUUUUACUCACAAGAAUUUAACUGGCUAAAACACUCGGAUGUAAUUUCAACGAGAAAAUCUCUCUCUGCUGAGAGCUUAUGAAGCAUCACGACUUCUCUCUUCAGCUCUCUCUCUCUCUCGGCCAUCGAAAUAACUCAGCACGGCGCCAUCUUCUCCUUCGCUCCUCUGCCUUUUAAGGGCGAAACAAGACAGAAAAUGUGAAGCCAUUCAGGCGCUCGCAAUUAGCACUGACGCCCACCAAAAUUCACAGGCACGCAUGCACACUUUGCAUUUAAUGAGGCAGAAAACGUGCGCCCAUAAUGUAAGAGCGAAAGAAGGAUGGCCGCCGUCUUCCAAGACCAUCUCCACGACGUUGAACUCCUUCAGGUAAUAUUUUAUCCUUUCUUUCCUUUGGUUGUCUGCAGCUGAAUAAACAAAUGGCAAAGGAAAGAAACAAGGAGAAAGAAGACAAAACAAGCCUACAAACUUUUACUUUUGUCUUGGUCUUCAACGUCCACUUCUUACCAUGCAUGCACGUCCAUGUGCAUGCAAUUAAAGAGGUAGAAUAAAAUAAUGGUCUUCCCCUCUCGCGGCUACACGCUCUCUUCAUUCUUCACGCUUGCGGCUCAUAGAUCCACAUGCGAUCUUCUUCUGACAAUUUCGGCCAAUUCACAUGCUCUACUGACUCGCACGUGGUUGAGUUCACAUACUCUCGUUCAACGGGCUCAAAUCGAGACAUAUUUUCAACAAUCUCCACCUUGCUCGACGUUUGAGCCAAAUCAUAAUCGCUUCAGUGGACACCUCACUGCUACUCUCCCACAGCCCCAACUGGCUCAACCGCCACAAAGUGCUUCCAAGUUCAAGCCGCGCUUGAACUUUCCCAUAACCGUGGACCUCAUCAAGACACCAACUCCACCUGCAUAAUUAACUACUCCACAAGGAUUUUCCGACAUAACCUCCUGUAUCAUAGAUAAAGCAAAAACAUCGUUGCUUCCAUAUUUGACAGAAGGUCGAACAUGCACCUUGUCAAAUUCAGCAGCUACAACAACUGUUGGCUCUAUCGGCUCCACCUCGCUACAAGCAUCAUCCGUGUCGAUUAUUAUGCUAGUACCCGCUACCUCAGGAGUUUCUGGUUGCAACUCCACCUUGAGCUGAACACCGUCCAGAUCCGUAUUAACACUGCCAAAAACACUCCUAUCCAGAAGUACUGGAGACUUGUUAAAGGUAACUUCUCUGCUGUCAACAGGUGAAUUUAUAUCCGGGCACCACAAUUGAUCGCCCCACUCACCUUGUGCAUAGCCAUGAUAUAUGCACCUUGCCCUCCCAUUGAGCUUACCAUCACUCACUCGAAAAUAACAUGGGCAACCAAACAUUCUAAAAAUAGAAUAAUCAGCAACGUUACCUGACCACACUUCUUCAGGAGUCUGCCAUUCAAUAGCAGUUGAUGGGGAUCUAUUCAUCAGGUAACUUACCGUACUAAGCACAUCAACUAGGAUUCUCUUAGCAACACCAGCACUAGAGAUCAUUUUACGGGCCGUCUCUAGUAAUGUUCUGCUCAUCAAUUCUGCAAAUUGUUGUGAUUUACUGGCACUAGUGCGGUGUUUCACUAUGCCCUCUUUCAUGCAGAAUUUAUUUGACAGCUCCAAGCAAAACUCCAUGCUAUUGUCAGUCCGCACAUGCUUGAUCUACUUACCAGUCUCCGUCUCGAUCAAAGCUCUCGACCGCGUGAUCCUGACACCAGCAUCAAACUUGUGCAUCGGGACAAACACCCAGGUCUUCCUCGAGCAGUCAAAAGACUCUCGAACAGAUGCAUCCAACGUCUCCAGGGCGGAACCUGUCACUGUCUCACCUUGAAGUUUAUACAGGCCUCCAUGCUUGAUUCCUUUCAUUAUCACCAGGGCACCUUGAACAACCUUCAAAACUCCACCUUUUGAAGAAUACCUGCAACCAACUGAAUCUAGGGCACCCAAGGAAAUUAAGUUCUUUUUCAAUUCUGGAACAUGUCUUACUCCAGUCAAUGUCCUCACAAUACCAUCAUGCAUUCUGAUUUUAACAUCACCAACACCCACAAACAUCGCACUCAGCGUUGUUCCCUAGCUGGGCUUUACCAUUACCCAUGCACUGAUAAGUGAUAAAACAGUUCCUAUUUGGUGUAACGUGAAAUGAACAACCAGAAUCCAUUAUCCAUCCGUCAAAUGACGAAUCCUCAGUGACAGACAAGACACAAUCGACACCAUCAGAAUCAUUCUUAGCUACAGCUGCAACAUUUUCUAUAGACUCAACUCUAAUUCCCUUACCCUUUUCAUUAUUCAGCUUAAAACAGUCUCUUCUACGAUGCCCACUAUUGCCACAAUUCCAACAGACAAUCCUACCAGUCCUAGAUUGACUUCGUCUGUUCAUGUUCCUGCUAACACGUGUGCUAGUUCUUCCUCUACCUUCACCUACUAAAGCAAUAGACACGGGUUCAUCAGAUUCUUUCCUACGAAUGUCUUCACUCAGAAUCAAAUCACGAACCUCAUCAAACGUCAAACUUCUUGACCCAGAGGAAUUACUAACAGCAGUAACGGUAGUAUUCCAACUAUCAAGCAAUGAGGAUAAUAAAAUCAAUGCACAUACCUCAUCUUCAAAGUUAAUCUCAACCGAACUCAAUAGGUUAACGACCUCAUUGAAUUCGUUGAUAUGUUCAGCUACUGACUUACCUUCGCCCAUCUUUAAGUGAAACAGACGUCGCAUCAAAUAGACCUUAUUGAUCGCAGAGGGUUUCUCGUACAUAUUCGACAGGGCUUUCAUCAGUCCCGCAGUCGUUUUCUCCUUCACGAUGUUAAAUGCGACGUUACGAGCCAACGUCAGCCGAAUAACACCCAUCGCUUGUCUAUCCAGCAAUUCCCACUCGUCAUCCUUCAUCGAGUUUGGUUUCUCCCCGGAUAAGGGCAAAUGCAAAUUUCUCUGGUACAGACAAUCUUCAAUCUGCAUUUUCCAGAAAGCAAAAUCCUUCCCAUCAAAUCGGUCGAUUCUCACCUUUCCAUCUUCCAUCGUUACCGAUUCGCUUCACGUCAGCCAAACCAGGCUCUGAUACCACUUGGUGUCGCGCGCGUGCGGAAUAUAGACGGACCGAGCGAAUCGGAUAAAAUAGUCGAAAUGAAGGAAAGGAAAUUGGACACCGGAUUUACAUGGUUCAGUCUGAAUAUCGGAACCUACGUCCACGGGAAGAGCAGCACUGAAUUCCACUAUAGAAACAAGCGAUACACCGGAGAUUACAAUCACUCGAGUACUCAAACACACUCUUAGUGUUUUCCAGCCCCAAAUUAUACCCAAAUAACUCACACAGUGUUUAGCCUCUCAUAAUUCCUAGUGAAACCUCACUUAAGGAAUUAAAUAAAUUCUACUCACAAGAAUUUAACUGGCUAAAACACUCGGAUGUAAUUUCAACGAGAAAAUCUCUCUCUGCCGAGAGCUUCUGAAGCCUCACGACUUCUCUCUUCAGCUCUCUCUCUCGGCCACCGAAAUAACUCAGUGCGGCACCAUCUUCUCCUUCGCUCCUCUGCCUUUUAAGGGCGAAACAAGACAAAAAAUGUGAAGCCAUUCAGGCGCUCGCAAUUAGCACUGACGCCCACCAAAAUUCACGGGCACGCAUGCAUACUUUGCAUUUAAUGAGGCAGAAAACGUGUGCCCAUAAUGUAAGAGCGAAAGAAGGAUGGCCGCCGUCUUCCAAGACCAUCUCCACGACGUUGAACUCCUUCAGGUAAUAUUUUAUCCUUUCUUUCCUUUGGUUGUCUGCAGUUGAAUAAACAAAUGGCAAAGGAAAGAAACAAGGAGAAAGAAGACAAAACAAGCCUACAAACUUUUACUUUUGUCUUGGUCUUCAACGUCCACUUCUUACCAUGCAUGCACGUCCAUGUGCAUGCAAUUAAAGAGGUAGAAUAAAAUAAUGGUCUUCCCCUCUCGCGGCUGCACGCUCUCUUCAUUCUUCACGCUUGCGGCUCAUAGAUCCGCAUGCGAUCUUCUUUUGACAAUUUCGGCCAAUUCACAUGGUUGAGUUCACAUACUCUCGUUCAACGGGCUCAAAUCGAGACAUAUUUUCAACAUAACAAUUCCAAGUCCCUUGGCAAGAGAUGUGUGAGAUUAUGUUAAAAUGCCCUCUAAAUGAUUCUUAAUUGCCUCGUUUAGUAAUCUAGGUCAACAUCACAAUGGUCUAAAUCAUAUAAUAAAGAAAGAGGACAAAAGGCAUGGAUCUCAAGCCCAAAUUAUACUUAUUAGCAUGCAAGAGAUCUUUGAAUGCAGAUACCCUUGAGGGUGGGAAGUCAUUAAGUUAUUAUUUAAAUAUUCUAACAGAGCCCAGUGGCUCGGACAAUCAAGCUUGAGUGCAUGUAGAUAAUUCUUGCUCGACAAACGCAUGGUGGGUCGUGAAUUGAGACUCAUCCGCGUGCACACUGGUGCCACCAUCACCAUAAAUACCACUUCCUUGACCAGUUGGACGGUCGAAAAAGGAAGACAUGGGUCGAGCACAUCCUUCAUUAACACAUUUGAGUCUUCCAAUAAUGUCGACGUUUGUGUCAUUCGUAGGGAAGAGGGAAGAUUUCCUGGAUGCUUCCCCGUCAUAAUCUAGCUUCAUUACUUUUACUGCUGACUCUGUUUCAUUAAAGAAGAAUGAGUCAAUGUUUUGAUCACACGGUUCCUUUCAGAUUCAUGUUGAAAUGUCAAAGUUUAUGUUCCAAAAGAUGAACAUUCUCAAGCUCACAUGGAUGGCCAUCACUUUGAAAUGAUUCUUGUGGAGUUCGAUCUAACAAUGAUUUGGUAGGACUACGUGACGAUGAUGUGCCGAUUAGAUAUUAUAACGAAAGGUCCUUAUUCGGAGAAAAGCGUAUUAAUCGAAUUUUGUCUGGUUUAAUAUGUAGCAAACGAAAAUGCUUAAUUAGUUGGUGAUAUCAUAUUAGCUUCUUGUGCGAUAUAAACAUCAUAUAAUAUAUUUCUUCAUUCAUAAUGCCCUAAUGUCACGGUAGAUCUGAUUCAAAUGUAUGAAGUAAGGCCUUUUAAAAUCAUUUUUAUAACUUAAGGUUGAUUCAAACUUCACUAGCACCGACAGUUUGACUCGGUCAAUAUUGGGUCGGCUGUCGGGGUGUCCCAAUAUCAGCUCAUCGUCUAAAUUUGGGGGAAGUGGAGGCUGCUGCUUUUCCGUUAUAUUUUGCUUCUCUUUUUCUUUUUUAUCAUUAUUAGUGUUGAAGCAUUUGUCUCUAACCCAAUGUCCCCAUCAAGAGAUAAGAUAGGAUUAGCUAAAUAGAACUUCAAAUAGCCCGAGUGUUACAAUAAGAUAAGUCCAAACCCUAAAAAAAUGAACUUUAUUUUGUCGGUAGCUUUCUUGACAUAUAAUAAGAAUGUACUUUUUGUUAAUGAUCAUAUGCAUAACGAUUUCUGAAAGAUUCUACCACAUUGAUAAUUUUAAAUAUUAAUCCAAAUUCGAGAUAUCAUGCCGAAGUUCGGAUUUAUUCAUUUGUUACUCACGAAUUAUCUUCUUGUAUGAAAUUUGCUGAAAAUUAGAGAAUCUCAUGAUACCAACAAAAUAUCGAGUUUAUUCAACUUUUUUUCAACUUUUUUUUUUGGUCUGAAAAAGAAGAUGUAUUAUAAUUUCAGUAACUUACAACCGGAUGCUAGGGCGUCAGCAUAUACAAGGUCUAGCAAAAUAGAAGGUGGGAAGAUGUUCCAAUUUUGGGCCGAAUUUGCAGAAAGGUGGGCCUUAGCAGCCUAGUCGGCCACAGUGUUGGCCUCUCGCUUGCAGAAACGAACCAAUAGGUUAGGGAAAAACAAAAGUAAAGCAGUCGCCUCCGCAAGAAGAGGUCGAGUCUCCCAUGGCGACGUCUCCACUCCUAUGACAGCCUCAACAACGAUACUACAGUCCGAUUCUAGGACAAUCGAAGCUUGAUGAAGCUCUUGUCUCUGCAGAUGGUGAAGCGCAAAGGUGACAGCUUGAAACUCCGCGAUUAGUGCAGAUGCAGCAUGAAAUCUCGUAGUAUAAACAUCAGUAAGUCUUCCAUAUUGAUCUCUACUUAUAUUAGCCAUCGAACCAUGUGUGCUUCCUGGUUGAAAAGAUGCAUCAACAUUGCAUUUCAAAAUACCUGGAUCCAGUGGUUUCCAAAUCCGAUGUGGGUGUUGUGGUGCUGUAGGUCUUGUCAAAAGGGCCGAGAUGCUGGCCUGAUAUAGUCGAGUCUGUGUUAAGGUGUUCUCUGCUGCAAAGGUUGAGUCCAGACGAUGGCCACGGAAGAUGAAUCCAUUCCUCAUUCUCCAAAUUUGCCACAGAAUGUUUGCAACAAGCUCUAGACCAGGUAAGUGAUUCAAUGAAAUAACCUAUUUUGCUAACCAAACUUCUAGUCUAGUGACCGUAUGGGGCUGCAUAGCAAUGUUAAUUUAUGGGUAAGCCUAAAUAGCUGUAGUCCACGGACAGAGGAGGAAUAAGUGCUCUAAAGUCUCUGGAAUGCUGUGUUGACAAAUCUAACAAAUUGGAUAAGUAAUAAUAUGUUUCUGAAAUAAGUUAUCUCGAGAUGCAAUGGCAUUUUGACAGACCGACCACAGAAAUAUAUGAAGUUUUGGAGCUAUCACAUAGCCCAGAUACGUUUCCAUAGAAUUUUAGGAUGUUGGUAUGAUAUUGAUGCUGUAUAGUUGUUGUUGCUGUUGAGAUUAGAAAGCACAUGAUAGUUGCUCUUUACCGAAUGUCAGCUCUUAGUGGCUGUCCAGACUAGCUUAUCUUCAGCAUAAGCAGGUCUAACUGGAAUGGUUUGAAUAUCUACUAUAAACUGGUCAUCAAAAAAUAUUUGUAGCAAAGAUGUGUUCCAGCUGUUGUGGAUAGGAUCAAUGAUAUCAACCACCAGUUUUGGUUCCUCUCUAGUGGUAGGGCCACCAAGAAUUCCUCUUGGUAACCAUCGAUCCUCGCAGAUUCUGAUUUGCCUGCUGUUACCCACUGACCUACUAACAUUAGGUAAUAUAGCAUCCCGGCCCACUAAAAUACUCAGCCAUCCCCAUGAGGGUCUAGCUCCUCUUAUCGCCCAUUGGAAAUUGGUGGAAUGAAAAUACAAACCCUUGAAAAUCUGACUCCAUAAAGCUUGAGGCUGUUGAAGUAGUUGCCACGCUUGCUUCCCAAGCAUGGCUCUGUUAAAUUCAAGAAGAUCUCGAAAUCCUAGACCUCCAUUGUCCUUACUCCUCUUUAGAAUAUCCCAUUUCUUCCAAUGUAUCCCUGCUCUGUUCUGAUCAUUUUUCCACCAGAAACAAGCUAUACUUUUUUCUAUAGAUCUGCAAAGAGACACAAGAAGUUUGAAAAUCGACAUAGCAUAGUGAGGAAUUAACUGGAUGACAUAUUUAAUGAGAACUUCCUUUCCUCCUUUUGAAAUGAACUUUUCUUUCCAUCCUUCCAACUUUGAUUGUAUUCUUCCCAAAAGCCAAGAAAACAUUUCCUUUUUAGAGCGGCCCCAGUCAAACGGAAUUUUUUUUUCAACUUGAUACACUACAUAUGUAGCACAAUUUACAAAAUUCCACAAAACCAUUGCACCAGAUUCCUGCCACACCUUUCAUUCUCUUAUCCUGAGCAAAGACAAGAACAAACAACACUCAUCGGCCCAACAUGCUUAACUCCAAGCAUAAAGCGACUCAAAACUCAUCUUCUCUCCUUUUGAAUUUAGCACAACCAGACAUAUUUAACACAGUACGAUGAACAGUCAAGAUAGCGAUGGGAUCUACUCAAUAGGCAUCAGGGUUUGCAAAGAGAUAAGCCUCGAUGGCCUUGAACAUCGCAGACGCCUUCUCUUUCCCGGCCUUGAUCUUCUCCUCGGUGGUGUCCACCUCACCAAUGGUGAAGUACUUGCUCGUGUUCUUGCACACUGAGCCUCCCUCGGGCGACGCGGUGAUCUUCGCCUCGUAGCUAAUCUUCUCGAAGGUGGUGCCCAGCACGUCGCCCUUAAUGAUCGAGUAGCUGUAUGUGAAGUUCUCCUUGUCCAAGGCCUCAACCUUGUGCUUCAUUGUCUUGUACUGACUGCCUAUCAAAGAAAAAAGUAAUAUUCAUCUUUAGAACUCGCCAGUUUCAACAUCGCAAGCAACGAUCUUGAUGGCAUCAAUUGGGCCAUUUAGGUUGUUCCGACCGCAAUCCAAUACGAUUGACUUAGACAUGGCCUGAUUUCGCUCGAUCGGAAUCAAGCACAUGAUCACUUGUGAAAAAUCAAUUAUUAAAAACAUCUUAAUUAACCAAGUUACAUAUCUAUCUUUUUAAACAUUCAUGAUGAUGUUCCAUAAGGUUGGAACCACCUUGAUCCUGGGCAAUCCUAACACAGACAACCUAACCUUCGCUGAAAGUGAUCAACUUGAUGGUCCUGGGACCUCCAUUGCCCUUGAAGACUUCGACACUCUUGAUGGCUUGCGGGAGCACCUUGGGAAUGAGGUUAUCAUUGUCGAGGACAACAGCCUUGAACAUCUUGGCCAAAGGGACCGGGGUCGUGAUCUCAAAGUCGUAACUGACGACACCCAUGAUUGGAUUCGAAUUGAGUUGCUGAAACUAAGAAGGGGGUGAUCGGGAAAGGCUGAGCAGCAGUGAUGAAGUUAGUCUCUAGGAGUCAGGACUUGCGAGUGAAGAGAAGAGGCUGAACCGAAGCUCACAUAAAUAGAGAGAGAUUAAGGCUCCAUUCGUUUUACGGAAAAUAAUUUCUGGGAAAAUAUUUUUCGGAUUUUCCGGCGUUCGUUUCACAAAAAAUGAAUUCCUUGGGGAAAAUGUUUUUCAUGAAAGGAAAAAAAAGUGUUCUAAAUUAAGGGAAAUUUUUUUCUACUUUUGAAAAGUGGAAAACAUUUUCCUCACUUGAUCUCUCUUAUCUCACACCUCUACAAAUCCUCACUUCCUCCCAUUUCUUUUUCUUCUUUUCUUUUUUUGUUCAAAUUAUUUUUUAAUUAUUUUUUUCUUUUUUUAAUUCAAAUUAUUUUUAAUUUCCUUUUUCUUUUCUAUUUCUUUUCUUUUUUUCUUUUUCUUUUUUUUUCUUUGUUUCCAAUCUUUUUCUUUCUUGACUAGUUGUUGGCCAUUGCUAGGCGAAUCUCGAGCUCAUCGAUCUCAAGCUCGCGCUCUACACUCUUGCUUAUCAUUUUCUUUAUUUAUUCUAUCCUACAGUUGUACAUUGCUCAAGUAAAGUGCUUUAUAUGCUUUGCUUCUUUUUUCUUUUGUUUAUUAGAACACAAAAGACGUAGGGGGAGAACAGGCCACUCAACUGGAAGAUUCUCAUGAGGGUUGUACAUGCUUUGCUUCGUUUCUCUUUUGCUUCUUUUUAAAAUUCAUACGAACAUUUUUUAGAGUAGAUGAGCGUUUGGUGAUAAUGAGGGAACAAAGAUAUGAAGUAAGUUUGUUUGAUUUAAAGACAAGUUCAUAUUUGAUGGAUUUAUAAGUCGGUAAGUGAUGCAUGCCUAAGUGGUGAUGUCUUAGAAAAUAUUUUCCUUACCGGACACUGGAAAAUAUUUUCCAAAACAUUUUUAGGUUUUAACCGAACACCAGAAAAUAUUGUCAUUUUUCUAAAAAAAUAACUUAUGCGAAAAUAUUUUCUGGAAAUGACCCAUUUUCUGUGAAAUGAAUGGACCCUAAAUGUAAAAAGGUUUUCUUAACUAGAUAUUCUCUUCUCACUUGAUUGUGCGAUUAUUUCACGGAAAGUAAAUGAUUUAAAAUAUAUAUAUAUUUUAAAUAAUCAUUUAUACCAUUUAAAAUAAUUAGUUAAUGGAAAAUAUUUUCACUUUUUCUUCUUUUUUUAAACUAUACAAGCAAUCAAUUUGAGGAAACAUUUUUCAAAUUAUCCGAUUUCUAUGGAACAAAUCAAGUUAAAAAAAAAAACUUUAAUUGGUUUGUGAUCAAGUUCAAUCAUGAUAUGGACUUUGUUUAUAAAAUAAAAAAAUGUCCAUAUGAUAACAGAAUAUUAGUCAAAGAAGGCAUCUUCCUAGAAAAAUACCAAUCAUGAUUCCAUUUCCUUUUCAUGUAUUGACUUUCUAUCCAGGGGCAUUUGCUCGGCCAAUUCUUGGAUUUUUUCUUUAGCUAGAAUUCUUGGUUCAGCUUUGCUGAUUUCUUACAGUCUUAUCAUAGUGGAAAAUCUCAAGCCCUUUUGACUACAAAUGUCGUAUGGAUUUUUAAUCGAGAUAGGACUAAAUAGGAUGUGACAUAAAAAAAAAUUGAUAUUGUUUGGUGAUUAUAGUAAUAUAGUCGUAGAAAUCCACAUCAUAUUAUAUAUAUUAUUUGGUAUAAAUGACACAUUAGUAAAAAUGAACCAAAAUUUUUAUAAAUGGAAAUGGUAAAAAUCUCUCGCGAUACUCUAGCUUACUUUUAUUUUAUUUGGUUUUUUUUUUUUUGUGGCAUCCUAAAACUUCAUGACAACCCUUAGAUAUGCUAUGAACCAUGAAUAGGUGAUGGAAACACCAUCAAAUUAUAUUGUAGCCAUUAGACUCAUGAUUUGCAAUAAUAUUAAGGCCGAGCUUUUCAAUUGACCAUUAUUUGAUAGGAAAAUUUUAUUCUUGGCCAUACGUUUUAUAAGUUGGAUUUUAUUGAUUUAUGUUACAUAAUAUUAUGGCCAUAUGAAUUGGUAAUUAGGUGUAUACUUAGGUGAAGAUUAAAUGGGAAAAAUUAGAGAAGAGUGGAUUGAUUUUCUUAAGCCCAAGACCAGCCCCACCAUUCGGCCACUAAGGCCUGGCUUGCGAAGCCCAAAGGACUGCUGUCGAUUGGAUGGAGGAGUUGGCCCAAAGGAUGGCCCAUCAACCUACAUGAAAAUUAACAGGUAGAUAAAAGGAUUAGCCAAGUGGCAUCUACAUGCAAUCAAAUGAUUGCUAAUCAUUGCCGAAGGGAAGAAAAGAGAGGGAGAUUGAGCGGAGUGAGCGAGGAGUACUGAGAGAGAGAGAGAGAGAGAGAGAGAGAGAGAGAGAGAGAGAGAGAGAGAGAGAGAGUUGUCAUGCGAGAGAAAGAGAGACAGAGAGAAAGAGAGAAAGUAGGUGUGUGAGAGAGAAAGAGGAGGAGGAAGAAAACUGUUGUUGCCGAGCGUCCGCCUAGUCCUGCUGUCGAGCCCGCCUUGUCCCGCCGUCGUGUUUGCUGCAAUUUUCUUUGGAUUAGAGGAAAGUAGAGUCCGUUAGCCUACACUUUGCUUGCUGUGAUUGUGCUGUUGAAUGCUGGAAAUGCUUGAGUUGUGAUGUUGAAUGCUGGAAAUUCAAGUGAAUGGUGGUGGUUUUCCAAGUGAGCUGUUGCAUGUAGGAACAGUUCGACUUUUGGUGAUUUCGUGAGCUGCAUACGAUUUUGUAAUUGGAAUCUCACUUCAACUUUUUGAUGAAAGUUGUAGAGGACUUCUUGGAGAUUAAUAUAUCAAAAUUUGAGAGAAAACAGACAAUUAUUCAUUAGUGAAACCAUUUUUCUUCAAAGAUACUAGAUCUGGAAACUGUUAUGUUGAUCUAUUGUGAUUAUGUGAAUUUUGUGCAAGUAUCCAUUCUGAAUUUGAUCUUGUGUCCUUGAUAAUAGUUGUAGAAGACAUCUUGAGAAAUAACAUACUAAAAUUUGAGAAGAAACGGACAAUUAUUGGUCGGUGAAAUGAUUUUUCUUUGAAAUGGUUAGAUCUGGAAAGCGUCACUGAGGGUUAGGAAGAGUAUGGUGACUGUAGCUUUUGAUCUAUCACGAAUCUGACUUCGAUUUAUUCACGAAAAUUUUACCAAUAUGUCUUAGUUAUAACAUGUUGAAAUCGCAGAAUUUUUGGAGUUCAUUUAAGGGCUUAAUCGAAAUUAUUUCCGAAACUGUGCAAAAAGGGGUGCUGGAAUUUCUUUUGCUGUGAUGUAUGGACCUAUGUGAUUGAUGUGAAACUUUCUUGACAUGGUGUUCUGCAUGAAAUAUUUUUCUCUAGGUCUUUUUUACAUCAUGUGAAAUUUUUAGAAUUUAUUGAGAUCGUUUAUUAAUUUUUCCAGAAUUUUUAUUAAAGAAGUGCAUUCUGCUUUAUUCGAAAAUUGUCCUAUUUUGAAAAACAAAUGAAUUGCUUUAUGAAAUAUGAAGUAUUGAGUGGUUAUUUAUGCUGCAUAUGUGGUGACAUUUGGCAUAUCAUAUGACAUCAAAAGGCAGGUUUAGACCUCGAAUAUUAUUGCGUCAAAUGCUUAUUUGAAAAUGAGAUAUAUAUAUAUAUAUAUAUAUAUAUAUAUAUAUAUAUUGUGGUGAUGAUGAUAUCGUCGGAGGUGUGAGCCGACGAUGCCCCGGGAGUGUCAGGAUGCCCAAAUGUUCGAAUGAGUCGAUGCCCUUUGGAUGCCUGAUUGUAUUAUGAAUACAUGCCCAAAGGGUCCUCGGGAGUUUCGAGAUGCCUGGUGGUAUACGGUAUGUAAUUCCAGGGGGAUACCUGGUGGUAUGUUGGUAUGUAAUUCCGGAAGCCCUGGAGGUGUGUGCCGGGGGGAUCCUCAUGAUGCUAGUUGGAGUGCGAGAUGCCCGGAGGUUUGUGCCAGAAGUUCCUCGCGAUGCCAGGUUGUAUGCGAGCGAUAAAUGAGGGAUGCAAGCAGUGGUCCCUAGGAGAAUGAUGGGAUCCUUUUGAAUAUCAAAAUGAGAAUUGAAUCAUGCAUGUGUGUGUGUGCAUAUGGCAUGUGAUAUAAUUGCCUGUGAAAUUGAGUUGAUACUAUUUGGCAUCGAAUGGAUCUCAUGAGGAUAUAUACAUGAUUAUGUGGAUGACAUGAAUUAUGCGUAUGGAUAUGUGCAUAUGGCAUGAGAUAUAAUUGUCCAUGAACUUGAAUUGGUAUUACUUGGCAUGGGAAAUAUGACUAGUAAGGUCGUGAAUGAAUCUCAUGGACAUAUAUGCAUGAUGGCAUGGAUGAUAUAUGCAUGUCGCAUGAAAUUGUGUUGUCUUGCCUAAUGCAUUGUGUAGUUUGAUGGAUAUUUACUACUGAGUGGUUGUACUCACCCCUUUGGGGACCAACAUUUCAGAUUGAGCGAUGCCUCUAGCAUCUGUCACAUGUGGUACAUUCGAUGGUAUACCAUCUGAUGUUGAGGUCGAGUGCAAGGAACACCCCUGCGUCGGUGUUCAUGGUCUGGUGUUUAUCCGCGUCCAUGUCUUGGUCAUGUAUGAUGUGAGCCUACCUGAUAUAGUAUAGGAGUUUCUAUCUGUCCAUGUUUGUCGAGAUAAGAGGAUGAUAGGGAUGCUGCCGCCGCCACUGGCCGAUGCAUCGAGAUGGGUGUGAUAGGAGUGUGUGAUUGGUGGAGGUUGAUACUUUUUGGGAUGGCUGACACUAGCUUAUGGAUAGAUGUACAUGUAUGAUGUAUAGUUGGGUUCUUUUGGGUUUAGCCGAGCUUAGUUAAAGUCUUGGCCUUUUGUUGUACCGACUUGUGAAAUCCAUCUUAGUUAUGUAAAUAAAAGUGAUUCGGCCCUAAUAUAUAUAUAUGAAAGGUUGUAUUGCAUUGUAUUAUUUAGUUUGUGUAUGGGUUAGGGAGAUGAUGAGUAUGCUUCCGUUAUAUGAACUGCGCUGGGACCGAUUAAGGUUAUACGAACCCCCAAGGAUUUAUGGACCCGCUACAAUUGAAAUGGUAUUAGAGUAGCAUGUUAUUAGGACAAGUGAAAGGUAAGCAAAUUGUGGCGACCCUAGCAAAUUGGGGGCUGUGUCGAGGGGCGCACAUUUUUAUUUUAUUUUCCCCUCUUUUAUUAAUUAAUCUUUUUUAUUUUUUCCCCUCCCAUCAUUCUCUAAUAAAUUUUUAUUAAAUAGUAGAUUGUACUAAUAUAAUCAAAAUACUAAUAUAUUGAAAUUAUUUUAUAAAAAAUAAUUAAAUUCGAAUAUAUGAAAAUAAAAAUAAGAUUAAAUUAUAAUAAUUAAUUCAUUAUUUUUUUGUUUUUUGAAUUUCUUAUAUUAGAAUUCAAAUAUUAUUUAUAUUGAGAUAUAAUUUUAAUUUUGUUAAUUUAAAAAAGUUGUCCUUUGGUUCAAUGUGCAAUGUAAUCCAUGAACUUUUAAUUUGUUCAAUAUGAUCAAUAUAUUUUUUAUACAUGUUUAAUGUUGUCUUUAAGUGGUAUGUAAAUGUUCAAUAUAGUCUUUUAUUAAUUCAAAAUCAGGGUGAACAUUUUCAUAUAAUCUAGUGACUAAAUUGAAUAUAUACAAAAAAAAAAUCAAAUAUUACAUUAAACAAAUUAAAAGUUCAAGAACUGCAUUGCACAUUGAGUUAACAUUGAUAGAUCAUAUUAAAUAAAUUAAAAAUUUAGAGAUCACAUUAUACAUUAAGUUAAAAUUCAUGAAUUAUUUGUAUCAUUUUUCCAUAUGAAAAAGCUUACACAAAAAGUCCCGACACAUGGAUAUCAACCCUCCAUAAAUUUCGCCCAUAAAGUAACUCUCGCUUAAUUGCAUGUGAUAGAAAAGUAAAUUGUUCCAUUUACCUUAGGAGCAUCUCUCCUCCCAUGGAGAGCUAAACCCCUCAAAACCCAAUAAAUUGCCCGUACAACAAAUGAUUCACUUUAGGAUUAACUUUUAUUUCAAUCACCCCAUUCUUUUGCUAAAGCAACAUAAAGCUUCUGCAAACCCUUUUUAUUUUUUUUAUUUUUUAUUUUUUUUCGAAUUUUAACUUUGUCUUCAUGGACUACGGGGAGAGGGAGGGAAGCUUUGGCCAUUUUCCUUAGAUGCAUCUCUCCCUUGUUCAGCCUCCAACCUUUUGCAACCCUCUCCAUGCAUUGACUGCUCUUUCAUGUUAUUGUUGUGAUAUUAUCUUGUUCCUAGUUUUGUCUGGUUAUCAAAAGCAAAUUGAAAACUAUGAUGGGUCUCUUGUUUCUGAUUGGGAAUUAUCCCCAGACAAAUCCAUUUUUCCUCGGCCAAAAGGUUAAUUAAUUGUUUGCAUGAAAUGAUUCCAGAAGGAUAUUGCAAUAUGAGCAUAUAUAUGUUACCUUUUCCCCAUUGUAAGCAAGAACUUAAUACAUGUUUUUCUUGAUCAAAGCUAGCCUAUCUCUAGUUUCUUUUUCAAAUGCUUUUCUUAGAAUAGGCCUUUUGUGUAAUAUUGGCCUUUAGUGGGACCAAAAAACACAAGGAAAAAAAAGGGGUUGAAAAGUGAAAAGAAAAAAAUUAAGUGGAUGCUUUAGCUUAUAAAGAAAAGCAAAGAGGAAAAGAAAAGAAAGAAAAAGAAAGAAAGGGGAAAAGAGAAAGAGCUUUGUGUGUACAUGCUAUGGGAGCCUCACUAGGCUGGAGUUACUUUGAUUUGCAAUGUAUGGUAAGUGCUUGCACCUCUUAUUCUUCUAAUCGGAGUAGUUUUUGGAGUUAUGUCGUAGUUUUGGGAAUUAUGUCAUAUAUUCAAAGUUUUGUGAAAAUCAAGUUGCGAAAUCCGAUUAUUGAGUUGUUGAGUUAUGAGAUUUUAUGAAAAUGGUGGGUUAUGGUUUCGUGAAGCCAUAGGGUUUGUCGAGAGUUGUUUUUGAGUGAUAGUUUAUUUGGAGUGAGAGUCUUAGGAUUUCACAUUCACAUUCCGUAUGGUGAACAUCUUAAAUAAUCACUUCAAUGAGCGAUUUAUUAGUGCGUAGAAGUUGUUUUGUUCGUGUUUAGAUGUAGUUUAGCCAUUUUGUAGUUGAGGUAGAGUAUUACUUAGUUUUAAUGUUGAUUCUCGUUUAAUUGAUAGAACUAUGAAAUCAUCAACCCGUUUAGCUACACGUUGGUUGAUUUGGGCAUUCAUACGUUAGUAAACUCAUUUCUUAAAAAUUAUAGAAAUUUGAUAUAUUAUAAGUUAUUACAAUUUGAUAUUUGUAAAUGGUUUGCCAAAUGUUUUUGGAAAGUUGUUGAGAAAGGUUAUAUGUAUAUGUAUGGGUUGAUUUGUAAAUAUGGCUUAUGAAGUGGAUUUUGAAAUGGUUUGUGAAACGUAUUAUGAUUUAUAAAAUGGAUUUCGAAAUGGUUUGAGAAAUGCCUCGUAAAAUGUAUUAUGUUUGAUGAAUGGAGUUGAGAGAAAGAUUAUAUGUUUGGUUUGUGAAACCGUUUUGUGAUAUUGAUUCCAAAUUAGCUUGUGAAUUGUGAAGGAUAUUGUUGUGAAUUUUUGUUGGUACUUAAUAUCGCUAUGAGCCCAAUAAGGGGUUUGUAGGUAUGCAUACUAGUUAGGAUAUUCUUGUGAGCUAGCUACCGUCAAUAUAAGUGGAAACCUUGCCAAAGGUGAGCUUGGUUACCUUGUCAUGGAGCAUUAUGCAUGUCGUGGUAGAAUUUAAGUAGGGGUUUGGCCAAUGGAUGGACUAUUGACAUGUGACUUGAUAUUAGUUGAUAUAAUGGACCAUUGACAUGGUUUUUUUUUUAGAUUGAUUAAUGGACUUAAACAUGGACUUAACCAUUGAUGUUUGUCAUAAUGAUAUUGAUUUAAGGAGUAUUUUUUUUUAUAUGUAUAUAGUUAUGUUAAAAUGAUAGAACUCAUCUUUAUCUUAUCUGUGUAUUAUGUUAUGAAAUUGAGAUAAAUGAGUUUUAAUAUUAUUUUGUAAAGUACAUAGUGGAUACUCUAUCUACUUAGAAGAUAUGAGUACUACUCAUUAGGCUAUGGUUACUCAUUCCAUUCAUCUUUCAUGCUUUUCAGGUCCUCAAUUAGUGGCUAUUAGAGUGAGAGUGUUAUUCAGGAGAUUUUUGAAGUUGACUUUUGACACGCCCUAAACCUCCGAGCAUGUGCACAUCCCACUUCGGUCGAUAGAAAUGCGACUUCCUAAGACACAUCGCCAACCCAUUUAUGUUAUUACGCAUGCGGAAGCAAAACAAAUCCCUUGACAACAUUUAACUUGGGAUAGAAAAUCAGGAAAUCAAUCACAACCAAUCAAGCUUUCUUAUAAACACAUAGGUUUAUAUACAACACUGGAUUGUCUACAAAAUAGACUGGCUCAACAAAAAGGGGACUGUCUUAACAUCCACUAGUCAAACCCAUUUGCCGAUUCUUUAGCCUCCACUUUCCGAACUCCAGGACUUCCGGUCCUCCACGAUCAUCAUCUAGGGACCUGAAAUAUUGUCCCACAACCGGAAUGAGAUGAUAUCUCAGCUAGUCCUACCCUCUAAGACCCGAUUAGGAAAAAAAUACGCCUCACGGCACUCUAGCCACACAAAUAGGAUGGAGUACUUACCUCGCCUUAGUCAUUUUCUGCACUUCAGUACAAUUCAAUUCUCAAUCACACAAUUGAGCCAACUAUUCAAUUCAAUCAUACUAUCUAUCUUUCCAUUUCAAUUCGUACUAUCUAUCUUUCGAUUUCAAUCUGUACUAUCUAUCAACCAUUAUUAUCUAUCAUUCAAUACUGUCUAUCAAACCAGUUGUUAAUACGACACAUGCUCUCCAAAGCUGUAAUAUAUAGACGGUAACUCGCUCAAGCUGUAUAGAUAGAUAAUAGCUCGCCCAAGCUGUAUAGAUAGAUAAUAGUUCGCCCAAGCUGUAGAUAGAUAAUAGCUCGCUCAAGCUAUAGAUAGAUAAAUCGUGCUUGCACAAGCUGAUAAAAUGAUCUUAGCUCACACAAGCUUAUAUAUAUGUAUAUAAUAUUUGCUCGCCCAAGCUGAUACAUAUAUAUAAACUAAUGCUCGCCAAAGCUAUUCAUUCAAUAAUAAGCCAAUCCAUACUUCAAUUAAAUCAAUCAUCAAUCCAAUCAAUUCAAACUGGUCAUACAAACCAAUUACGGUGCUAAAAGCCAACACCGAGUAUUUUCAAGUUAAAUACCAAAACUUCUCCAAUUUCACACAAUCCCACACUUUUGGAAUUAUUAACCAUAAUUAUCAAUCACUCAAAUUUUCAAUUUAAACAUACAAUUAGCACAAACUGACCACACCAAUGCGAUUAGCGUGAAAUUCUAAUGAUCGGCCGUUCUGGCAAAAUUUUCGAAAUUAUUAAAUAAUUAAAUAUUAAAUUAUAAUAAUAUAAUUUAAUAAAUUAAUAUUUAUAAAUUCGAAAUAAUUAAUUAAUUAAAAAUAAUUAAUUUGGGCUUAAACAAGAUUACAUUAAUUUAAUCAUACAAUUAGCCAUAAUUAAACAUCCAUUAAACUAAUCAUAUAACUAAUCUAAUUUACAUUAAAAUAAUCUAAUCUAACCACCUAAACCUAAUUAGACUAAUUUAAACACCUCUUAAGCAUAAUUAACUUACUAAGCAGGGAUUAGAGGAUAAACUCACCGGUUUUGCGCGCCAGUGAGUUCACGGCGACCACGACGCCAAGGCGGUCGAUAAACCCCGAAGCGACGAUACCAACGUAGGCCGGGAAGGGCUUGAAAACGGGCCACGAAGUCUCCAAAACCUUGCUGUCUUCUGCUUCUGAUCUGGGCUGAACUGCAGAGAAGAAAACAGCAACUUCAACGGCGAAAACAGGCUGAUCUGAGCUCCGGCGAGCAGGUGGUUGGCAACCGGCGGCUCCUGGAGGUCAAGGGAAUCUUAUUGGAGGUUUGGAUGGGCAGAGGAAGGACUGGAAUGGGAGAAAAAUGGCCGAAAACGCGAAACAGUGCAGGCUGCAGGCAGGCUGACGGACUGGCGACCGGUUCCUUCCCGGCAGCGCCCAUGCCGUCCGGCGGCUCCGUUCGGGACGAAAUUGGGCUCGUUGGAACGGUCUGUCUCUCCUGGUCACAGUAAUAGGUGGCUCAUUGACUGAUUCAUCUGGGAAGACGACUUUUAACUCGAUUCUUCACUGAAGGGUCAGCUGGAGCAGAAACUGAAGGAGAGGGAAAACGAGGAGAGAGAGAGCUUCGUUCGAGGGAGGCCGAAUGGGGGAGAGAGAGAGUGAAGUGAGGGCUGUCAAGACCCCCAUCAAUGCUUGCUUCAAGUCCCCAUGCCAAGCCAUCAUCAUUUUCUCUCUCUUCUCUAGCCUUUUCUCCCUACAACUAGGGGUAUUUUGGUCAUUUCACCUUGCAAAAAUUACAAAUCUGACAUUGGGCUGAAGUUGGUGGGUGGACCUAAGGAUUGGGCUUGGCCAUGAAUAGGAAUGGGCUUGGGAAUUUGUUGGGCUUGAAAUGGAUAAGAAUUGGCCCAUGGGCUUAGAAGAUAAAUAGUAGGUUUUGCCCAAUGGGCUUAUUUGCUUGACUUAGGCCCAUUAAGGUGGCUGUCCAACUUUGGGCCUAGGGCCCACACUGGCUUGGCCCGGCCCACGACCUCACGAGCUCGCUUCCUCGAUUCAAAAAUCCAUUUUCCAAUUGCUCGGCUUAACUGGCUCUGUCAACUGUUUGAUGUAGCUUCAUCCAAAGUCUGUCCCGGACAUUCCCAAUAAUUCGAAGUCCAAUCCUAAGUUCUUUUGCCAUGUCAAUUUCGCCAAAUGCCAUUUCGAUUACAACUCAAACUAACGGGUGGCUGUGAGGAUUUACGCGUGACCGACUCGUGCCAAACCACGUUCAAGACAUCUCGACGCAUGGACGUCCUUGACUGUAUAAAAUUAUGGAGGAUAUAUUCUUAUUUCAAAAUACACGAUUACUAAGGAUCAACAUAAGGUCGUUCAUGGAUUCGAUAACAGUAAAUGGAAUCACUCGUCGUUCCAUUAUGUUCUGCCUGCGAAUCGACUUUUAGUUGUCCUUAGAACCGGCAUGGCUAUCUAUAGGAUCGUCCUCACGUAAAUUUCACGGUCAAGUCGUUUUCCUAGGUCGAGUCCUUUAGUCGUACGAGUUCUGUCCUCAUUAGUCUUUCCCCUCAAGGUCAGUAUCUCAUGAGUGAUCAAUUCCGAGCGAGAUCAACCAACAAUGCAUUGACGAAAUUCACCUUCACUCAUCCCUCAGAGAGCUUGAAUUUCAGGAUGUCACAACUUUUGGGUAGAUAGAGGCUACAUCGUUCAGGUGGAAAGAUAGCCGUCCUAUUCCCUUUUUUGCUAGAAUUUGAGGUGUGGUAUUUUGUUUCUUCAAGUUUAGAAUCAGUUUGAUCGAGUGUCCUUUCCAUUUGAAUUGGUGGCCAUCUUAUCAAAAAGUUAUUCUACAAGUGUGAACUCAACCACAAAUUUGGGCCCCAAAAUCUGGGUUAGGAUAAAUUUCUAUGGUUUCAUGUAUACAAUGUUUUCCAUGUACUUCUCUUGAAUGCUAAAACUGACAUAAGCAACGAGUGUAAUUGGGGUAGGAUCGUUACAUACAUUGUUUGUGAUGUCUAACAUGAUGAAAUCAUUUAUGAAUUCACACACUUUUAAGUAUGAUAUCUUUAAAAAAAAAAGGACCGCUGCUAAUGCAAAGUCGGUCUAUAAAUAUCUUGAAUUGCCUUUAUAUAUGUCGAUUUCAAUGAAUUGUAAAAGAGGUACAAGGGAAAGGGGUAACUAUGUGUGGCACCCCCGACACGGCCCCUGAACCGUUAGGGUCACCACAGUUCAAUUACCAUCCUCUUGCUUGGCCUUCAAUCUUAGGGGUUUACAUCAUUUAGAUCGGUCCCUGCGCAAUUUAUAUGGCGGAAGCGUAUCCAAUAACUCCCUUCCCUAUAUUUAGAAAACGAUGCACACCUACUAAACAUUUAUAGGUAAAAGUUGAACACUUUUAUUUACUUAAACCAGAUGGACAUUAUUCAAUGAUACAUCAAAAUGCUGUAGUCUUCUAUACUCGGCUAUACUUCAAAAGAUGACCGACAUCUCAUCCAACAGUCGUAUACUUAAAGUCCAUCGAUCAGUAUCGACGUCCAAAAGUUCCUUCAUUUGCUAUCCUCCUCCUCACGGUCAUAUCCAACCACUCGAUCCAUCUACCUUUGGCAGUGGCCGCAGAGGUACUUAUCUAGUUUGAAAUGUUAGUACCAAAACGGGGUGAGUACAACCACUCAGUAGUAAAGAUCUAUCAAACUACACAAUGCAACAAGCAAGACAACCACAAUUCAUGCAAAAUGCACAUAUCAUUCAUGCCAUUAUACAUAUAUGUCCAUGAGAUUCAUUCACGACCUUACUAAUCAUAUUUCCCAUGCCAAGCAAUACCAAUUCAAGUUCAUGGACAAUUAUAUCUCAUGCCAUAUGCACAUACCCAUACACAUGAUUCAUAUCAUCCACACAAUCAUGUAUAUAUCCUCAUGAGAUCCAUUCAAUGCCAUCAUGAUCGCAUUCUCAAUGCCAAAUAGUAUCAACUCAAUUUAACAGAUAAUUAUAUCACAUGCCAUAUGCACACACACACAUGCAUGAUUCAAUUCCCAUUUUGAUAUUCAAAAGGAUCUCAUCAUUCUCCCAAGGACCAGUGUUUGCAUCCCUCAUAUAUCGUUCGCAUCCAACCUGGCAUUGCAAGGAACCUUCGGCACAAACCUCCAGGCAUCCGGCAUAAACCUCCAAACAUUUUGCAUCCCACCUGGCAUCACGAGGAAUCCCCCCGGCACACACCAGGGCUUUCGGAAUUACGUACCGACAUACCACCAGGCACCCCCUAGAAUUACGUACCAUAUACCACCGGGCAUCUCGAAACUCCCGAGGAUCCUUUGGGCAUGUAUUCAUAAUACAACUAGGCACUCACAGGGCAUCGACUCAUUCGAACCUUUGGGCAUCCCGACACUCUCGGGGCAUCUUCGGCUCACACCUCCGACGGUAUCAUCAUCACCACAAUGUAUAUUCACACACACAUCUCAUUUUCAAAUAAGCAUUUGAUGCAAUAAUAUUUGAGGUCCAAACCAGCCUUUUGAUGUCAUAUGAUAUGCCAAAUGUCACCACAUAUGCAGCAUAAAUAACCACUCAAUACAUCAUAUUUCAUAGAGCAAUUCAUUUGUUUUUCAAAAUAGGACAAUUUUCGGAUAAAGCAGAAUGCACUUCUUUAAUAAAAAAAUCUGGAAAAAUUAGUAAACGAUGUCAAUAAAUUAUGAAAAUUUAAAAUGAUAUAAAAAAGACCUAGAGAAAGAGAUUUCAUGAAGAACACCCUGUCAAGAAAGUUUCACAUCAAUCACAUAGGUCCAUACAUCACAGCAAAAGAAAUUUCAGCACCUCUUUUUGCACAGUUUCAGAAAUAAUUUUGAUUAAGCCAUUAAAUGAACUCCAAAAAUUCUGAGAUUUUAACAUGUUAUAAUUGAGACAUAGAGGUAAAAUUUUUGUGAAAAAAUAAAAGUCAGAUUCGUGAUAGAUCAAAAUCUACAGUCACUCUUCCUAACCCUUAGUGACGCUUUCCAAAUCUAACCAUUUCAAAGAAAAGUCAUUUCACCGACCAAUAUUUGUCCAUUUAUUCUCAAAUUUUAGUAUGUUAUUCCUCAAGAUGUCGUCUACAACUCUUAUCAAGAACACAAGAUCAAAUUCGGACUGGAUACUUACACAAAAUUCACAUAAUCACAACAGAUCAACAUAACAGUUUCCAGAUCUAGUAUCUUUGAAGAAAAAUGGUGUCCGUUUUCUCUCAAUUUUGAUAUGUUAAUCUCCAAAAAGUCCUCUAUAAAUUUCAUCAAGAAAUCGAAGUGAGAUUCCAAUUAUAAAAUCGCAUGCAGCUCACGAAAUCACCAAAAGUCGGACUGUUCCUACAUGCAACAGCUCACUUGGAAAAACCACCACCAUUCACUCGAAUUUCCAGCAUUUAACAUCACAACUCAAGCAUUUCCAGCAUUCAACAUCACAAUAAUAGCAAGCAAAGUGUAGGCUAACGGACUCUACUUGCCUUAAAUCCAACGCAACCACAGCAAGCAAAAUGGAGGACUCGGGAUCUCGGAUGCUGCUCGGUGACGGCGGACUCGAGCGGUGUCGACGGUGGUAGCUCGGACACGGCACGAGCGAAGGGUGGCCUUCCUUCUCUGCCCUCACACGCACGGACCGCUCGCUGCUCACCCUCUCUCUCUAACUCUCACUCGAAUUCUCUCUCUCCCUCACACUUGCUCGCCCCCCCCCCCCCCCCCCCCCCCCCCCCUCACUCUCUCGGCCUCACUCUCCUUUUACCGAUAGUUUUUGCUUUUCUUUGAUUAACUAAUUCACUAAUUUUGUAUGCAGGUGACAAGUGUUCUCAUGGAAAGGACAAGUAGAAGAUGCAUGGACAAGUGGCUUCAAAUAAUGAACAAGUGGAGGCAAUUCAAGGACAAGUGUUAGAAUGGCAUCCCCUUCUCACGAGCCCUCUCUCUCUGUCCGAAUUCUUUUCUCUCUGGUUAGUACAAGUGAGCUGAUUAGUCGCUGGUUUUUCACCAAAACCAGUCAACUAAGAGAUAAUUUUUCCAUGGUUUGGCUGCAUGAAGGGCAGCUGGAUCCGUACGCGUCCAGCAUGCUUCUCUUCCUUCGACACUUGCUCCUCUCUUGCAACGUUUCUUCAGCCAUUUAACUAAUUCUUUUCUUAAUCCCAAUUUGCUGGCCGACCGCGAGAAAGCAACGUGGCAUCAAUGGUCAGAAAUUUUCCUCUCAUAGUUGGCUAGGGUGUCGACCAAAUGGAGAGAGGUUGGGGCAGCCUUGGGCGCGGACGAUUCCUCCUUUUCCGCAUGGGUGUGCAUGUCCCUCAUGCACGGCUGAAUUCUAUUUCCUCGGCUCAGAAUUUUAAUUAAUAGAAGUCCAGAAUUUCCCUCUCAUUUCGUAUACAUUUUAGUGGUACAAUUGUGUAGCGUCAUCAAAGCAAUUUGCACAACUCAAUAAGGUUGAAUGUAGUACUAACGAUGAUGAAUUCCAAUAGUAGUUUCGUCAAUCCAUGACGUUUCAAAUAUGGGUGAGAUUGGUCUCACUAAUAACCUUAUGUAAAGAGGCUUUUGACAAUACUCUAGUCUAUCCCACAAUCGGACUAUUUUCUAAACAUGAGGUACGGUCCAUUAAAUUGCUCGGCCUUAAUUAAAUUAAAAUCUAUUAGCCAAAGACCAUAACAUAGUCCGAUGACGCUUCCAUCACCUAUUCAUGGUUCAUGGUAUGUCUAGGGGUUGCUAUGAAAUUCUAGGAUGCCACACUAUGGUUAGAGUUCUGUAGUCUCUGGUUCUAAGAAAAAUCCUGUCAAAUCUCUUCUCUAGGUGUAGGUGUCGUCGACAAUGAAAUGGAAGAAUUGCAUUGGUUUCUUUUUUGCUUCUUCUAAAAUAUUUUACUUCUCAAACUCUCCAUAGAGCUUCAUGCUUUUUACUAUUCUUAGGUUAUGGUUGCCUGAUGGUAUGAUUUAUGUAAUUAUGCUUCCCUUGUAGACUGCAAAAGUUAUAGGGGCGGCCAUCCAACCAUUACUAUAGUCAGUUGGUCGGCUGCAGCUUGUUGUCGCUCGGGUUCAGGCCCUUUAUAUCUCUGCUUCAGAUAUUUUUGAGCUUGACAGUCUCUAAAAUUGGUAAACGUUGUCUUCCAACAGAUUGACAAGGCCACGCAUGAUCAAACUAGAGAUUCUCUUCACGAGCGUCAAGCUGAUGAAAGUGAUGAUGAGGACGAAGACAUCGAUCAUGUCUUUUACAGGGAUGAGGAUGAAUCUGGACAAACUAGCGAUGAUACAAAUGAUGACGAGAAGCUCUAAAUUUUAAGAGUUAGUCAACCUUGCUGGUGUUAAAUUUGAUUUGUCGUGUUGCAUCUUCAUAAACUAUGGAUUGUUGGGGUAAUUACUAAUUAGUGGGUAAAAAAGUAGGUGAAGGCUAUAAGACUAUUUUCGAGGUGAGGACACCUGGAGUGCCAUAACUUGGCACGUCGGGACACUUAAGUGCCAUAACUUUAAAAUGGUACACUUAAGUGCCAUCAUCGGAGUAAAAUGGGACACUUAAGUGCCACUCCGGCGAAAAUCCGGCCAAAUGGCUGACGUGGCGACUUUCUGGCGAGCUCGGUCCAAAACGGCGUCGUUUUGCAUGCUGACGUGGCGGAGAAAAUGCAAAAACGACGCCGUUUCGCGUCUAUGUGUAAAUAAUAGUAUAUAAAUUAAUUAAAUUAGAUUUAAAAUAUUCAAAAAUUUUAAAAAAAAUAAGAAAAAUUUUAAAAAUUUUAAAAAUUUUAAAAAAUUUUAAAAAUUAGAAAAUUUAAAAAAAUUUAAAAAAUAAGAAAAUUUAAAAAAAAUUUAAAAAAUUAAGAAAAUUUUAAAAAUUUUAAAAAUUAAGAAAAUUUUAAAAAUUUUAAAAAAUAAGAAAAUUUUAAAAAUUUAAGAAAAAUUUAAAAAAAAUUUAAAAAAUUAAGAAAAUUUUAAAAUUUUUUUAAAUUAAGAAAAUUUUACAUUUUUUAAAAAUUAAGAAAAAUUAUAAAAAAAAUUAAAAUUAUAAAAAAGUUAUAAAAAGGGGGGGGGGGGGGGAGGCCGAACGGGGCGGCUCCCUUGCCGCUGCCGGCGGCUCCCUCACCGCCGCCACCUCCCCCCCCCUUUUUCUAAAUUUUUUAAUUUUUAAAUUUUUUUUAAUUUUUUUUAAAUUUUUAAAAUCUUUUAAAAUUAAAAUUUUUAAAAUUUUCUUAUUUUUUAAAAUUUUUAAAAUUUUCUUAUUUUUUAUUUUUUUAAAAUUAAUUUUUUUUAAUUUACUUUUUUUUUUAAAAAAAAUUUAAAAAAAAAAUUUUUUAAAAUUUUUUUUUAAAAUUUUUUUAAAAUUAAAAAUUUUAAAAUUUUCUUAUUUUUUUUAAAUUUUUAAAUUUUUUUAAAUUUUUUAAAAUUUUUUAUUUUUAAAUUUUUUUAAAAUUAAAAUUUUUAAAAUUUUCUUUUUUUUUUAAUUUUUAAAAUUUUUUAAAAUUAAAAUUUUUUAAAAUUUCUUUUUUUUUAAUUUUUAAAAUUUUUAAAAUUUUCUUAUUUUUUAAAAUUUUUUUUAAUUUUUUGAAAUUGAAAUUUUUAAAAUUAAAACUUUUAAAUUUUUAAAUUUUUUUAAAAUUUUUAUGCUGAUUUGGAGCUCCGGCGAGCCACGUAGGCAAAAAAUAAUAAUAAAAUAUUGCCACGUAGGAUUUCCGGCAAGGGUCGCCGGAGGUGGCACUUAAGUGUCCCACUCUAGAAAAAAAGUGGCACUUAAGUGUACCGUUUUGAAGUUAUGGCACUUGAGUGUCCCGGCGUGCCAAGUUAUGGCACUUGUGGUGUACUUCUGCCGACUUUUUUCUCUGAUUCCAUUUUCAGGUAAAGUCUUAUAUUCCACUGCGAGAAGUGAGUUCCAUACAGCUUCUUGUAGAUAGACUAUUUUGAUAUUUCGACUAAGAACCAGUUAAACAUGAUCCCCUCGGAGAAAUUCAUACAUAUGCUGCCAAUUUCGCGCCCUCCACAAAUUUUAUGAUUCCGAUUGCAUGUGCUGGUCUCAAGCAAUCACCCCGACGACAGAGACCACCAUAGACUAGCCGUUGUGGUAGCGGUGGUUGCCCUGCAGCGGAUUAUGGCAUCUCUAUGUAUACUUUUCCUGAAAAUUGUUUAUUCAAUUAUACAAUCAUAUCCUCCGUUUAUCAAACACUCUGUAGGACCGUUUAUCUGCACCUGCCCUUGUAUCCGGUGUGUUUGCAUACAAGGAAUUUGAUACCAAAAAUCCGCAGGACUUCUUGUUCGAUCUUAAUGUAUCCCUUUCGACUUUAUUUCUUAGCGACCGAAUGCGGCGUAAGAGUAGAACAUGACAAUUUACCCUCGACGAGUUGACAGAGUACAUGUCGCAUUCUUUAGAUAUAAUUCCAAAAUCUGAGACCCAGAAACUUUAGAUGACCAUCUCACUGACCUGGGAUGCUUUAGAUGUCCUCACUUGGAUUGCACCGCACGGCAACCUAAAAACCGUUCUGGCAUUUUAACAUCAUAUGCUGUAUGCUGGAUAUAAUUAUCAAAGGUUCUAAAUCCAAUAAUUAUGUAAAGCGAAGUCAGCUAAAAGCCAAGAGAUCGCUAUUGAGACAUUUGACAACAUUAAAAUGAUACCAUAGUUUCACACAUAAAACAUGGAAUAUGACACAUAGAAUUCCAAGUUCGUUCGGGUAAGAGAAACGACAAAAAGCAAAGCGAGUUCAAAAGGAAAAGCGAAAAUGGUUGCUGUAUUUGGUUUUAAAUGAUUCGUUCGAUUUUGCAGGGUUUCAAUACGUCCCGAUCCAAAUUAAGCUGCAUAUUUAUCAUGAAACUCAAAGUGGGGCACACGCAACUAUCGAGACCGAAAGAAAAGAAAGAAAACGGGGGGCCGCACGCUACGAUAAUCACUCAAUUGAGGACCACAUCGGACCAAAGUUUAUUCGGACAACACUUCAUAUGGGCUUGCGAACGAAGCAAGUACAGCCAAUUUACGAGACAUUUCCCAGAACCACCAUCAUAUUGGCCUAAGACACGAGCAGUCCUCUCUCACAGGGUGACAUCCCCUUGGCGGACACAUACAGGAUGGAAGAGAACUGAGUCUCACGGACUCCGCCUCCGCAUGAGCCUGGAUGGCCCUGAACAUCACGGACGCCUUCUCUCUCAUGGGCCUGAUCAUCUCCUCCUCCGUGAUAUCCCCUUGGCCGACGGUGAAGCACCUGCCCGCGUACUUACAGACCGAGCCACCCUCCAGGGGCAACGCAACGAUCUUCACCUCAUGGCUGGUUUCCUUGGAGAUUCUGCUCUGCUCAUCACGAUCGACGGUCGAGUGGUUGUAGACGAAGGGCUCCUGGUCCGGCGCUUUAACUGUGUGCCUCACCGUCCUGCGCUGUCUGCCUAUAAAAGUAACCAAAUCGACAUUUGCGCUAAUCCGUUGUAUGAGUUUAUUCGUACCGAGGGUUCAAAUCCCUCUCUUUCCAUUUCCCUUAAUGACUCGUUAUUUUAUUUAUAUUUAUUUUCAAAACUUUUCUUUGUUUUUUUUUUUUAUAUUUUAAUUUCAUAUAGUAAAUAAGGAUGUGCAAUAGAUAAAAUCCUAAGUAAGUUAAUUGAAAAAUUAUGCAAGAAAAAAGAAAAGCCUUUUUAUUUUUCGUGUCUAGGAUUACCUCCUGGAUCAUUGGAUAGGAAUCCAAAAAUGAAAGAGAGUGUAAACAAAGAGCUUGAAAAUAAACAUUACACAAUCUCCACUUUAUUUCUUUUUUCAACAUUAUGAGCACCAAUCUUAGUGUUGUUGAUCAGGGCAUCUAGGGGACCACGCCCAAUUAUAAUCGUAAAGCAAUAUGAUUGAUAUGUGAUUUUAAUUGUAAGGAACAUUUCAAUUGACCCAGUACCUUCGACAGAGAUCGUCUCCUGGAUGUCGGCAUUUUUGAUGGCUGGUAGGAGGGUGUGGGGGAAGAAGCCCUUGGCUUCGAGAAAAGCCUCGACCAACCUAGCCUUAGGGAUCGGGUGCGUGAUCUCGGCCUUGAGAGUAACUUCUACCAUCGAUUGAAUCCGAAUAGAAUUUGCUGAACUGAAAAGGGUAUAAAAAAUCUCAAAAGAAAGAAAGAAAGGAAGGAAUGAGGAGAAGGAGCUUUGAAUUGAGGUGAAGUAAAAGGUCGAUAUAUAUAGUGAUAAGAAAAGGGAUAAUUAUACAAAUGAUCCCACAACUUUGAUCCAAUGUGUAAUAUGGUCUCUAAACUUUUAAUUUAUUUAAUGUGAUCCUUGAACUUUUGGUAAAUAUUCAAUAUAGUCCAUGAACUAUUUGAAAAUGUUUAAUUUAGUCCUUCAUUAAUUCAAGAUCAGAGACACCGUUGAAUAUAUUCAUAUAAUUCAGGGACUAAUUGAACAUGUACCAAAAAUCCAAAAAUCUCAUUGCACAUUGGGUUAAAGUUCAUAAAUCAUUCAUGUCAUUUUUCAGUAUGGACAUCGACCUUCCAAAAAUUUUGCUAUAGAGUAACUUCUGCUUAAUUGCAUGUAGUAGAAAAGCAAAUUAUUUCAUUUUCCUAGAAAGCAUCUCUCCUCCCAUAAAAAGUUGAACCCCUCAAAACCCAAUAAUAUUACCCAUACGACAAAUGAUUAACUUUAGGUUGAAUUUAAUUUAAUUAUCUCCCUUCCUUUGCUAAAACAACAUAAACCUUCCGCAAACCUUUUUUUUUUAUUUAUUUAUUUGAGUUUUAACUUUGUCUCCACGGACUCUGGAGAGGGGGGGGGGGGGGGGGGGAGAAAGAAAACUUUGGGCCUUCCCCUUAAAAGCAUCUCUCCUUUGUUCAGCCUUUAACCCUUUGCCAGAAAAUUUUGACUUGUCUGCAUGUUAUUGUUAUGAUAUUAUCUUGUUUCUAGUUUUGUCUAGUUAUCGAAAGCAAAUUGACAACUAUGAUGGGUCCCUUGUUUCUGAUCGGGAAUUAUCCCGAGACAAAUCCUGUUCUCCUCGGCCAAAAGGAUAAUUAAUCAGUUGCAUGAAUGAUUCCAUGAGUAUAUCGCAAUGGAAGCAUCUUUAUGUCAGCUUCUUGAGGUAAGCAAGAGUUUACUCCAUGCUUUUCUUGAUCAAAGGUUAGCCUAUCUCUUGUUUCUUAUUCAAGUGCUUUUCUUAGAAUAGCAGUUUUGUUUAUUCAAGUUUAGAAUCACUGUGGUUGAGUGUCUUUUCUAUUCGAAUCGCUAACCAUAUCAUCAGAAAGUUAUUCCACAAGUCUGAGCUCAGAACCAUAAAAUUGGACCCCACAAUCUGGGUUAGAAUAAAUUUCUAUAGUUUAAUGAAUACAUUAUUUUCUAUGUACUUUUGUUGAAUGCUAAAACCAAUGUAAGCGACGAGGGUAAUUGGGGUUGUGUCAUAAUAUAUGCAUUUCUCGUAAAUGUCUAAUACUGUUGUGAUAUUAAUGUGGAAAUGAUAGGAUUUUACAAAUUAAGUCAAUGCGAAAAAAUUAGAGAAAUAAGCGAGGAAUAAUAGAACAUCCGAGAUUUACGUGAUUUGAUCCGAGUAUCGGUACAUACAUAAACAGAGAGAGCCAGUAACAAAUAAUCUAUUAUAAUUGAACAAUCAGAUUUAUAAUUGCUCAUAUGCUCGAGUAUUUCUCACACCUAAUUUAAGUUCAAACCCAAAAUAUUUACAAAUAAAUAUUUAAUUAGACGAAAACUUACGGCACGAAAUCGCCACGUAUUCAUGUCGGUGCGGCCAAGAGACAUCUCCUUCGUGCGUCCAAGAAGUCCUCCGAUCGGCUUCUUGAAUCUUCUCUUGGCAGCGUCUAUACCACCCGCAAAGAACCCCCUGGCGGCUAUUUCUCGUGCGGCUCUUUUUCACUCAAGAAAAAUCCUUGAUUUUAUUUUAUUUUAUUUCCUUUUGUGCAGCUAAAGGAGUCCCAUGAAAUACUCCUUUGUUGACCGACCAGUCACAGGAUUAGGAUUCGAAGCAGACGUCCACUGUACGGACCUAAAGCGGAUUUCCUUUCCUGUGCUAUUUUCUCCGACAGAAAAGAAAUCUUCACGAGUCACUAUGAAAAACUUAUCCAAACGGUUCAAAUAUGGAAAAACUUAUCCAAGCAAAUUGCAUUUAGUAAAUACUCAAACUCGAGAUAUAAUUUAACAAAUACGAUGAAAUUAUUUCCGAGUUCACAUGCUUCUAAGUUAGAAAUCUAAAAAGAAAAAUAGCUACUGCUGAUGCAAACUUUGCUCAUAAAUAUCUUAUGUCACCCUUAUACACGUUUAAUUCAUUGAAUCCUAAAAGUGGUAUGAGGGAAAGGGGUAACUAUGGCUAGAGAUCUGAAGAGUUUUGUAAUCUCUGGUUCUAGGAAAAAUCCUGUCCAUCUUUUCUCUAGGUGGAGGUUGCAUGAACAAUGGCUUGUAAGAAUUGCAUUGGUUUCUUUUUUGCUUCAUCUAAAUUAUUUUACUUCUCAGACUCUCCAUAGAGCUUCACGUUAUUUAUUGUUCUUGGGUUAUGGUUGCCUGAGGGUAUGAUUUAUAUAAUUAUUGUUUCCUUUGCAGACUGCAAAAGCUAGAGGAACGGCAAUUCAAUCGUUACUGCAGUUAGUUGGUGGGCUGCAACUUCUUGUUGCUCAGCUUUAGGCUCUUUAUGUCUUUGCUUCAGAUAAUCUUUUGAGUUUGACAGUCUCUAGUUUUGGUAAACGUUGCCUUACAACAGAUUGACAAGGCCAUGCGUGAUCAAACUAGAGAUUCUCUUCACAAGUGUCAAGCUGAUGAAAGUGAUGAUGAGGACGAAGACAUCGAUCCCGUCUUUUACAGGGAUGAGGAUGAAUAUGGAUAAACUAGCGAUGAUACUGAUGUUGAGUAGAAGCUCUAAAUCUUAAGAGGUAGUCAUUCUUGCUGGUGUUAAAUUUGAUUUGCCGCGUUGCACCUUCGUAAACUGUGGAUUGUUGGGGUAAUUAGUGGGUAAAGAACAGGUGAAAGACUGAAAGACUUUUUCUCUGAUUACAUUUUCAGGUUAAAGUCUCAUAUUUCACCGCGAGAACUGAGUUCGAUAAAGCAUCUUGGAUAUGGUCUAUUUUGCAGUUUCGAUUAAGAACCAGUUAAACGUGAACAGCUCUAGUUUAUAUACGCAAUUUACUGGAAGUUCUACUGCUGAUCAUGAUCAAGAGUUCCCAUGUGUUAAUUCUGGCUUUUAAUUUUCCAUGCUCAUGGCAAGUAGCCUUUAUCCUCUAAACGUCAGUUUGAGUUGGAUUUGUUUUUGCUGCUUUGUAGUGUGAAACUUGCUCAUGAUGGAGAUGCUCGCUUGGGGCAACUCACUGGUCAAGUUGCAGCUGCCCCAGGAGAAAUUCAGACAUAUGCUGCCGAUUUCGUGCCCUCCAAAAAUUUCUUAUCCCGACCACAUGUGCUGGUCCCAGGCAAUCACCAUGACGACAGAGACCACCAUAGACUAGCCGUCGUGGUAGUGUUUAUUGCCUUACUGUGGAUUAUGGCAUCUCUAUUUGUGACAUCCCGAUUUUCCAAUUCUAUUUUCAAUAAAUUGAGACGGGCAUUUCGUUGGCACGCAUGUAGUUCAUUUUCUUGAGUCGGCCACUCAUGUGAAAACUAGUCUAUCAGGUGAAGUCGUUAAGAAAUUCAAAUGCAUUAGACUCGAGAAUUUGACCAGGAAGCGAUCUUUCGACCGAGCUAAUCUGCAAGGGUCAUUGCGGCACAAUUGAAAAUCGAUUAGAGAUCGGAGAUAGGUCAACUCGACAGAGGCAUGUGAUCAGGUGUGGGUGAUUCCACCAGAUCGCACAAUUCUUGUCGAUCGGCACUGGAUCGACUUUUCUAUCGAUUGGGUACCCUGUGCUCGUAUUUGAAACCUUGAGAUUACCCCCGACAACUGAAAGUCGUCAAUGUUUCAGAUGCAUGAAAAUGCAUGAAAAUUUCUAAAGGCUACCCAAUAGGUUGGAUAGCGCUGGUAUCGUGCCAAAGUGAAAUUAACUGUGAAAUUGAGAUCGAAUUCAGAAAUUGGAAGUCGAGGUGUGUCACAAAUCAUUUCAGGAUCAUUGAAUCAUCUUUGGAAGAUUUUUCAUGUAAUCAGAAUUUUUCAGCAAGUAAAUCAGAAAAUGGCUAAUUUUGCUCGAGAAAUUAGUAGGCCCGCUUUUGAUCAUACUUCUGGGACUUAAGUUGGUUCUACGAACAAGUGAAGAUGUGAAUUGAAGUGUGGUGACGUUGGAUUAAUUUUAUAGGCUUUAAUUUAAUUCAAUUGAAAGAGAAUUAAUGGGAAUUGAAGAAAUUGGAUGUACAAGAUUUGGACCCCAGCGGAAAAUGAAAGUGCAACCAUUGGAGAAGUUAUGGGAGGGGGUUUGAGUGAGUGGAAGAUGACAUAGGAUGAUGUCAUGGUGGUUGAAGCCAAGGGUUGAGAUCUUGACAAAAGGAGGGUGGAGAUUGGCUCUUGAAAAGGUGGGCUUUCACUUCAUCUUCAACCUUGGGAAGAAAGAGAGAGAGAGAGAGAGGGGGGAAGGAAGGGAGCAGCUCGUGCGUGCAGUAGCCCGACGGAAGCCAAUCGAGCUCGCGCCAGCACGCCCGUUGCCGGAGCUUGCCGUCGUCGCCGCCGCCGCCGUGCCGCCCGUGUGCCUCGCCGCUCGCCCUACCUACUCGCAUCUCCAUCUUCAUCUUCUUCUUCUUCUUCGAAAGCCCAGCAAACCAGCGAACUAGAGAAGCUUCGUCUGAAGUCACCGCCGCUCAUCGCCGUCGUCGGAGUCGUCGCCGUCCACGCCCGCUCGCCCGCACGACCAACCAGCUUACCGCUCUGCCUCUGCCCAACCGCUGUUCGUGCGACCCCCGACCCUCCAUCAUCUUCGUUAGCCGCUGUUUUUGGUCGUCCAGCUCGUCGGAGAGCUGCCGUGAGCUGAGCUAGCUGAAGCCAGCUUGCCGCUCGUGCCGCUUCUCCUCCGCUCGCACGACCGGCCGGCUCGUGCUCAGCUCAGCCGCUGCUCGCGCGACAAGGACCCUCCAACGUUGUCGUCCGACCGUCCAGCCGCCCGUUCGUCAUCGCCAAGGCCGCCGGAGGCCCCGCCUAGCCGCCGUGAGCCACUACCCGAGCUACCACCUCCUUCCUCCGCCGUUCCUCCGCCCGAUUAAGCUCGGAUCUGCCCUCCUUCGGCCCCAAGUAGCAGCCAAGAAAAUGGGUAUGGCAGCCCAUGUUUGGCCCGUUUUGGCCGCCUUCCCGAGCCCGGACGCUCGGCCCGCCUUGAGGAAAGUCGAUCCUCGCGUCGUCCUCGUCGUUUUGGUCCGCUCGGCUCGCUAAUCCGGUGAGUUUAGCUCACUAAACCUCGCUUAGAUGAUUAAUUAUGCUUAGGGAGGUUUAGUUUAUGUUAAGUAUUAUUAGGUUGUUAGUUUAGGAUAUUUAAGAGUAGAUUAGAUUAAGGUGGUGUUUUAAUUUAAAGUGUGCUUAAUUAAGGAUAAGUAGGUUUAUUUAAAAUAAGCCUUGAUUUGGCAUAAAUGAAUUUACUUUUGAGUUAUUUAAAUGUCCCGAAAUUAUUAAAUAAUUUAAUAAUAUAUUAUUAUUCGAAAUUAUUAAAAUAUUAUUAUUUAAUUAUUUGCGGAAUAAAUUUAAUUAUUUAUUAAAUUCCGAAAAUUUUGUCAGGACCCUAAAUUCUCAGAAUUUUGUGCCGGUCGCUGCUGUGUAGUCAGAUUUUGAAAUUGACGAUUGGAUAUUAUAAAUUGAGCGUGUAUUGUGAAAUAUAUGGAUAUUAUUAUUUAAUUAAUUUUCGGAAUAAAUUUAAUUAUUUGUUAAAUUCUGAAAAUUAUUUUGGAACCUUACUCUGUUAGAAUUUUAUGCUGAUCGCUGCUGUGUAUUUAGAAUUUGAAUUUGAUGAUUGAUUGUGGCAAAUGGAGUGUGAUUGUGAUAAAUAGGGAUUCCUUAUAAAAUCCUAAGUGUAGAAAUUGAUGGGAGAUUAGCCAUAAUUGAUCACCUAUUAGAGGUCGUGCCCAGUGAGGCCGUGAUAGACCACCUAUGAGAGGUCGUGCCUAAUAGGGCCGUGAUGAACCACCUAUGAGAGGUCGUGCCCAGUGAGGCCGUGAUGUACCACCUAGGAGAGGUCGUGCCCAGUGAGGCCAUGAUGAACCACCUAGGAGAGGUCGUGCCCAGUGGGGCCGUGAUAGACCACCUAUGAGAGGUCGUGCCUAAUAGGGCCGUGAUGAACCACCUAUGAGAGGUCGUGCCCAGUGAGGCCGAGAUGUACCACCUAGGAGAGGUCGUGCCCAGUGAGGCCGUGAUUGACCACCUAUUAGAGGUCGUGCCUAGUGAGGCCGUGAUGGACCACCUAAUUAAAGGUCGUGCCGAGUGGGGCUGUGAUUGCCACUGUUUGUUAAACCUUCCUAUAGGGCCGGGAUUGAGAGCAAUGAUUGAUUUGCUAGAAUAACAUGUAAUCGGCCGAGUCGAUUGAUCGAUGAGACGAUCCAAGUGGUUGAAUUGUUUUGAUAAUGUGAUUGUGCCAUGGUUGUUUGGUUAUCAUAAUUGUACGUGGUUGAAUUAUGUAAAUUGUGCUAACCUGCAGAUGAAGGCUGAGGCGAGGUAAGUCUUCUGUAUGAUGUGGCUAGGCCACUCGGGGCGUAUUUUCUUUUUAAUAGGGGUUUAGGGGGUUGAACUUGCUGAGACAUCGUCUCAUCUUGGUUGUGGGAUUAAAAUUUCAGGUCCCCGGUGGACGGAGCGGGCAUAUAGCUUCGGUUGGCCUUGAGGAGUCGCAGAUGUGAAGUUAUAAGGAUUGGAGAGCGUGUCCGACUUGUAGGUCGUAGGACAAUUCCUUUUUAAGGGCCGGUCUUUUGUAGACUGUUGGCCGUAGACCUCUGUUUGUAAUUAUGUUGAAUUGUGAAAGUGUUAUGUGGUGAUUUUGCUUCCUGCUUUUCUAUCCCAUAUUUUAUUGUCAGGGGUUUUAUAAUAUGCUUCCGCAUGUGCAUUAAAGAUUGGAUUGGGUCGGCGACUUAACCUGGGAACGUCGCAUUUGAUCGACCACAGUGGGAUGUGUUCGCGCUCGAGGUUCGGGGCGUGACACUAUUUAUACUUUCCUGAAAAUUAUUUCUUCCAUUAUUCGACCAUAUCAUCCGUCUAUCAGACACUCGAUUGAUUGUUUAUCUCUAUCUGUCCUUGUCUCCGGUGUUUUCUCAUACAAGGAAUAUGAUAUAAAAAAUCUGCAGGACUUCUUGUUCGAUCUUAAGACUUCAUUUCUUAGUGCCCAAAUGCAGCAUAAGAGUAGAACAUGACAUUUUACCCUCCACGAGUUGACAGAGUACAUGUGACAUUCUUUAGAUAUAAUUCCAAAAUCUGAGACUCGGAAACUUUAGAUGACCAUCUUACUGAACUGGGAUGCUUUAGAUGUCCUCACACCGCGUGGCAACCUAAAAACCAUUUUAGCAUUUUGAUAUCAUCUGCUGUAUGCUGGAUAUGAUUAUCAAAGGUUCUAAACCCAGUCAUUAUGUGAAGUGAAGUCAGCUAAAGCCAAGAGGCUGCUUUUGAGACAUCUGAUAACGUUAAAAUGAUGCGGCAGUUUUGCACAGAAAAAGUGGAAUAUGAUGAUUGAAUUCCGAGUUCGUUUGUGUAAGAGAACAAACAACGAAAGGCAAAGGGAGUUCAAAAGGAGAAGCGAAAAUGGUUGCUGUAUUCGGUUUUAAAUUAUUCGUUCGAUUUUGCAGGGCUUCUAUACGUCCCGAUCCAAAUUAAGCUGUAUGUAUCGUGAAACUCAAAGUGGGGCACACGCAACUAUCGAGACCAAAAGGAAAAAAAGAAAAGAAAGAAAACAGGGGCCGCACGCUACGAUAAUCACUCGAUCGAAGACCACAUCGGACCAAAGUUUAUUCGGACAACACUUCAUACGGGCUUGCGAAGGAAGCAAGUAGAGCAAUUUUACGAGACAUUUCCCAGAACCACCAUCAUAUUCACAAAUAUCGCCUUGGCGGAGCGCUUACAGGAUCAGGACUACUGGGUGAUUAGGGCCAAUACGGUAAUUUCGCAGUGGGAUAAUCCAGACUGGGUUUCAUGGAUUUCGCCUCCGGAUAAUCCAGGAUGGCCUUGAACAUCACAGACGCCUUCUCUCUCAUGGCCCCGAUCAUCUCCUCCUCCGUGAUAUCCCCUUGGCCGACGGUGAAGUACCUGCCCGCGUACUUACAGACCGAGCCACCUUCCAGGGGCAACGCAACGAUCUUCACCUCAUGGCCGGUUUCCUUGGAGAUUCUGCCCUUCUCAUCACGAUCGACGGUCGAGUGGCUGUAGACGAAGGGCUCCUGGUCCGGCGCUUUAACCGUGUGCCUCACCGUCCUGCGCUGUCUGCCUAUAAAAGUAACCAAAGUGACAUUUGCGCUAAUCCGUUGUAUGAGUUUAUUCGUACCGAGGGUUCGAAUCCCUCUCUUUACAUUUCCCUUAAUGACUUGUUAUUUUGUUUAUAUUUAUUUUCAAAACUUUUCUUUGUUUUUGUUUUUUUUUUUCAUAUAGUAAAAAAGGAUGUACAAUAGAUAAAAUUCUAAGUGCAUUGAAAAAUUAUGCAAGAAAAAAGAAAAGCCUUUUUAUUUUUCGUGUCUAGGAUUACCUCCCGGAUCAUUGGAUAGGAAUCCAAAAAUGAAGAGUGUAAACAAAGAGCUUGAAAAUAAACAUUACACAAUCUCCACUCUUUUUUUUUCUCAACAUCAUGAGCACCAAUCUUAGUGUUGUUGAUCAGGGCAUCUGGGGAUCACGCCCAAUUAUAAUCGUAAUGCAAUAUGAUUGAUAUGUGAUUUAAAUGGUAAGGAACAUUUCAAUUUACCCAGUACCUUCGACAGAAAUCGUCUCUUGGAUGUCGGCAUUUUUUAUGGCUGGUAGGAGGGUGUGGGGGAAGAAGCCCUUGGCUUCGAGAAAAGCCUUGACCAACUUGGCCUUAGGGAUCGGGUGCAUGAUCUCAGCCUUGAAAGUAACUUCUACCAUCAAUUGAAUCCGAAUAGAAUUUGCUGAAUUGAAAAGGGUAUAAAAAUCUCAAAAGAAAGAAAGAAAGGAAUGAAGAGAAGGAGCUUUGAAUUGAGGUGAAGUAAAAGGUCGAUAUUUAUAGUGAUAAGAAAAGGGAUAAUUAUACAAAUGAUCCCACAACUUUGAUCCAAUGUGUAAUGUGGUCCCUAAACUUUUAAUUUGUUUAAUGUGAUCCUUGAAUUUUUGGUAAAUGUUCAAUAUAGUCCAAAAACUAUUUGAAAAUGUUUAAUUUAGUCCUUCAUUAAUUCAAGAUCAGAGAGACCGUUGAAUAUUUUCAUAUAAUUUAGGGACUAAUUGAACAUGUACCAAAAGUCCAAAAAUCACAUUGCACAUUUAGUUAAAGUUUAUAAAUCAUUUAUGUCAUUUUUUAGUAUGGACAUCAAUCUUCCAAAAAUUUCACUAUAGAGUAAUUUCUGCUUAAUUGCAUGUAGUAGAAAAGCAAAUUAUUUCAUUUUCCUAGAAAGCAUCUCUCCUCCCAUAAAAAGUUGAACCCCUCAAAACCCAAUAAAUUACCCAUACGACAAAUGACUAACUUUAGGAUUGAAUUUAAUUUAAUUAUCUCCCUUCUUUUGCUAAAACAACAUAAAGCUUCUGCGACCCAAUUUAUUUAUUUAUUUAUUUAUUUUGAUAUUUAACUUGGUCUCCAUGGACUUUGGAGAGAGGGAGGGAAGCUUUGGCCAUUCUCCUUAAAAGCAUCUCUCCUUUGUUCAACCCCUAACCCUUUGCUAGAAAAUUUUGACUUGUCUGCAUGUUAUUGUUAUGAUAUUAUCUUGUUUCUAGUUUUGUCUGGUUAUCGAAAGCAAAUUGACAAUUAUGAUGGGUCCCCUUGUUUCUGACCGGGAAUUAUCCCAAGACAAAUCCUUUCUCCUCGGCCAAAAGGAUAAUUAAUCAGAUGCAUGAAAUGAUUCCAUGAGUAUGUUGCAAUGUAAGCAUCUAUAUGUCAGCUUCCUGAGGUAAGCAAGAGCUUACUCCAUGCUUUUCUUGAUCAAAGGUUAGCCUAUCUCUUGUUUCUUAUUCAAGUGCCUUUCUUAGAAUAGGAGUUUUGUUUAUUCGAGCUUAGAAUCACUGUGGUUGAGUGUCUUUUCUAUUUGAAUCGUUGACAAUCUCAUCAGAAAGUUACUCCACAAGUUUGAACUCAUAACCACAAAAUUGGACCCCACAAUCCGGGUUAGGAUAAAUUUCUACAGUUUCAUGAAUGCAUUAUUUUAUACGUACUUUUGUUGAAUGCUCAAACCAAUGUAAGCAAUGAGGGUAAUUGGGAUUGUCAUAAUAUAUACAUUUCUCAUAAAUGUCUAAUACUGUUGUGAUAUUAACGUGGAAACAACCGGAUCUCGCAAAUUAAGUCAAUGCGAAAAAAAUAAGAGAAAUAAACGAGAAAUAAUAGAACACCAAAGAUUUACGUGAUUUUGAUCCGAGUAUUGAUACCUAUAUGCAUAAAGAGAGCCAAUAGCAAAUAAUUCGGUACAAUCGGAGAAUUAAAUUUAUAAUCACUCACACGUUCAAGUAUUUUUCACAUCUAAAUUUAAGCUCAAAAUCAAAGUGUUUAUAAAUAAGUACUCAAUUAAAUGUAAACUCACAGCAUGAUAUCACUGUAUAGUCACAUCGCUGCGGCCGAUAGAGACAACUCCGUCGUGCGUCCAAGAAGUCCUCUGAUCGUCUUCUUGAAUCUUCUCUGUGCAGCGUCCAUACCACCCACGAAGAACCCUCUGGCGGCUAUUUCUUGUGCGGCUCUUUUUCACUCAAGAAAAAUCCUUGAUUUUAUUUUAUUUUAUUUCCUUUUGUGCAGCUACAAGGAGUCCAAUGAAUCGCUCCUUUGUUGACCGACCAAUCACACACUGUACGGACCUAAAGCGGAUUUUCUUUCUUGUGCUAUUUUCUUCAACAGAAAAAGAUAUCUUCACCAUUAAAUAUGAAUAACUUAUCCAAAUGGUUAAAAUAUGAAAAAACUUAUCCAAGCAAGUAGAAAACCCUUAAACUCGAGACAUAAUUUAACAAAUACGAUGAAAUUAUUUCCGAAUUCACACACUUCUAAGUUAGAAAUCUAAAAAAGAAAAAUGGUUGUUAUUGAUGCAAACUGUGUUCAUAAAUAUAUUAUAUCGCCGUUAUACAAGUAGAUUUCAUUGCUAGAGAUCUGAAGAGUUAUGUAAUCUCUGGUUCUAGGAAAAAUCCUGUCCAUCUUUUCUCUAGGUGUAGAUUGCAUGAACAAUGGCCUGAAAGAAUUGCAUUGGUUUCUUUUCUGCUUCAUCUAAAUUAUUUUACUUCUUAGACUCUCUAUAGAGCUUCACGUUAUUUAUUGUUCUUUCUAUCUUUGGUUAAGAUAAUUUUUCGAGCUUGACAGGCUCUAAAUUUGGUAAAUGUUGUCUUCCAACAGAUUGACAAGGCCACGCAUGAUCAAACUAGAGAUUCUCUUCACGAGCGUCAAGCUGAUGAAAGUGAUGAUGAGGAUGAAGACAUCGAUAACGUCUUUUACAGGGAUGAGGAUGAAUCUGGACAAACUAGUGAUGAUACAGAUGAUGAGUAGAAGCUCUGAAUUUUAAGAGGUAGUCAUUCUUGCUGGUGUUAAAUUUGAUUUGUUGUGUUGCAUCUUCAUAAACUUUGGAUUUUUGGGGUGAUUAGCGGGUAAAGAUUAGGUGAAGGCUGUAAGACUUUAUUCUCUGAUUACAAUUUCAGGUCAAAGUCUUAUGUUCCACCGCGAGAAAUGAGUUCCAUAAAGCAUCUUGUUUAUAGACUAUUUUGCUGUUCUGUUUAAGAACCAGUUAAACACAAACAGCUCUAGGUUAUAUGCACAAUUUACUGGAAGUUUUACUGCUAAUCGUGAUCAAGAAUAUCCAUGUGCUAGUUAUGGCUUUUAAUUUUCCAUGCUCAUAGCAAGUAGCUUUGUUCCUCUAAACAUCAAUUUGAGUGGGGUGGUUUUGCUGCUUUGUAGUGUGAAACUUGCUCAUGAUGGAGAUGCUCGCUUGGGGCAAGUCACUGGUCAAGUUGCAGCUGCUUCAGGAGAAAUUCAUACAUAUGCUGCCAAUUUCGUGCCCUCCACAAAUUUUAUGAUCCCAACCGCGUGUGCUGGUCUCAGGCAAUUACCAUGACGGCAGAGACCACCAGACUGGUGGUUGCAGUUCGCCCUACAGCUGAUUAUGGCAUCUCUAUUUGUACUUUACUGAAAAUUGUUUCUUUAAUUACACAAUCACAUCCUCUAUCUAUCAAAACUCUAAAGGACUGUUUAUUUGUAUAUGUCCUUGUAUCUGGUGUUUUCUCGUACAAGGAAUAUGAUAUAAAAAAGCCGCAGGAAUUCUUGUUCCAUCUUAACGUAUUCUUUUCGACUUUAUUUCUUAGGGACCGAAUGCAGCAUAAGAGUGAAAAAUGGCAUUUUACCCUCGAAGAGUUGACAAGAGUACAUGUCGCAUUCUUUAGAUAUAAUUCCGAAAUCCGAGACCUGGAAACUUUAAAUGACCAUCUUACUGACCUAGGAUGCUUUAGAUGUCCUCAUUUGCAUUGCACUGCACGGCAACCUAAAGGCCAUUUUGGCAUUGUGACGUCAUCUGCUGUGUGUUGGAUAUAAUUAUUGAAGGUUCUAAACCCAGUCAUCAUGUAGAGUGAAGUCAGCUAAAGCCAACAGGUUGCUGUUGAGACAUUUGAUACCGUUAAAAUGAUACGGUAAUUUUACACGGAAAACAUGGAAUAGGACGGUCGAAUUCCAAAUUCAUUUGGGUGAGAGAAACAACGAAAGGCGAGGGAGUUCCAAAGGUGAAGCGAAAAUGGUUGCCGUAUUCGGUUUUAAAUUAUCGUUCGUGUUCUCGGUCGAUCAUUGGUUCGAUUUUGUAGGGUUUCAAUACGUCCCAAUCGCCUGAUCUGUGGACUUUCCAGAUGAUACGGCUGGAAGCUGUAUGUAUCAUGAAACUCAGAGGGGGGCACACGCAUCUAUUGAGACCAAAAGAACAAAAGAAAAGAGAGAGAAAAAAGAAAAGAAAAAAAAAACAGGGGCCGCACGCUAAGAGUCACUCAGCCGAGGGCACAUCGGACGAAGUUUUACUCCGACAACACUUCAUACGGGCCUGCGAACGAACGAAGUAGAGCAAUUUUACAAAACAUUUCCCAGAACCAUCAUACUCGCGGAAAGGACAAGAACCACAGAGUCCCUCGACGACAAGACAAGAACAGUACUCAAAUGGGUUUUGGGGUUUCGCGGCCGAAUAAGCCUGGAUGGCCCCGAACAUCACGGACGCCUUCUCUCUCAUGGCCUUGAUAAUUUGCUCCUCGGUGAUGUCCACUUGGCCGACGGUGAAAUACCUGCCCGCAUACUUACAGACCGAGCCAACCCCAAGAUAGGGCCACGCUUCGAUCGUCACCUCAUGGCUGAUUUCCUUGGAGAUGUUUCCCUGCUCAUCGCGUUCGACGGUCGAGUGGUUGUAGAGGAAGGACCCCGGGUUCGCGUUAACUGUGGCCCUCACCGUCCUGUGCAGUCUGCCUAUAGAAGUAACAAAAGUGAUAUUCACAUUUAGAACUCACCGGUUUCAACAUCACGAGCACUGAUCUCAGUGUCGUCGAUCAGGUCCAAAUUCAACCGUAAUGCAAAUACGGUUGACAUGCAAUGUCGAGGGUAAGGAACAUUUCGAUUGACCAAGUACCUUCGACAGAGAUCUUCUCCUGGCUGUCAGCACGCAGGACGCCUGGCGAGAGGACGUGGGGGAAAAAGCCAUUGGCUUUGAGAAGAGCCUCGAUCAACUUGGCCUUAGGGAUCGGGUGCGAGAUCUCGGUGUUGUGAGUAACUUCUACCAUUGAUUGAAUCCGAAAUAGAAUUUGCUGAAACUGAAAAAGGGGAUAGAAAAGCUCAAAAGAAAGAAAGAGAGCAGUGAGGAGAAGGAGCUUCGAGUAGAAGGUAAAGUAGAAGGUGGAUAUCCUUAGAGAUAAGGAAAGAGAUAAUAUGACACAAAUGAUUCAUGAACUUUAGUUCAAUGUGUAAUAUGAUCUAUGAACUUUUAAUUUGUUCAAUGUGAUCCAUAUGUUUUUUUAUAUAUGUUUAAUGUAGUCUCUAAGUGACGUGUAAAUGUUCAAUAUAGUCUUUUUUUAAUUUAAAAUCAGGGAUGAUAUUGGACAUUUUCAUAUAAUCCAAUGACUAAAUUGAAUAUAUACAAAAAAUUAAAAUAUUAUAUUAAACAAAUUAAAAGUUUAAGAACCGCAUUGCACAUUGGGUUAAAAUUGAUGGAUCAUAUUGAACAAAUUAAAAAUUUAAAUAUCACAUUAUACAUUAAAUUAAAAUUUAUGGAUUAUUUGUAUCAUUUUUCCAUAUGAAAAAGUUUACAUGAAAAGUCCCGACACACGGACAUCAACCCUCCAUAAAUUUCGCCAUAAAGUAACUCCUGCUUAAUUGCAUGUGGUACAAAAGCAAAUUAUUCCAUUUACCUCAAGACCAUCUCUCCUCCCAUGGAGAGCUAAACCCGUCAAAACCCAAUAAAUUGCCCGUAUGACAAAUGAUUAACUUUAGGAUUAAAUUUUAUUUUAAUCACCCCCUUCUUUUGCUAAAGCAACAUAAAGUUCCGCAUCCCUUUUUAUUUAUUUAUUUAUUUAUUAUAAUUUUUUUUUUUUUGAGUUUUAACUUUGUCUUCAUGGACAAUGGAGAGAGGGAGGGAAGCUUUGGCCAUUUUCCUUAGAUGCAUCUCUCCCUUGUUCAGCCUCCAACCUUUUGCGACCCUCUCCAUGCAUUGACUGCUCUUUCAUGUUAUUGCUGUGAUAUUAUCUUGUUCCUAGUUUUGUCUAGUUAUCAAAAGCAAAUUGACAACUAUGAUGGGUCUCUUGUUUCUGAUUGGGAAUUAUCCCUGGACAAAUCCUUUUUUCCUCGGCCAAAAGGUUAAUUAAUCGUUUGCGUGAAAUGAUUCCAUAAGGAUGUUGCAAUAUAAGCAUAUAUAUGUUACCUUUUCCCCAUAGUAAGCAAGAGCUUAAUACAUGUUUUUCUUGAUCAAAGCUAGCCUAUCUCUAGUUUCUUUUUCAAAUGCUUUUCCCCAUAUAUAUGCUGCCAAUUUCGCGCCCUCCACAAAUUUUAUGAUCCCGAUUGCAUGUGCUGGUCUCAAGCAAUCACCCUGACGACAGAGACCACCAUAGACUAGCCAUUGUGGAAGUGGUGGUUGCCCUGCAGCGGACUAUGGCAUCUCUAUAUAUACUUUUCCUGAAAUUUGUUUAGUCAAUUAUACAAUCAUAUCCUCCAUUUAUCAAACACUCUGUAGGACCGUUUAUCUGUAUCUGCCCUUGUAUCCGGUGUGUUUGCAUACAAGGAAUUUGAUACCAAAAAUCCGCAGGACUUCUUGUUCGAUCUUAAUGUAUCCCUUUCGACUUUAUUUCUUAGCGAUCAAAUGCGGCGUAAGAGUAGAACAUGACAUUUUACCCUCGACGAGUUGACAGAGUACAUGUUGCAUUCUUUAGAUAUAAUUCCAAAAUCUGAAACCCAGAAACUUUAGAUGACCAUCUCAUUGACUUGGGAUGCUUUAGAGUUUAGAUGUCCUCACUUGGAUUGCACCGCACGGCAACCUAAAAACCGUUCUGGCAUUUUAACAUCAUAUGCUGUAUACUGGAUAUAAUUAUCAAAGGUUCUAAAUCCAAUUAUUAUGUAAAGCGAAGUCAGCUAAAAGCCAAGAGAUCGCUGUUGAGACAUCUGACAACAUUAAAAUGAUACGAUAGUUUCACACAGAAAACAUGGAAUAUGACACAUGGAAUUCCAAGUUCGUUCCGGUAAGAGAAACAACGAAAAGCAAAGCGAGUUCAAAAGGAGAAGCGAAAAUGGUUGCUGUAUUUGGUUCUAAAUGAUUCGUUCGAUUUUGCAGGGUUUCAAUACGUCCCGAUCCAAAUUAAGCUGCAUAUGUAUCAUGAAACUCAAAGGGGGGCACACGCAACUAUCGAGACCGAAAGAAAAGAAAGAAAACGGGGGGCCGCACGCUACAAUAAUCACUCAAUUGAGGACCACAUUGGACCAAAGUUUAUUCGGACAACACUUCAUAUGGGCUUGCGAACAAAGCAAGUACAGCCAUUUUACGAGACAUUUCCCAGAACCACCAUCAUAUUGGCCUAAGACACGAGCAGUCCUCUCUCACAUGGGAUAUCCCCUAGGUGCACACAUACAGGAUGGAAGAGAACUAAGUCUCACGGACUCCGCCUCCGCAUGAGCCUGGAUGGCCCUGAACAUCACGGACGCCUUCUCUCUCAUGGGCCUGAUCAUCUCCUCCUCCGUGAUAUCCCCUUGGCCGACGGCGAAGCACCUGCCCGCGUACUUACAGACCGAGCCACCCUCCAGGGGCAACGCAACGAUCUUCACCUCAUGGCUGGUUUCCUUGGAGAUUCUGCCCUGCUCAUCACGAUCGACGGUCGAGUGGUUGUAGACGAAGGGCUCCUGGUCCGGCGCUUUAACCGUGUGCCUCAACGUCCUGCGCUGUCUGCCUAUAAAAGUAACCAAAGUGACAUUUGCGCUUAUCCGUUGUAUGAGUUUAUUGGUACCGAGGGUUCCAAUCCCUCUCUUUCCAUUUCCCUUAAUGACUCGUUAUUUUAUUUAUAUUUAUUUUCAAAACUUUUCUUUGUUUUUUUGUUUUUUUGUUUUUUUGUUUUUGUUUUUAUUUCAUAUAGUAAAUAAGGAUGUACAAUAGAUAAAAUCCUAAGUAAGUUAAUUGAAAAAUUAUGCAAGAAAAAAGAAAAGCCUUUUUAUUUUUCGUGUCUAGGAUUACCUCCUGGAUCAUUGGAUAGGAAUCCGAAAAUGAAAGAGUGUAAACAAAGAGCUUGAAAAUAAACAUUACACAAUCUCCACUCUCUCUUUUUUUUUUUUUUUUCAACAUCAUGAGCACCAAUCUUAGUGUUGUUGAUCAGCGCAUCUAGGGGACCACGCCCAAUUAUAAUCGUAAAGCAAUAUGAUUGAUAUGUGAUUUUAAUUGUAAGGAACAUUUCAAUUGACCCAGUACCUUCGACAGAGAUCGUCUCCUGGAUGUCGGCAUUUUUGAUGGCUGGUAGGAGGGUGUGGGGGAAGAAGCCCUUGGCUUCGAGAAAAGCCUCGACCAACCUAGCCUUAGGGAUCGGGUGCGUGAUCUCGGCCUUGAAAGUAACUUCUACCAUCGAUUGAAAAGGGUAUAAAAAUCUCAAAAGAAAGAAAGAAAGAAAUGAAGAGAAUGAACUUUGAAUUGAGGUGAAGUAAAAGGUCGAUAUUUAUAGUGAUAAGAAAUGAGAUAAUGAUACAAAUGAUCCCAAAACUUUGAUUCAAUGUAUAACGUGGUCCCUAAACUUUUAAUUUAUUCAAUGUAGUCCUUGGAGUUUUGAUAAAUAUUUAAAAUAGUCCAUGAACUGUUUGAAAAUGUUUAAUGUAGUCAUUCAUUAAUUUAAUAUCAGAGACACCGUUGAAUAUUUUCAUAUAAUUCAGUGGCUAAUUUAACAUGUAUCAAAAGUCCAAAAACCAUAUUACACAUUGGGUUACAGUUUAUUGAUCAUUCGUGUCAUUUUCUAAUACGAACAUCAACAUUCCAAAAAUUCUCCAUGGAGUAACUUCCGCUUAAUUGCAUGUAGUAGAAAAGCAAAUUAUUUGUUUUCCUUGAAAGCAUCUCUCCUCCCAUAAAAAGUUGAACCCCUCAAAACCCAAUAAAUUACCCAUACGACAGAUGAUUAACUUUAGGAUUGAAUUUAAUUUAAUUAUCUCCCUUCUUUUGCUAAAACAACAUAAAGCUUAUGCAACCCAUUUUUUUUUUUUAAAUUGAGGCAAGCUUUGGUCAUUUUCCUUGAAAGCAUCUCUCCUUUGUUCAGCCUCUAACCCUUUGCCAGAAAAUAUUGACUGGUCUGCACGUUAUUGUCAUGAUAUUAUCUUGCUCCUAGUUUUGUCUGGUCAUCAAAAGCAAAUUGACAACUAUGAUGGGUCUCUUGUUUCUGAUCGGGAAUUAUCCCAAGACAAAUCCCUUCUCCUCGGCCAAAAGAUUAAUUAACCAGUUGCAUGAAAUGAUUCCAUGAGUUUAUUGCAAUGUAAGCAUCUAUAUGUCAGCUUCCUGAGGUAAGCAAGAGCUUACUCCAUGCUUUUCUUGAUCAAAGGUUAGCCUAUCUCUUGUUUCUUAUUCAAGUGCUUUUCUUAGAAUAGGAGUUUUGGUUAUUCAAGUUUAGAAUCAUUGUGGUUGAGUGUCUUUUCUAUUCGAAUUGUUGACCAUCUCAUCAGAAAGUUAUUCCACAGGUCUGAAUUUAGAACCACAAAAUUGGACCCCACAAUGCAAGUGAGGAUAAAUUUCUACAGUUUCAUGAAUACAUUAUUUUCUAUGUACUUCUGUUGAAUGCUAAAAUCAUUGUAAGCGACGAGGGUAAUUGGGGUUGUGUCAUAACAUAUACAUUUCUCAUAAAUGUCUAAUAUUGUUGUGAUAUUAAUGCGGAAACGAUAGGAUCUCGCAAAUGAAGUCAAUGCGAAAAAAUCAAAGAAAUAAGGGAGGAAUAAUAGAUCACUAGAGAUUUAUGUGAUUUGGUCCGAGUAUCAAUAUCUACAUGCAUGAAGAGAGCUAGUAGCAAAUAAUCUACUACAAUCGAAAAAUCAAAUUUACAAUCGCUCACAUGCUCCAGUGUUUUUCACAUUUAGAUUUAAGCCAAAAUAUAAAAUGUUUGCAAAUAAAUACUCAAUUAGACGUAAACUCACGGCAAUAAAUUACUGUAUAUUCACGUCCGUGCGGCCGAGAGACAACUCCUUCGUGCGUCCAAGAAGUCCUCUGAUCGGCUUCUUGAAUCUUCUCUGUGCAGCGUCUAUACCACCCACGAAAACCCCCUGGCGGCUCUUUCUUGCGCGGCUCUUUUUUGCUCAUGUAGAAUCCUUAAUAUUCUUUUCUUUUAUUUCAUUUUGUGCAGCUACAAGGAGUCCAAUGAAUUACUCCUUUUUUGACCGACCAAUCACAGGAUUAGGAUUUGAAGAAGACGUCCACUGUACGGACCUAAAGCGGAUUUCCUUUCUUGUGCUAUUUUCUUCAACAGAAAAAGAUGUCUUCUCCAUUAAAUAUGAAUAACUUAUCCAAAUGGUUAAAAUAUGAAAAAACUUAUCCAAGCAGGUCGUGUUUGGCAAGCCCUUAAACUCGAGAUGUAAUUUAAUAAAUACGAUGAAAUUAUUUCCAAAUGCACACACUUCUAAGUUAGAAAUCUAAAAAAGAAAAAUGAAUAUUACUUAUGCAAACUAUGUUCAUAAAUAUGUUAUAUUGCCGUUAUACACGUCGAUUUCAUUGAAUUGUAAAGUAGUAUGAGGGAACAGGGUAAUUAUGGCUAGAGUCUGAAGAGUUCUGUAAUCUCUGGUUCUAGGAAAAAUCCUGUCCAUCUUUUUUCUAGGUGUAGGUUGCAUGAACAAUGGCCUGAAAGAAUUGCAUUGGUUUCUUUUCUGCUUCAUCUAAAUUAUUUUACUUCUUUGACUCUCCAUAGAGCUUCACGUUAUUUAUUGUUCUUGGGUUAUGGUUGCCUGAUGUUAUGAUUUAUAUAAUUAUUGUUUCAUUUGCAGACUGCAAAAGCUAGAGGGAUGGCCAUUCAAUCGAUGCUGCGGUUAGUUGGUCGGCCGCAGCUUGUUGUCGCUCAGGUUUAGUCCCUUUAUAUCUUUGCUUCAGAUAAUCUGUUGGCUUGAGAGUCUCUAGUUUUGGUAAACGUUGUCUUACAACAGAUUGACAAGGCCACGCGUGAUCAAACUAGAGAUUCUCUUCACCAGUGUCGAGCUGAUGAAAGUGAUGAUGAGGACAAAGACAUCGGUCACGUCUUUUAUGGGGAUGAGGUUGAAUCUGGACAAACUAGCGAUGAUACAGAUGUUGAGUAGAAGCUCUAAAUCUUAAGAGGUAGUCAUUCUUGCUGGUGUUGAAUUUGACUUAUCGCGUUGCAUCUUCAUAAACUUUGGAUCGUUGGGGUAAUUAGUGGGUGAAGAACAGGUGAAAUGAAAGACCGUAAGACUUUUUCUCUGAUUACAUUUUCAGGUUAAGGUAUUAUAUUCCACCUCGAGAACUGAGUUCCAAAAGGCAUCUUAUAUAUAGACUAUUUUGCUGUUUCGAUUAAGAACCAGUUGAACAGGAACAGCUCGAGGUUAUAUACGCAAUUUACUGGAAGUUCUACAGCCGAUCAUGAUCAAGAGUUUCCAUGUGCUAAUUGUGGCUUUUAAUUUUCCGUACUCACUGCAGGUAGCAUUGUUCCUCUAAACAUUCAGUUUGAGUUGGAUUUGUUUUUGCUGCUUUGUAGUGUGAAACUUGCUCAUGACGGAGAUGCUCGCUUGGGGCAACUCACUGGUCAAGUUGCAGCAGCCCCAGGAGAAAUUCAUACGUAUGCUACCAAUUUCGUGCCCUCCACAAUUUUUUUCUGAUCCUAACCAUGAGUGCUGGUCUCAGGCAAUCACCAUGACGACGGAAACCACCACAGACUGGCCGUCGCAGUAGUGGUUAUCACCUUAUAGUGGAUUAUUGAAUCUCUAUUUAUACUUUCCUGAAAAUUAUUUCUUCAAUUAUUCAAUCAUAUCAUCCGUCUAUCAGGCACUUUAUUGACUGUUAUCUGUAUCUGUCCUUGUAUCUGGUGUUUUCUCAUACAAGGAAUGUGUUCGAUCUUAACGAAUGAUUUUCGACUUUUAUUUCUUAGUGACCAAAUGCCACAUAAGAGUAGAACGUGACAUUUUAGCCUCAACGAGUAGACAGAAUACAUGUCGCAUUCUUUAGCGAUAAUUCCAAAAUAUGAGACCCGGAAACUUUAGGUGACCAUCUCAGUGACGUGGGAUGCUUUAGAUGUCCUCAUUUGCAUUGCACUGCACGGCAGCCUGAAAACCGUUUUGGCAUUAUGACAUCAUCUCCUGUCUGCUGGAUGCAAUUAUCAAAGGUUGUAAAGCCAGUUAUUGUGCAAAGCGAAGUCAGCUAAAGCCAAGAGGUCGCUCUUGAGACAUCUCACAACAUUAAAAUGAUAGGGUAGUUUUACAGAGAAAACAUGAAAUAUGGUGAUCGAAUUCCGAGUUCGUUUCAGUAAGAGAAACAAUGAAAGGAAAGAGGAGUUCAAAAGGAGAAGAUUGUUGCAUUUGAUUUUAAAUUAUUCAUUCGAUUUUGCGGGGUUAGGAGCACACGCAAUUGAGACCAAAAGAAAGAAAGAAAGAAAACAGGGCCGUACGCAAAAAUCACUCAAUCGAGGACCACAUCGGACGAAGGUUUAUUCCAACAACACUUCAUAUGGGCUUUGCAAACGAAGCAAGUACAGCAAUUUUACAGAACAUUUCCCGGAACCAUCAUAUUCGCGGAAAAGACGAGACCAACACACUCCCUCGACGACAAGACAAGAACAGCACUCGACUGGACCUUAUUCGAAGAGAACAUAUGAGACUAAGCUGCCGGAUCAGCUUGGAUGGCCGGGGCCCUGAACAUCACGGACGCCUUCUCUCUCAUGGGCCUGAUCAUCUCCUCCUCCGUGAUAUCCCCUUGGCCGAUGGUGAAGCACCUGCCCGCGUACUUACAGACCGACCCACCCUCCAGGGGCAACGCAACGAUCUUCACCUCAUGGCUGAUUUCCUUGGAGAUUUUGGGAUUGCUGUCUGGGACUUUCGAAGUAGAAGGGAGAAUUAGCAAAAUGUUCUGGUGCUGAAAUUUAUGGUGCCUAAUGUGGCUUAGACGAUCCAUCCUCUUCCUUUUCUCCUGCAAUUACAUUUUCCCUCCUGCUCAACUUAAUUCUUCCAAAUAAGGUAAGUUCUUUUACUUGCUGCCCCCAUUUCGUUCUUUGUUACUUAAAUGAUUUAUUGUGCAUUUGGUUGUUCUAUUUCGUAGAUCUCUUCUUCUUUUUUCAUCCCUUGACCAUUUUGAUUUCUAACAAGGAAUUUUCUUUCACCCAAUCUACCGUUCCUGCUGUUAAUAUCAAAUAUUGCAGCAUUGGACGGAUUUAUCUCUUGUUCCCUCUGCUAAUAUUUUCCUAUACAUUCGGCAGGUUUACGGUUAUGGUGCCACAUCCCAGGCUUGAUAGCUCUUUUCAUGAUGUAGCGGCCAAGUACUGAAAUCUCUGUUGGAUAUCGAUCCAUCGGAAUGGGGUUUGCCACCCUUUGACGAACAGAAAAGCUGAGAAUUCAUUUGAAAAUCAGACGAUGUGCAAUGGCAUCUCGUGUCAAAUUCAUUUGAAAUUCACUGCGUAUUUACGUUCAUGCGGCCGAGAGACAACUCUCUCAUGCGUCCAAGAAGUACUCCGUGCGGCUUCUUGAAUCUUCUCUGUGCAGCGUCUACACCACCCACGAAGAACCCCGUGGCGGCUGUUUCUCGCGCGGCUCUUUUUCACUCAAGAAAAACCCUUGAUUUUAUUUUAUUUUAUUUCCUUUUGUGCAACCACAAGGAGUCCAACGAAUUACUCCUUUGUUGACCGACCAAUCACAGGAUUAGGAUUUGAAGAAGACGUCCACCCACUAUACGGACCUAAAGCGGAUUUCUUUCCUUGUGCUAUUUCCUUGGACAAAAAAUAUCUUCACGAUUAAAUAUGAAAAAGUUGUCCAAGCAAUUAAAAUAUGGAAAAACUUAUCCAAGCAGAUCGUAUUUCGCAAACGCUCAAACUUGAGACAUAAUUCUGACAAAUACGAUAAAAUUAUUUUCGAAUUCACAUGCUUCUAAAUUAGAAAUCUUUGAACAAUAAUAAUAAAAAAAAAGGCUGCUGCUAAUGCAAACUCCAUUCAUAGUUAUCUUAAAUUGCGUUUAUAUACGUCAAUUUCAUUGAAUUGUAAAAGUAGUAUGAGGGAAAGGGGUAAUUCUGGCUAGAGCUCUGAAGAGUUAUGUAAUCUCUAGUUCUAGAAAAAUCCUAUCAAUCUUUUCUCUAGGCGUAGGUGGCAUCAACAAUGAUAUCAAAGAAAUGCCUUGGUUUUCUUUUUUGCUUCACCUAAACUAUUUUACUUCUGAGACUCUCCGUAGAGUUUCACGUUAUUUAUUGUUCUUGGGUCAUGGUUUCCUGAUGGUAUGAUUUAUAUAGUUAUGUUUCCCUCGUAGACUGCAAAAGCUAUAGGGGCGGCCAUCCAACCAUUACUGCAGUUAGUUGGUCGGCUGCACCUUGUUGUCGAUCAGGUUAAGGCCCUUUAUAUCUUUGCGUCAGAUAAAUUUUUGAGCUUGACAGUCUCUAAAUUUGGUAAACGUUGUCUUCCAACAGUUUGACGAGGCCGUGCAGGAUCAAACUAGAGAUUCUCUUCAUGAGCAUCGAGCUGAUGAAAGUGAUGAUAAGGACGAUGACAUCAAUCAUGUCCUGUACAGGGAUGAGGAUGAAUCUGGACAAACUAGCGAUGAUACAGAUGAUGAGUAGAAGCUCCAAAUUUUAAGAGGUAGUCAUCCUUGCUGGUGUUAAAUUUGAUCUGUCGUCUUGCAUUUUCAAAAAAUUGGUUCGUUGGGGGAAUUAGUGGGUAAAGAAUAGGUGAAAUAAAGGCUGCAACAUCUUUUUCUCUGAUCUGCAUUUUCAGGAAAAAGUCUUUUAUUCCACGGCAAGAAGUGAGUUCCAUAAAGCAUCCUGUAUAUAGUCUAUUUUGCUGUUUUGAUUAAGAACCAGUUAAAUGCGAACAGCUCUAUUUUAUAUACGCAAUUUACUGGACGUUCUGCUGAUCGUGAUCAAGAGUUUCCAUGUGCCAAUUAUGGCUUGUAAUUUUCCAUGCUCAUCGCAAGUAGCUUUUUUCCUCUAUACAUCAGUUUGAGUUGGAUUUGUUUUUGCUGCUUUGCAGUAAACUUGCUCAUGAUGGAGAUGCUCGCUUGGGGCAACUCACUGGUCAAGUUGCAGCUGCCCCUGGAGAAAUUCAUACGUAUGCUGCCAAUUUCGUGCCCUCCACAAAUUUUCUGAUCCCGACCGCGUGUGCUGGUCUCAAGCAAUCACCAUGACGAUAGAGACCGUCACAGACUGGCCGUUGCGGUAGUGGUUAUUGCCUUAUAGUGGAUUAUGGCCAGAAGAAGAGAUAGUGGAAUGGACCCUUUUCUCAUGCCAGAGGGGGAAAGAAAAGAGGCCCACUACGAGAGGAGAGAGUGAUUUAGCUGCUAACAAGCGCAGGUUUUUCAUGAAAUGAAUGGUUAUUCAUUCGGGAAGGUCUGUUGAUUAGGAGGUUAUACCUCUAUUUUUACUUUCCUGAAAAUUGUUUUUUCAAUUAUUCAAUCAUAUCAUCCGUCUAAUGGACACUUGAUUGACUGUUUAUCUGUAUCUGUCCUUGUCUCUGGUAUUUUCUCGUACAAGGAAUGUGAUAUAAAAAAUCUGCAAGACUUCUUGUUCGAUCUUAACGAAUCUUUUUUCGACUUUAUUUCUGAGUGCCCAAAUGCAGCAUAAGAGUAGAACAUGACAUUUUACCCUCUAUGAGUUGACAGAGUACAUAUCACAUUCUUCAGAUAUGAUUCCAAAAUCUGAGACUCGAAAACUUUAGAUGACCAUCUUACUGACCAGGGACGCUUUAGAUGUCCUCAAACCACGUGGCAACCUAAAAACCGUUUUGGCAAUUUAAUAUCAUCUGCUGUAUGCUGGAUAUAAUUAUCAAAGGUUCUAAACCCAGUCAUUAUGUAAAGUGAAGUCAGCUAAAGCCAAGGGGUUGCUUUUGAGACGUUUGAUAACGUUAAAAUGAUAUGCAGUUUUACAAAGAAAAAAUGGAAUAUGAUGGUUGAAUUCCGAGUUCGUUUGAGUAAGAGAACAAACAACGAAAGGCGAGGAAGUUCAAAAAGGAGAAGCGAAAAUGGUUGCAGUAUUCAGUUUUGCAGGGCUUCAAUGCGUCCCGAUCCAAAUUAGGCUGUAUGCGCAUCAAACUCAGAGGGGGCCACACGAAGCUCUCUAGACCAAAAGAAAAAAAAUUAAAAAGAAAGAGAAAACGGGGGCCGCACGCUACGUCCAUCAUUCAAUUGAGGACCACAUCGGACGAAAGGUUACUCCAAAAACACUUCAUCCGGGCUUGCGAACGAAGCAAGUACAGCAAUUUUGCAAAACAUUUACCAGAACCACCAUCAUAUUCGCGAAGAGACAAAGACGAACGCACUCCCUCGACGACAAAACAAGAACAGUACUCAACUAGCGCUGACUCGAACAGGACUAGCAGUCUUCUGUCUUAUGGCCCUGAUCAUCUCCUCCUCGGUGACAUCCCCUUGGCGGAGAACUUACUCGAACAGGACUGCGUCUGAUGGCACCUCCAGAUAAGCCUCAAUGGCCCCGAACAUCACGGACGCCUUCCCUCUCAUGGCCCUCAUCAUCUCCUCCUCGGGGAUAUCCCCUGGGCCGACAGUGAAGUACCUGCCCGCGUACUUACAGACCGAGCCACCCUCCAGGGGCAACGCAGUGAUCUUCACCUCAUGGCUGAUCUCCCUGGAGAUUCCGCCCAGCUCAUCCCGAUCGACGGUCGAGUGGUUGUAGAGGAAGGGCUCCUGGUCCUGUGCUUUAACCGUGUGCCUCACCGUCCUGCGCUGUCUGCCUAUAGAAGUAACAAAAAGUGACAUUCGCGCUGAUCCGUCCUAUGAGUUUUUCCAAUCCCCUUCUUCCGUUUCCGUUGAUGACUUAUUAGAUUAUUUAUUUAUUUUUUCAAAAUCUUCCUUUAUUUUUGUUUUUUUAAGUUCAUAUAAUAAAUAAAGAUUUACAAUAGAUAAAAUCCUAAGUAAGAACAUUGAAAAAUUAUGCAAGUAAAAAAAAAAAAAAAACUGGCCUUUUUGUUCUUCAUAUCUAGGAUUAGGUUCUAGAUCAUUAGAUAGGAAUUCAAAGAUGAAGAAAGUGUAAACAGAGCUUGAGAGUAAACAUCACAUAAUCUCCAAUAUCUGUUUUUUUUUUUUUUGUUCUUUUUAUUUUUCAACAUCAUGAGCACCAAUCUAAGUGUUGUUGAUCAGGCCAUCUAGGGAUCAUGCCCAUUUAUAACCGUAAUGCAAUACAAUGAAUAUACCAUUUUAAUGGUGAGGAACAUUUCAAUUGACCAAGUACCUUCGAUCGAGAUUGCCUCCUGGAUCUCAGCAUUUGUGAUGGUUGGCAAGAGGUUAUAGGGGAAGAAGCCACCCGCUCCUAGAAAAGCCUCGACCAACCUGGCCUUAGGGAUCGGGUGCGUGAUCUCGGCCUUGAGAGUAACUUCUACCAUCGAUUGAAUCUGAAUAGAAUUUGCUGAAACUUAAAAGGGGAUAAAAAUCUCGAAAGAAAGAAAGAAAGCAAUAAAAAGAAGGAGCUUCGAGGAGAGGCAAAGUACAAGGUUGAUAUUUAUAGCGAUAAGAAGAUGGAUAAUUGCACAAAUGAUCCCUGAACUUUGAUUUAAUGUGUAAUAUGAUCUAUAAAUUUUUAAUUUGCUCAAUAUGGUCCUUAGAAUUUUUGUAUAUGUUUAAUAUAGUCCCUAAACUGUAUGAAAAUAUUCAAUAUAGUCCUUCAUUAAUUUAAGAUCAUAGACAACAUUAAAUAUUGUUAUAUAAUUCAUGGACUAAUUGAGCAUGUACUAAAAAUUUAGGAACUAUAUUAAACAAAUUAAAAUUUUAAGCACCACAUUGUAUAUUAGGUUAAAGUUUAUAGAUCAUUUGUAUCAUUUUCCUGUACAGACAUCGACCCUCCAUAAAUUUGGACGUAAAGUAACUUCCGCUUAAUUGCAUGUGGUGGAAAAGGAAAUUAUUCCCUUUUCCUUGAAACCAUCUCUCCUCCCAUAAAAAGCUAAUCCCCGCAAGUUUCAGCCAAAAAAAAUAAAAAAAGCUAAACCCCUCAAGACCCAAUAAAUUACCCAUACAACAUAUGAUUAACUUUAGGAUUGAAUUUAAUUUAAUUAUCCCCCUUCUUUUCCUAAAGCAACAUAAAACUUUUGCAACUCAAUUUUUUUAAUUUUUCUUUUUAAAAUUUUGAGUUUUAACUAUCUCCUCAUGGACUCUGGAGAGAGGGAGGGAAGCUUUGGCCAUUCUCCUUAAAAGCAUCUCUCCUUUGUUCUGCCUCUAAUCCUCUGCGGCCCUCUCCAUGCGUUGACUGGUCUGCAUGUUAUUGUUGUGAUAUUAUCUUGUUCCUUGUUUUGUUUGGUUAUCAAAAGCAAAUUGACAACUAAGAUGGGUCUCUUGUUUUUGAUCGGGAAUGAUCCCAAGACAAAUCCUUUCGACUCGGCCAAAAGGUUAAUUAACCAGUUGCAUGAAAUGAUUCCAUGAGUAUGUUGCAAUGUAAGCAUCUAUAUAAAUCAGCUUCCUGAGGUAAGCAAGAGCUUACUCCAUGCUUUUCUUGAUCAAAGGUUAGCCUAUCUCUUGUUUCUUUUUCAAGUGCUUUUUUCAAAAUAGGAGUUUUGUUUAUUUAAGUUUAGAAUCAGUGUGGUUGAGUGUCUUUUCUAUUCGAAUUGGUGACUAUCUCAUCAUAAAGUUAUUCGAGACUUGAGCAAGACUUGAGCAAUUCUUUAAAUGGCUCAAUGGACUCUUUAUGGGGGAAGAACCCUUGAGGGUUUGUACUCCAUUGUAAUCCCUCCUCUUCCCUCCUAUCCAGGAAGAAAAAGAUAGGAUGGGAAUCAGGGGGCUCGUCGGUGGCGAAGCUAAACACCACGUCAAUUGUCACGCCCCGAACCUCGAGCGCGCGCACAUCCCACUACGGUCGAUAAAAAAUGCGACAUCCCAGGAUAUGUUGCCGACCCAUUAAUUUCUUUACGCAUGCGGAAGCGAAACAAAUCCCCUGACAACAUUUAACUUGAGAUAGAAAAGCAGGCAAUCAAUCACAAUACCAAACACUCAUUUACAAACACAAAGGGUUUAAAUACAACACUAGACUUUCUACAAAAUAGAUCAGCUCGACAAAAGGGGAACUAUCCUACAACCAACUAGCAGGACACGCUCUCCAACCCUUAUGACUUCACCUCUGCAACUCAUCAAGGCCAACCAAAGCUAUCUGGCCGCUCCGUCCACCAGGGACCUGAAAUUUUAAUCCCACAACCGGGAUGAGACGAUGUCUCAGCAAGUUCAACCCCCUAAACCCCUAUUAGAAAGAAAAUACACCCCGGAUGGCCUAGCCACAUCACACAGAAGACUUACCUCGCAUCAGCCUUCAUCUACAGGUUAGCGCAAUUUAUAUAAUUCAACCACGUACAAUUAUGAUAACCAAACAACCAUGGCUCAAUCACAUUAUCAAAACAAUUCAACCACUUGGAUCGUCUCAGCGAUCAAUCGAUUCGGCCGAUUACAUGUCAUUCUAGCAAAUCAAUCAUUGCUCUCAAUCCUGACCCUAUAGGAAGGUUUAACAAUUAGUGGCAAUCACGGCCCCACUCGGCAAGACCUGUAAUCAGGUGGUAAGUCACGGCCUCAUCAGGCACGACCUCUAAUAGGUGGUAUUUCACGGCAUCAUCAGGCACGACCUCUAAUAGGUGGUCUAUCACGGCCUCACUGGGCACGACCUCUCAUAGGUGGUUUAUCACGGCCUCAUUGGGCACGACCUCUCAUAGGUGGUUUAUCACGGCCUCACUGGGCACGACCUCUCAUAGGUGGUUCAUCACGGCCUUAUUAGGCACGACCUCUAAUAGGUGGUAUUUCACGGUCUCAUCGGGCAUGACCUUUCCUAGGUGGUACAUCACGGCCUCACUGGGCACGACCUCUAAUAGGUGGUCAAUCACAGCCAAUCUCCCAUCAAUUUCUACACUUAGGAUUUCAUAAAGAAUCCCUAUAUAUCGCAAUCACACUCAAUUUGCCAUAACCAAUCAUCAAUAUCAAAUUCUAAAUGCAAAGCAGCGAUCGACACGAAAUUCUAAGAGUUUAGGGUCCUGACAAAAUUUUCGGAAUUUAUUAAAUAAUUAAAUUUAUUCCGAAAAUAAUUAAAUAAUAAUAUUCAUACUUUUCAUGAUCCACGCUCAAUUUAUAAUAUCUAAUCAUCAAUUUCAAAAUCCGAAUGUACCGUAGCGACCGGCACGAAAUUCUGAGCAACCGGGGUCAAACAUAAUUUUUCUGAUUUUUUUUUUAAAAUAAUAAUAUUUUAAUAAUUUCGGAUUAUAAUAUAAUAUAAUAUUUUCCAGAAUUUUGAAGCACUUAAAUAAUUCAAAACUAAAAUCAUUUUGUGUCACAUCAAGGCUUAACUUUAAAUAAACUAUCUUAGCAUUUAAUUUAACAUACUUUAGAUUAAUCAACAUCUUAAUCUAAAUCAUAAUUAAAUUAACUAAAUUAACCACCUAAGCUUAAUCAACUUAAGCUAAGCACACCUAAAGCAUAAUUAACCCUCUAAGCGAGGUUUAGUGAGCUAAACUCACCGGAUUAGCGAGCGGAGCGGACCAAAACGACGGGGACGACGCGAGGAUCGACUUUCCUUAAAGCGGGCCGAGCAUCCGGGCUCGGGAAGGCAGCCGAAACAGGCCAAGAAGGGGCUGAGAAACCCAUUUUCUGCAGCUGCUGUUCAUGGGCGAAGGAGGGCUGUCCGGCGGCGAUUCGGGCGGAGGAACGGCGGAGGAGACCGGCGAGGGCUUGGACGGGCUGAAGGGGAGGUCGACGGCGGCAGAGGGAGCUCCGGCGAAGGCCCGAGCUACUCGGACAAGCGGCUGGAACGCGGCCUAGCACGGACGAGGGCGACGAGCAGGUGAGCUGACCGGCGGAGCGGCGUGCGGGCGGCGCGAAGCGACGGCGGCGACGGCGUGCGAGCAGGAGCGGGCGGCCAUGGCUGCGGCUUCUUCUUCUCUGCAUUUUUCUGGUCUUCGCACCAGGAGAGACGGAGGGGGAAACCGACGGGAGAGGAAGGGGAAAGGAGAGGGGGUCGGCCAACGGCGGUCCGGCGCGACGGCGAGGCGGCGAACUCCGGCAAUGGGCGGCGGCGUCGAGCGACCAAGCGAGCGGUGAAGGGGCGUGCGGCUGCUGGUUCCGUUCGGAGCUUUCUCUCUCCUCCAAAAUCCAAGAAGAAAAUCCAAAAUGAAGAAGAUGAUGGAGAUGGGUUGGAGGUGACAUCCUACCUUUUGAAGAACAAAUCCUCACCCUCCAUGUGUCAAGAUCCUAGCCACACAAGCCCCACCAUGACAUCACUUGAUGAUGUCACAUUCCACUAUCUCCAAUCUUCCCACAACAAUCUUCGAUGGGUGCAAUUUAUUUUUCCGCCGGGGCAUAAAACUUUGUACAUCAAUUCCUUCAAUUCCAAUCAAUUAUCUCAUAAUUGAAUCAAAUUGAAGUUCAUAAAAUUAAUCCAAUGUCACCACACUUCAAUUCACAUCUUCACUUGUCCGUAGAAUCAACUUAAGUCCCAAAAGCGCGACCAAAAGCGGCAUACUAAUUUCUCGAGCCAAAUUAGCCAUUUCUUGAUUAUUUUGCUAAAAAGCUCGGCUUGCAUGAAAAAUCUUCCAAAGAUGAUUCAAUGAUCUUGAAAUGAUUUGUGACACACCCAGACUUCCAAUUUCUGAAUUCGAUCUCAAUUCCACGGUUAAUUUCACUUUGGCACGAUACUAGCGCGGCCCAACCUACCGGGUAGCCUUUAGAAAUUUUCAUGCAUUUGACAUGUGGUUGAUCAUCUCAAGCCACAAUGUACAUCUUUGAAACAUUGGCGACUUUCGGUUGUCGGGGUAAUCUCAAGGUUUCAAAUACGAACACAGGGUACCCAAUCGACAGAAAAGUUGGCCCAGUGCCGAUCGACAAGAAUUGUGCGAUCUUGUGGAAUCACCCACACCUGAUCACAUGUCUCUGUCGAGUCGACCUAUCUCCGAUCUCUAAUCGAUUUUAAUUGUGCCGUAAUGACCCUUGUAGAUUAACUCGGUCGAAAGAUCGCUUCUUGGUCAAAUUCUCGAGUCUGAUGCAUUAGAAACUCUUAACAGCUUCACCCGAUAGACUAGUUUCCACAUGAGUGGCCGACUCAAGGAAAAGAACUAUAUGCGUGCCAACGAAAUGCCCGUCUCAAUUUAUUGAAAAUAGAAUUGGAAAAAUCGGGAUGUCACAUCAGUUCUUCGAAGCUAGUUAUUGCCUAGGAAGCAUUGAUACUAUCUAAAAAUAUUUGUGUCAUGUUGGCCACUCCAACAUAUGUUUGAUACUCUCUGACACUUUUCGACACUCUCCAAUACUCAAUUAACAGGUCUAAGAAAGUUUGAUACUUAGUCAACUCUCUUGACACUAUCCAACACUCGAGUUCGAAAUUCCAACACGCAACUUUAGAAUUCUGAUAGGUGAUUCUGACACGCACUGAGUCAAUUUUAAUUUUUUUUAAUAAAUAAGGAAUCUAAAUGUAAAUAUGAAAAAAAAUAAUAAAAAAAUAAAAAUAGGUGGAAGAAGAAAAACCUCAUCUUUCUUCUCUUCUGACUUUCACUUAUUAUGAUACAUAAUUCACCUCUCAAAAUUAUUUUUUUCUCUUUUCUUCUGACAUGCAAGACCAGAAUGUGGACUCCUUUUUUUUUUUUUCCUUCCAAGUUAUAUGGAUUAUUGGAAUGGAGUUAAAUUUGUCAAAUUAAAACAAUAAAUAAUAUUAACAAAUGUUGAAUUAAUAUUUUUAGUGUAAAUUCAUGCUAGCCUCUUUUUUAUAAUUUAUUUAUUUAUUUGUGAAUUGAAUUAAAUUAAUUUGAUUAAAUAAUCAUAAAAAUGAUAAUUUAUUAUGUAUAAAUAAAAAUAUACUUUUAAUAUACAACAUGUCUUAACAUGUUAGAGUUCUCUAUUUUUUGAAAAACAACGUGUCGGCGUAUCAUGUUGUGUCGUGUCGUGUCGCGUGUCAGUGUCAAUGCUACUUAGGCCACCGCAAGUUAGGAGAGUAUAGUAGUUCUCCGUGCCUAGGUGAGACAUGGUGGCUUCAAAACUAGUGCUGGGCAAGUAAAAGCUUACUCAAGUCUUUCAACCGACUACUUAGAAUAGGAGUUUUGUUUAUUUGAGUUUAGAAUCAAAGUGGUCAAAUAUCUUUUCUAUUCAAAUUGGUGACUAUCUCAUCAUAAAGUUAUUUCACAAUUCUGAACUUAGGAACACAAAAUUGGACCCCACAAUUUGGAUUAGGAUAAAGUUCUACAGUUUCAUGUAUACAUUAUUUUCUAUAUACUUCUGUUGAAUGCUAAAACCAAUGUAAGUGACGAGGGUAAUUGGGGUUGGGUUGUUAUAUACAUCUCUCAUAGAUGUCUAAUACGAUGAAACUAUUUCCAAAUUCACAGGCUUCUAAGUUAGAAAUCUAAAAUAAAAAAAAAUGGAAAAAAAAGGCUGCUGCUAAUGCAAACUCUAUUCAUAAAUAUCUUAAACCGCCUUUAUAUCCAUCGAUUUCAUUGAAUUGUAAAAGUGGUAUGCGGGAAAGGGGUAAUUAUGGCUAGAGCUCUGAAGAGUUCUGUAAUCUCUGGUUCUAGGAAAAAUCCUGUCUAUCUUUUCUCUAGGUCUAGGUUGCAUCAAUAAUGAUAUGAAAGAAUUGCAUUAGUUUCUUUUUUUGCUUCAUCUAAAUAAUCUUAGUUCUCGGACUCUCCAUAGAGCUUCACGUUAUUUACUGUUCUCAGGUUAUGGUUGAUGGUAUGAUUUAUAUAAUUAUUGUAUCCCUUGUAGACUGUAGAAGCUAGAGGGACGGCCAUCCAACCCCAUUACUACAUUUAGCUGGUCAGCUGCAGCUUGUUGUCGCUCAGGUUUAGGCCCUUUAUAUCUUUGCUUCAGAUAAUCUUUUGAGCUUGAGAGUCUAUAAUUUUGGCCAACGUUGUCUUCCAACAGAUUGACAAGGCCACACAUGAUCAAACUAGAGAUUCUCUUUACGAGCGUCAGGCUGAUGAAAGUGAUGAUGAGGACGAAGACAUCGAUCACGUCUUUUACAGGGAUGAGGAUGAAUCUGGACAAACUAACGAUGAUACAGAUGAUGAGUAGAAGCUCUAAAUCUUAGGAGGUAGCUAUUCUUGUUGGUGUGAGAUUUGAUUCGUCUUGUUGCAUCUUCAUAAAUUUCGGAUUGUUGGGGUAAUUAGGGGGUAAAGAAUUGGUGAAGUGAAGUUUUAUAUUCCACCGCGAGAAAGUGAGUUCCAUAAAGCAUCUUGUAUACGGACUAUUUUGCUGUUUCAAAUAAGAACCACUUGUUCUAGGUUAUAUACGCAAUUUACUGGAAAUUUUGCUGCUGAUCGUGAUCAAGAGUUUCAUGGACUCAUUACAGGUAGCUUUGUUCCUCUAGACAUCAAUUUGAGUGGGGUGCUUUUGCUGCUUUGUAGCGUGAAAUUUGCUCAAGAUGGAGAUGCUCGCUUGGGGCAAGCCACUGGUCAAGUUGCAGCUGCCCCAGGAGAAAUUCAUACGCAUGCUUGCCAGUCUCGUGCCCUCCAAAAUUUUAUGAUCCCGACCACGUAUGCUGGUCUCAGGCAAUCACCAUGACGACAGAGACCACCCAGCCUCGCCGUUGCACUAGUGGUUGUUGCCCUAUGGUGGAUUAUGGCUCUGUAUAUAUACUUCUCCGGAAAAUUGUUUCUUUAAUUAGACAAUCACAUCCGCCGUCUAUCAAACGUUCGACUGGACAGUAUAUCUGUAUCUGUCCUUGUAUCCAGUGUUUACUCGACCAAAGAAUAUGAUAUAAAAAAUCUGCAGGAGUUCUUGCCUAAUCUUAAUAUAUCCUUAUUGACUUUAUUUCUUAGCGACCAAAUGCAGCAUAAGAGAAGAACAUUACAUAUUACCCUCGAUAAAUUGACAGAGUGCAUGUCACAUUCUUUAGCUAUAAUUCCAGAAAUCUGAGAUCUGGAAACUUUAGAUGACCAUCUUCCCUAAAAGCCAUUUUGGCAUUUCGACAUCAUCUCCUGUAUACUUAAUUAUAAUUAUCAAAGGUUCUAAACCUAGUUAUUAUGUGAAGUGAACUUAGCUAAAGCCAAGAGGUCUCUGUUGAGACAUUUGACAACAUUAAAAUGAUAUGGUUUUACAUAGAAAACAUGAGAUAUGAUGAUCGAAUUCCAAGUUCCCAAAUGGUAACCCGUCUGUUCAGGUAAAACAAACAACGAAAGUUGAUACGUUCAAAAGGGAGACACGAGAAUGGCCGCUGUAUUCAAUUUUCAAUUUUUGCAGUGUUCUCGGUUGAUCGUAUUUUCGAUUUUGCAGAGUUUCUAUACAUCUCGAUCCAAAUUGAGUACAAAUCACUGGAUACUAUAAGUUGUUGGUCUGCAUGUAGUGUCGAUAUGAUCGCAAAUAAUCAAGAGAUGCAGUUGCUCAUUUCUGUUUAUCUCACGUUCCAAUUGUCCAAGCUCAAGAAUUUAAAUCCGAUUUCGAAGAACUUGGUUUUCAUGACUCUGGCGAGCUCUAAAUGCUGCAGAUCAAAAUUUGGUCCGUCGAAAUCACAAGACAAAAGUAAAGAAGAUAUGGUAGCUCUUCUUGAGAGCAAGAGCUUUUGUAUGACUCUCAACAAAUUCUUAUGUGUAAACCUAAAUCAUGGCAAAGAAUUACAAACAAUAUUCUUAACGAGGAGGGCGUCGGAACAUGUCCUAGGCGUAGGCCUGUGGGUUCUCUAGGAGGUAAGACUCCACGACCUUGAAUAUGGCCAUGGCCUUCUCCUUCCCAGCCUUGAUCUCCUCUUCUUCAACUUGAAAUGCCUCCUUGGUGUUGUACUUGCUGGUCAUCUUGCACACUGACCCUCCGUCACUGGCGGCAUCAAACUUGACCUCAUAAUCAAUCGACUCGAGCUUGUCGCCCAGUGCAUCACCCUCAAUCAUCGUGUACCUACAAACGAAGUUCUCCUUGUCGAGCUCAUCGAUCCGGUGCCUCACAUACUUGAAAUGACUAGCUGCGUUUGUUACCGAAUGAGAAAUAAAUUCACUGAACUCAUCACUAGAGAGAGGAUCCAAAAGAAUGGUGUAUGCUGAGUCUACGUACCUUCGGUGAAGUUAACUUGCUCGAUGCUCCCGGCUGCUCCAUCGCCUUGCACGAGCUCCACGCUCUUUAUGAACUGAGGAAGGAGCUUCGGGAUCAGGGCAUUCGCCUCGAUGAUCAAGGCCUUGAACAUGCGAGCCGCAGCGAUCGGGCAUGUGAGCUCUUGUGUGAUGCUGGUUGCCCCCAUGGCUAUUAGCAAAGCGAUGAGAAAGAAAUAACCUCAAAGAAGUGAUAUGCUUCUGAGUCCUGUCGAUGCCUCCUAUUUAUGGUUAGAAUUAUGUGAAUAGGUAGGCUUAGUUUGGCAAGAGUCAAGUUUGAGGAAAAUAGAAUGGUCAAGGAUUUGCAGCCUAAAGGAAUGUAAAAGAGUAAAUAAGUUGGUCUCUUUUGUUCUUUUGGUCAUGAAAAUGGUUUCGGUCCAUUUCAGAUUCAAGUUGAAAUGGCAAAGAUGAUGUUCCCAAAGAUGAACACAAGAGAGAGCACGUUCUCAUGUUCACAUGGGCGGCCAUCCCUUUGAAUUGAUUGUUGUGGAGUUUGAUCUAAUAACAAUUUGGUCGGACUACUACGUGACUUGCCGAAUAGAUAUUACAAGGAAAUACCUUGUUUGGAGAAAAGUGAAUUAAUUGAAUGUCAUUUGAUAUGGAGUAAAUGAGAAUCCUUGAUUGAUUAGCGAUAUCACGUCAGCAUGUCAUACUAUAUCAACAUCAUAUAAUUUUUUUGAGGGCUUGAGGGAUGGGGACGCUACGGGUUCCUGUUGUUACGGCUUGUUUGUUCGUUUCAUAGCUUUUGUGUUCUUGCUGGCGCCCUCGGGCUUUUAUCGGAUCCCCGUCACUCUUGCUCCUUUGUUAAGAGUGCUUGUUUGGAUCCGAUCUUUUGUACAUUUGUCCUCCUCAUUAAUAUUAUUACCUUUACCAAAAAAAAAAAAAAAAUGUCACGGCAGAUCUGUUCAAAUGCAUCAAGCAAGGCCAUUCAAUUGGGUUAAGGUUGAUUCAAACUUCUCUAACACCGGCGGUUUGACUGGGUCAAAAUCGGGUCUGCCAAGGGGCGUCUAAGGAUCAGCUUAUCGUCUACGUUGCGGGGAGGUGGGGCCGGCUGCUUUUCCGUUAUACUUUGCUUCUCUUCUUCUUCUUCUUCUUCUUUUUGGUUUUUGAUUUUAUUAUCGUUGAAUCAUUUGAUCUCCAAUCCAAUGUCCCCAUCAAGAGAUAUGAUAGGAUUAUCUUAAAUAGAAUUUCAAAUAGCCGAAGUGUUGUAAUAAGAUAAGUCCAAACCCUAGUCACAUUCAACUAUGUUUUUCAAUAGCUUUUUUAAUAUAUUAUAAGAAUGUACUUUUCCUUAAUAUUCUUACAUAUUGUGGUUUAUGAAAGUUUGUGCCACAUUGAUAGCUUUAGAUGUUAGUUCAAAUUCGAAAUAUCGGGCCAAAGUGUGGUCUUUUAUUGGCCAUUUGGCAUUUCAUUUGUAACUCAUGAAUUCUCUCCUUGUAAAAAAAAUUACUAAAAUUAGAGAAUUUCAUUCUACAAGCUUUGUAUAAACACGUAGCAUAGUUUACCAAAUUCCACAAAACCACUGAACCAGAGUCCUGUCACACCUUUUAUUCUCUUAUUCUCAGCAAAGACAAGAACAACAACACUCACCAGCCCAACAUGCUUAGCUCCAAACAGAGUGACUCAAACUCUUCUUGUCUCCUUUUCAGUUCAGCACAACCAGACAUAUUUAACACAUUACAUAAACAAUAAAAGAUAGCGAUGAGAUCGGCUCAAUAGGCAUCAGGGUUUGCCACGAGAUAAGCCUCGAUGGCCUUGACCAUCGCGGACGCCUUCUCUUUCCCGGCGUUGAUCUACUCCUCGGUGAUGUCCACCUCGCCAACGGUGAAAUAGUUGCUCGUGCUCUUCAACAACGAGCUCCCUGGGGCAACGCCGUGAUCAUCACCUCAUAGCUGAUCUUCUCAAAGGUGGUGCCCAGCACUUCACCCUCGAUGAUUGAGUAGCAAUAGGUGAAGUUCUCCUUGUCCAGGGCCUCAACCUUGUGCUUCGCUGUUUUGUACUGACUGCCUAUCAGUGUAACAAAAAGUCACAUUCACAUUUAGAACUCGCAGGUUUCAAUAUCACGAGCACCGAUCUUCUUGGUGUCGAUCAGGCCAUUUAGGAAUUAACCUAAUUGUUCCGACCGCAAUCCAAUAUGAUUGACUUAGACAUAGCCUGACUUUGCCAGAUCAAAAUCGAGUCACAUAAUCACUUGUGUAAAGUUAAAUGGUUAGAAACAUCUUAAGUAAUGGAGUCAUAUUUCUAUCAUUUUCAAUGUUCAUUAUAGUGUUCCAUAAGGUUGAAUCCGCCUUGAUUCAGAGCAAUCAUAAGUUCCUAAUAUGGAUGGACUAACCUUCACCAAAAGUCAUCAACUUGAUGGUCCUGGGACCUCCAUCGCCCUUGAGGACUUCAAUGCUCUUGACAGCUUUAGGGAGGACCUUGGGGAGGAGGUUAUCGGCUUCGAGGAUAGCGGCCUUGAACAUCUUGGCCAGGGGAAUGGGGGACGUGAGCUCUAAGUCGAAAGUGAUGACACCCAUGACUGGAUCCUAACAGAGUUGUUGAAACUGAGAAGGCAGUGAUGAUCUGGAAAGACUUGAGUAGUAGUGAUGAAGUUGGUCUCUGGGACUUGGGAGUAAAGAGAAGAGGCUGAAUUGAAGUUGACAUAUAUAGAGAGAGGGAGACUGAGUGUGAAGGGUUCUGAUCACUGCAUAUUUUCUUCUUACUAAGAUGCAUUAUAUUUUGCAGGAAAUAAAUAAUUUAGAAAAUAUUUUCCUAAAAAUAAUAACUAAAUUUAGAUAGUGUUUCCAAGCAUAAGUUAUUUGGUGAGUGUGCUGCAUGUUCUAAAUUGAUCUAAAUUGCUAAAUUUAAUGGGCUCACUAGAAUUAAAAGUCUAGAUUCCCUUUAAUAUAAGUAUGACAUUACCUCAUUUUCAAGUUUUCGUCAAAAUUGUGUUGUAUGUACUAAGUUAAUCUAAAUCACUAAAUUUGAUGGGUUCACGUGGGAUCCAUACAAAAUUCACUAGAAUUAAAAGUUCAGAUUUUGCUUACUAUAAAUACAGUGCUCUUUCCUCAAAUUGUGUGGCGUGUACUAAAUUGAUCUAAAUUGCUAAAUUCAAUGGGUUCAAGUGGGACUCAUAUGGAACUCACUUGUCACGCCCCGAUCCUCGAGCGCAUGCCCAUCCCUCUCUGGUCGAUAAAUAUUUUGCGACUUCCCAGAACGAGUCACCGACCCUUUUAUUUUAUUGCACAUGCGGAAGCUAAUAAUAAAUCCCAUGACAGUAACUCUCUCGGGAUAGAAAAGCAGGACAUCGCAUUCACAAACAAACCACACUUUUAUAAACAUACUGAGUCUUUUACACAAGUCUAUAACCAAAAGACUAGUUCUCAAAAAGAGGCUGUCCUAUCUGACCUACUCUUCAGGUCACCUCAGCUUAGCUCCAGGUCCUCCCUCUACGCUCCUGAAAAUUUUAAGCCCACGACGGGGUGAGAUAUAAAUCUCAGCGAGUUCACGGUCUAAGCCCCGAUUAUGAGGGAAAUACACCCAGAAGUGUCCUAACCACACAACCACUCAAUUGGCAUAGAUGACUUACCUCGACUCAGUUUCCUUUCCUGCAUGUCAAUAUAGUUCAUAUCGUAAUGCAUAUAAUCAAUGCACAUAACAACUGGAAAACCUCAUCAUCUCAAUUAAUUACCGGGGUCCUGAUUAUAAGGCCAAACCGUUAUAACACAUCCCAUUCCAUGUCACACAGUUUUAGUCUCAUAAUCGGGUGCAUCAAACUCAACAAUCAUGCGUUCCAAUUGUUAAUUACACCCCUCAAGGGUACGGCCAACUCUAUCGGCGGUCUUCUGGCAUUGCCAGGCGUCGUCUCACCCCCUUUGAGCAUGGCAAUGUCUCUCAAUUAGACGGCUUCCCCGAAGGGGCGUAGGUCCAGCAUCUACUACGACUCGAGUCCCAAUGAAUGGGUAACAUCCGGCUUAACAGCCCAGGACAGUUUCUCUUAACCAACAUACAACCAAUCAAUCUCAGCCCAGGACACUAUGCAUUGCACUCAAAUGUCUCAAUUAAAAUAGUGAACCUGGCAUAUUUUCUUCGUAUUAGAAAUACACGAUAAAAUAGUUGUGCGUGGGUACACGGUCAAUUCACAUUAGAAAAACUGAUAUCCUCCAAUUUAAAAUCACAUUGGUUUAUAUAGUACAUAAAAUCAUUUUCGGUGUUAAAACUUGACACCCGGGAUUUUAAGGAAUUUCACAAAUUUUGGAAUUAAAAAUACUCAAAAUUCCAAUCAGCACUCAAUUUGCACAAAUUAACAUCCAAUUGCAUAAAUUGAACACACCAUUGCAACCAGCACGAAAUUCUGGUCACCGACUAUCCUGGCCUAAUUUUCGGAAAAUAAUUAAUAAUUAAAUAAUUUAUCAAAAAUUAAAUAAAUUACAAAAUAAAUAAAUUUAAAGCAUUUAAUUGAAUUAACCUAAAUUAACUAAACUAAAUAAUCUAACUAACAAUUAAAUCUAACCAUCCUAUUUAAUUUAAUCUAAGUACACUAACUAAAUAAACUAACUAAUUCCUAACUAAUCCACCUAACUAAACUAAUUACACUAACUAAAUACUAACUAUAUACUUAAUCUAACUAAGCCAUCCUAAACCUAAUCAACAUAAUUAAUCCACAAAUUAGCUAACUAACACACCUCUAAGUGUCAAUAGCCCACUAAUAAAGGAUUAGAAUGCAACUCACCGGUUAAGCUCGAAAAUCAGCUCACGGCGACGGUGGCGCAACGGCGGCCGAGACUCGAACUCACGGCAAGGCCAAGGGAACGCUUAGAUUGGCUGAAAACUCGCAAAAGAAACUCACGAACUCAGCUGAGUUCGCUGGAAUCCGCGGCUAGCUUCGGUCUUCAGUGGACUGAGCGAAGCUGGCGUUGGCAAAUCGGCAGAGGAGAAUUCGAUGGAGAGAGGGACGGCUUGGACGCGAAGAGCGUGGGCUUCGGUGAGGGAACAAUGGGCUGCUCGACGAAGACGCGUGGCUCAAGAUGCUGAAGGUUUCACGGUCAACUUUGCUGGAGAAAAACUCCUUUGGUGGACUGAAUUUGAGGUGGCUUCGGACGUGUGGUGCAGAGAAGAAACGGUGGGUGAAUGAUGGUGCAGGUGGCGGUGGGAUGAGGGAAAAACGUGGGGAUGCUUCGGUGAUGGGUUUCUUCGAAGGGAGAAGUGAACAGAAGGAGCUGAAGCCGUGAAAAGCGAGAGAGAGACCAAGAAGAAAGAGAGAAUCGGAUGAGGGAGAGAGGCGGUGGACUGGCGUGCGAAGGAAGCUGCAGCUAAGGAAGAAAAAGUCAAAGAAAAUAUCUUGAUCCUUUAAUGCUUGGUCCCCCUUUGGUCUUCAUGCAUAUCACCAUGUUCCCUUAUUCUUUCUAACAAAUAUAAUCCAAAAAUUAACCCAAUUGAUGCUAAAAUCAGUCCCCAAACCAUAGCUCCGAAUUCCACUGAUUUUAUAAUUCAAUUUCAUCAUCAAAUUCUCAAUUUCAAAAUCCAGUUUUAUCGAAGAAAAAUCUCACACAUGUCCAUAAAUUCCCAUCACCUAGUAGCUCGGUUUGCACAUCAAAAUUUCCUUCAAAUGAGCCCGUCUGAAUAUCUGUUCAAUUUCCGAAUCGAUUUUCCGUAAAAAUCUCGGAAUCUCCGAAAAAUUUUCAGAAAGUGAGUUGACGUUCCUAAAAUGAAUCGUGAUACGGCAGAACUUUCAAUUUUCUGAAAUCGAGCUCAAUUUCGCUGUUAAUUUCAAUUCGACGUGAUUUUAGCGCGUCCCAAUCUACCAGGUAGCUUUUAGGAAUUUUUAAUGCAAUUGACUCAUGGUCGAUUAUUUUCGAGCCACAAUGUACAUCUUCGACACAUUGACGACUCUCGAUUGUCGUAAAAAUCUCGAGGUUUCAAAUACGGACACAAUGUACAAAAAUGACAGAAAAAUCGGUUUAGUACCGUUUGAUAUAAAUUUUGCAAUUAGGUGGAAUCAUCCACGCACAAAUCACAUAUCUCUAUCGAAUCGACCUAUCUCUGGUCUCUGAUUCAUUUUGACGGUGCCGUAAUGACCCUUGCAGAUUAGCACGGUCGAGCAGUCGAUUCCUGGUUGAAUUCUCAUGUCUAUUGUAUUUAGAUUCUUUAACGGCUUUACAUAAUAGGCUAGUUAACUCGUGAGUGGCUAACUUAGAGAAAAAAGCUAUAGACACGUCGAUGAAAAGCCCAUUUCAUCUCAUCGAAAUCAGACUUGAAAAUCAGGAUGUCACAUCACUAGAAUUAAAAGUCCAGAUUUUGCUUAAUAUAAAUAAGUCCCUAGCUCAUUUCCGAGUCUUCAUCAAAAGUGUGUUGUAUGUCCUAAAUUGAUCUAAAUCGCUAAAUCUAACAAGUUCACGUGGGAUCCAUGUGGAACUCACUUGAAUUAAAAGUCCAAAUUCUCCUUGAUGUAAAUACGAUGCUAUGUCAUUUCUAAGUUUUCGUCAAAAUUGUAUUGUAUAUACUAAGUUAAUCUAAAUUGCUAAAUUUGAUGGGUUCAUGUGGGAUCUAUAGGAAACUCACUAAAAUUAAAAGUUCAGAUCAUCUUGAUUAAAAUACAGUGCUCUUUCAUCAAAAUUACGCCGUAUGUACUAAAUUAACCCAAAUCGCUAAAUCUAAUGGGUUCAUGUGGGACCUAUAUGGAACUUGCUGGAAUUAAAAGUCUAGAUUUUGCUUAGUAAAAAUAAGACCCUAACUCAUGUAUGAGUCUUUGUCAAAAGUGUGUUGUAUCUCCUAAAUUGAUCUAAAUCACCAAAUUUGAUGGGUUCACAUAGGAUCCAUAUUGAAUUCACUGGAAUUAAAAGUCCAAAUUCCACUUAAUAUAAAUAUGACGCUAGCUCAUUUCCGUUUAUUCAUCAAAAUUGUGCUAUAUGUACUAAGUUAAUUUAAAUCGCUAAAUUUGGUAGGUUUAUGUGGAACCCAUAUGAACCUCCCUUAGAUAAAACAUCCAAAAUCGAUUAAAUAUAUACCACAUCAACUCAUUUCUGAGUCUCCAUCAAGUGCCUUUUUCUCAUCUCUUUGAAGCUUCCGAUCGCGUGCCAUUCCAUCACAUGUGAGUCGCGAAUGAUUUUCCACGCCAAAGUCUUUGUUAAAUCUCGAGACUUAAAAAUACGAAUGUGAAGUACAAUUGCGUGUCAAAUGCAGAAAAUUCUUAUGUGAAAGAGUUGACCGUCCCUUCUUGAGUCAACUGUUCUCUUCCUUGAUAUGCUUUUCUCAUCUGGCCUCAGACACAGAUGUCAGAUGGUCAAAGGGACGCAUUCAUGUUGACACCUAAAUUUUGAUUAGGUUAUUAAUUAGGCCUUAAUUUAUUUUAUAUUUCCUUUUUUCGGAUAAUAAACAAAACAAAUAACAAAAACAACAAAUAAAUAAAUAAAAACAAAGAAAAAGAACCAAAGCAGCAGCCAUUGGAGUUGGGCCUCCAAGCACAGCCCUAUCCUUUUUCUUCGCGUGGGCUCACACGACCCAACCCACCCCCCUCUCUCCUUCUUCUUCCUUCUUCUUCUUCCUCGCUCCUUCCUUCUCCGCCUCUGUAGUUCACGCGUAGUGACGACGACACACUCGAAGACAACCUAUGGCCGAGGAGGGUAGGCCGACGACGGCCGAGGAGGGUAGGCCGACGUCGGCCGGAAGAGACAGAUCUCAAGCGCCAUUAUUGGUUUCCUUCAAUGCCGAGCAUGCCUUGUUGAAGGAGCUCGGAUGGGACGCCGGGUCAGCCACGGGGGUCUGGUUGGCGUACGAGGGCCGACGGUCGAACCUCCAUCGACCGGCCUCCUCGCCUAUAAAUAGAAGGGCACAACCUCCGUCGAAGAGGACACAAGCCGGUAAGCUUAGAGGGGUCCCUGAGAGACUUCAGGGAGCUCAAAGAGCAAGCAAGGUAGAAAUCGAGUCGCGAGCUCAAACCGACCUCCCUCCAAGAGACUUUGGGGGAGGCCGGCGGCAAGCGAGCCCGAGGGGGAGAAAGGGGCUGAGCGAGAGAAGAAUCGGAGGAGAGAGGGUCGGAUAUGGGUAUGAAGGCUCGUUGCCGUCCCCUAGACGACGUCACCUUGACCAAGUUCCCGACGUUGUGCACCGAUGCCGUCCAAAUCUGAGUGAGUAGGCCGGAGAGAAGAGGAGAUCGGAGGAGAUCCUGUGCCCCGACGCCGCCGCUGCGUCAGAUCUCACCAUGCCGCCGUCCUCACGCCUCGUCUCUGCCGCUUUCCCCAACGUCGUCCAGAUCUAAGUGGGCUUCGAGGAGCAGGGGUCCGUCACCAUCAUUGCCACUGUGUCUGGGUCCUCGCUGUGCUGCCCCCUACCGACGAGCCUCGGUUGAAGUCCUCGAAGCCAGUGAGCAUCUCUGACCCCCCCUCAUCUAUCACCUUUUUUUCUAAGUCAGCCAUGCCGGGGCACGCGAUUAUCGAGCUUGCAUAAGCUCCAACCGCCGGUCGCCCCUUUCUUCGCCGUUCCGCCUUCUCCGCCGUAGCCUCACCACAGUAGCCUAGACGUCGCCCAAACGCUUUCGCUCUUGCCAUCUCCGCCAUAGCCUAUUGAAGCCGCUCUGCCGCCGCUCGGAUGCCUUCCCCUCCUGUCGCCCGUUGCAGCCGUUGGACCGCGAAGGUAGCCGCGGCUGCGAAAAUCGGGUUAGCUAGGUCGGAUCGCGUGACGGUGCCCUAGGGUUUCCAUCAAGCAGGUCGGGUCGUCAGGCUGGGUUUGGAGCUCGGGCUAGGCAUCCCCUUUUUAAUUCAAAUAGGCCCAAUUCCGAUGUGUGGGCUAAGGUUUUUUUAAGAAAAACAAAAACAAAAAUAUGGUCCGCGUUCUAAGCGGACGACUCGGGUCGGACCCAACCCUGGAUCCAACCCGGUUCUUUUUUAAAUUAUUUUAAUAAAUAAAAAAUAAAAAAUAAUUUAUUUUCAAGAAAAUAAAAAAAAUCAAAAAUAUCUAUACUUUCCCCAAAAAUGUCAAAAAUGUCAAAAAAAAAAAUCCAAAAAUGAUUUAUAUUUUCAGAAAAAAGAUCAAAAAUCCAAAAAAUGCUUUUUAUGUCCAAAAAAAUAGAAAAAGACCAAAAAAAAAUGUUUUUUCUCCACGAAUGCAUGGAAAAUCCCUCAAACAUCCAAAAAGCCUCCAGAUUUAAACAAGAUUAGGUACCGAAAGGGCGUUAGUGAUUAACUAGUGUAAUCAAGUCUCCGAUUCUAAUUUCUCUGGUUGCGCAAGAGCGAAUAUUGCUCCUGAUACUUCGCUUGGGUUUCUAAUCGACCCACCCUAAACCGAUUAGUAGCGACUCCAUUUUUAAAAUUAGCCCAGUGGCUCGGACAAUCAAGCUUGAGUGCAUGUAGAUAAUUCUUGCACGACAAACGCAUGGUGGGUCGUGAAUUGAGACUCAUCCGCGUGCACACUAGUGCCACCAUCACCAUGAAUACCACUUCCUUGACCAGUUGGACGGUCGAAAAAGGAAGACAUGGGUCGAGCACAUCCUUCAUUAACACAUUUGAGUCUUCCAAUAAUGUCGACGUUUGUGUCGUUCGUGGGGAAGAGGGAAGAUUUCCUGGAUGCUUCUCCGUCAUAAUCUAGCUUCAUUACUUUUACUGCUGACUCUGUUUCAUGAAAGAAGAAUGAGUCAAUGUUUUGAUCACACGGUUCCUUUCAGAUUCAUGUUGAAAUGUCAAAGUUUAUGUUCCAAAAGAUGAACAUUCUCAAGCUCACAUGGGUGGCCAUCACUUUGAAAUGAUUGUUGUGGAGUUCGAUCUAACAACGAUUUGGUAGGACUACGUGACGAUGAUGUGCCGAUUAGAUAUUAUAACGAAAGGUCCUUAUUCGGAGAAAAGUGUAUUAAUCAAAUUUUGUCUCAUUUAAUAUGUAGCAAAUGAAAAUGCUUAAUUAGUUGGUGAUAUCAUAUUAGCUUCUUGCGCGAUAUAAACAUCAUAUAAUAUAUUUCUUCGUUCAUAAUGCCCUAAUGUCACGGUAGAUCUAAUUCAAAUGUAUGAAGUAAGGCCUUUUGAAAUCAUUUUUAUAACUUAAGGUUGAUUCAAACUUCACUAGCACCGACAGUUUGACUCGGUCAAAAUUGGGUCGGCAGUCGGGGUGUCCCAAGAUCAGCUCAAAUUCUAAAUUUGGGGGAAGUGGAGGCUGUUGCUUUUCCGUUAUAUUUUGCUUCUCUUUUUCUUUUUUAUCAUUAUUAGUGUUGAAGCAUUUGUCUCUAAUCCCAAUGUCCCCAUCAAGAGAUAAGAUAGGAUUAGGUAAAUAGAAUUUCAAAUAGCCCGAGUGUUACAAUAAGAUAAGUCCAAACCCUAAAAAAAUGAACUUUAUUUUGUCGGUAGCUUUCUUGACAUAUAAUAAGAAUGUACUUUUUGUUAAUGAUCAUAUGCAUAACGAUUUCUGAAAGAUUCUACCACAUCGAUAAUUUUAAAUAUUAAUCCAAAUUCGAGAUAUCAUGCCGAAGUUCGGAUUUAUUCAUUUGUUACUCAUGAAUUCUCUUCUUGUAUGAAAUUUGCUGAAAAUUAGAGAAUCUCAUGAUACCAACAAAAUAUCAAGUUUAUUCAACUUUUUUUCAACUUUUUUUUUUUGGGUCCAAAAAAGAAGAUGUAUUAUAAUUCCAGUAACUUACAACCGGAUGCUAGGGCGUCAGGAUAUACAAGGUCUAGCAAAAUAGAAGGUGGGAAGAUGUUCCAAUUUUGGGCCGAAUUUGUAGAAAGGUGGGCCUUAGCAACCUAGUCAGCCACAGUGUUGGCCUCUCGCUUGCAGAAACGAACCGAUAGGUUAGGGAAAAACAAAAGUAAAGCAGUUGCCUCCGCAAGAAGAGGUCGAGUCUCCCAUGGUGACGUCUCCACUCCUGUGACAACCUCAACAACGAUACUACAGUCCGAUUCUAGGACAAUCGGAGCUUGAUGAAGCUCUUGUCUCUGCAGAUGGUGAAGCGCAAAGGUGAUAGCUUGAAACUCCGCGAUUAGUGCAGAUGCAGCAGGAAAUCUCAUAGUAUAAACAUUAGUAAGUCUUCCAUACUGAUCUCUACUUAUAGUAGCCAUCGAAUCAUGUGUGCUUCUUGGUUGAAAAGAUGCAUCAACAUUGCAUUUCAAAAUACCUGGAUCCAGUGGUUUCCAAAUCCGAUGUGGGUGUUGUGGUGCUGUAGGUCUUGUCAAAAGGGCCGGGAUGCUAGCCUGAUACAGUCGAGUUUGUGUUAAGGUGUUCUCUGCUGCUAAGGUUGAGUUUAGACGAUGGCCAGGGAAGAUGAAUCCGUUCCUCAUUCUCUAAAUUUGCCAUAGAAUGUUUGCAACGAGCUCUAGACCAGGUAAGUGAUUCAAUGAAAUAACCUAUUUUGCUAACCAAACUUCUUGUCUAGUGACCGUAUGGGGCUGCACAGCAAUGUUAAUUUGUGGGUGAGCCCAAAUAGCUAUAGUCCACUGACAGAGGAGGAAUAAGUGCUCUAAAGUCUCUGGAAUGCCAUGUUGACAAAUCUAACAGAUUGGAUCAGUAAUAAUAUGUUUCUGAAAUAAGUUAUCUCGAGAUGCAAUGGUGUUUUGACAGACCGAGCACAUAAAUAUAUGAAGUUUUGGAGCUAUUCACAUAGCCCAGAUACGUUUCCACAUAAUUUUAGGAUGCUAGUAUGAUAUUGAUGCUGUAUAGUUGUUGUUGUUGUUGCUGUUGAGAUUAGACAGCACAUGAUAGUUGCUCUUUACCGAAUGUCAGCCAUCCUUAGUGGCUGUCCAGACUAGCUUAUCUUCAGCAUAAGCAGGUCUAACUGGAAUGGUUUGAAUAUCUACUAUAAACUGGUCAUCAAAAAAUCUUUGUAGCAGAGAUGUGUUCCAGCUAUUGUGGAUAAGAUCGAUGAGAUCAGCCACCAGUUUUGGUUCCUCUCUAGUGGUAGGGCCACCAAGAAUUCCUCUUGGUAACCAUCAAUCCUCGCGGAUUCUGAUUUGCCUGCCGUUACCCACUGACCAACUAACAUUAGGUAAUAUAGCAUCCCGGCCCACUAAAUACUCAGCCAUCCCCAUGACGGUCUAGCUCCUCUUAUCGCCCAUUGGAAAUCGGUGGAAUGAAAAUACAAACCCUUGAAAAUCUGACUCCAUAAAGCUUGAGGCUGUUGAAGUAGUCGACACGCUUGCUUACCAAGCAUGGCUCUAUUAAAUUCAAGAAGAUCUCGAAAUCCUAGACCUCCAUUGUCCUUACUCCUCUUUAGAAUAUCCCAUUUCUUCCAAUGUAUCCCUACUCUGUUCUAAUCGUUUUUCCACCAGAAACGAGCUAUAAUUUUUUCUAUAGAUCUGCAAAGAGACACAAGAAGUUUGAAAAUCGACAUAGCAUAGUGAGGAAUUAACUAGAUGACAUAUUUAAUGAGAACUUCCUUUCCUCCUUUUGAAUGAACUUUUCUUUCCAUCCUUCCAACUUUGAUUGUAUUCUUCCCAAGAGCCAAGAAAACAUUUCCUUUUUAGAGCGGCCCCAGUCAGACGGAUUUUUCAACUUGAUACACUACAUAUGUAGCACAAUUUACAAAAUUCCACAAAACCACUACACCAGAUUCCUGCCACACCUUUCAUUCUCUUAUCCUGAGCAAAGACAAGAACGAACAGCACUCAUCAGCCCAACAUGCUUAACUCCAAGCAUAAAGCAACUCAAAACUCAUCUUCUCUCCUUUUGAAUUUAGCACAACCAGACAUAUUUAACAUAGUACGAUGAACAAUCAAGAUAGCGAUGGGAUCUACUCAAUAAGCAUCAGGGUUUGCCAAGAGAUAAGCCUCGAUGGCCUUGAACAUCGCGGGCGCCUUCUCUUUCCAGGCCUUGAUCUUCUCCUCGGUGGUGUCCACCUCACCAAUGGUGAAGUACUUGCUCGUGUUCUUGCAUACCGAGCCUCCCUUGGGCGAUGUGGUGAUCUUCGCCUCGUAGCUAAUCUUCUCGAAGGUGGUGCCCAGCACGUCACCCUCAAUGAUCGAGUAGCUGUAGGUGAAGUUCUCCUUGUCCAGGGCCUCAACCUUGUGCUUCAUUGUCUUGUACUAACUGCCUAUCCAAGUAAGAAAAAAGUAAUAUUCACGUUUAGAACUCGCUAGUUUCAACAUCGCAAGCAACGAUUUUGAUGGCAUCAAUUGAGCCAUUUAGGUUGUUCCGACCGCAAUCCAAUACGAUUGACUUAGACAUGGCCUGAUUUCGCUCAAUCGGAAUCAAGCACAUGAUCACUUGUGAAAAAUAUUAUUAGAAACAUCUUAAUUAACCAAGUUACAUAUCUAUCUUUUUAAACAUUCAUCAUGAUGUUCCAUAAGGUUGGAACCACCUUGAUCCUGGGCAAUCCUAACAUAGACAACCUAACCUUCGCUGAAAGUGAUCAACUUGAUGGUCCCGGAACCUCCAUCGCCCUCAAGGACUUUGACACUCUUGAUGGCUUGCGGGAGCGCCUUGGGAAUGAGGUUAUCACUGUCGAGGAUAGCGGCCUUGAACAUCUUGGCCGAAGAGACUGGGGUCGUGAUCUCAGAGUCGUAACUAACGACACCCAUGAUUGGAUCCGAAUUGAGUUGCUGAAACUGAGAAAGGGGUGAUCGGGAAAGGCUGAGCAGCAGUGAUGAAGUUAGUCUCUAGGAGUCAGGACUUGCGAGUGAAGAGAAGAGGCUGAAUCGAAGCUCACAUAUAUAGAGAGAGAUUAAGGCUCCAUUCGUUUUAUGGAAAAUAAUUUCUGGAAAAAUAUUUUUCGGAUUUUCCGGCGUUUGUUUAACGGAAAAUGAAUUCCUUGGGGAAAAUGUUUUUCAUGAAAGGAAAAAAAGUGUUCUAAAUUAAGGGAAAAUUUUUUCUACUUUUGAAAAGUGGAAAACAUUUUCUUCACUUGAUCUCUCUUAUCUCACACCUCUACAAAUCCUCACUUCCUCCUCCCAUUUCUUUUUCUUCUUUUCUUUUUUUGUUCAAAUUAUUUUUUAAUUAUUUUUUUCUUUUUUAAUUCAAAUUAUUUUUAAUUUCCUUUUUCUUUUCUAUUUCUUUUCUUUUUUUUCUAUUUCUUUUUUUUUCUUUGUUUCCCAUCUUUUUCUUUCUUGACUAGUUGUUGGCCAUUGCUAGGCGAAUCUCGAGCUCAUCGAUCUCAAGCUCGGGCUCUGCACUCUUGCUUAUCAUUUUCUUUACUUAUUCUAUCCUACAGUUGUACAUUGCUCAAGUAAAGUGCUUUAUAUGCUUUGCUUCUUUUUUCUUUUGUUUAUUAGAACACAAAAGACGUAAGGGGAGAACAGGCCACUCAACUGGAAGAUUCUCAUGAGGGUUGUACGUGCUUUGCUUCUUCUCUUUUGCUUCUUUUUAAAAUUCAUACGAACAUUUUUUAGAGUAGAUGAGCAUUUGGUGAUAAUGAUGGAACAAAGAUAUGGAGUAAGUUUGUCCGAAUUUAAAGACAAGUUCAUAUUUGAUGGAUUUAUAAGUCGGUAAGUGAUGCAUGCCUAAGUGGUGAUGUCUUAGAAAAUAUUUUCCUUACCGAACACCGGAAAAUAUUUUCCAAAACAUUUUCAGGUUUUAACCGAACACCAGAAAAUAUUGUCAUUUUCCUAAAAAAAUAACUUCUGCGAAAAUAUUUUCUGGAAAUGACCCAUUUUCCGCGAAAUGAACGGACCCUAAAUAUAAAAAGGUUUUCUUAACUAGAUAUUCUCUUCUCACUUGACUGUGCGAUUAUUUCACGGAAAGUAAAUGAUUUUAAAAUAUAUAUUUUUUAAAUAAUCAUUUAUACCAUUUAAAAUAAUUAGUUAAUGGAAAAUAUUUUCACUUUUUUUUUCAUUCUUUUUUAAAACUAUACAAGCAAUCAAUUUGAGGAAACAUUUUUCAAAUUAUCCAAUUUCUGUGGAACAAAUCAAGUUAAAAAAAAAAAAACUUUAAUUGGUCUGUGAUCAAGUUCAAUCAUGUUAUGGACUUUGUUUAUAAAAUAAAAAAUGUCCAUAUGAUAACAGAAUAUUAGUCAAAGAAGGCUUCUUCCUAGAAAAAUACCAAUCAUGAUUCCAUUUCCUUUUCAUGUAUUGACUUUCUAUCCAGGGGCAUUUGCUCGGCCAAUUCUUGGAUCUUUUUUUUGGCUAGAAUUCUUAGUUCAGCUUCGCUGAUUUUUUACAGUCUUAUCAUAGUGGAAAAUCUCAAGCCCUUUUGACUACAAAUGUCGUCUGGAUUUUUAAUCGAGAUAAGACUAAAUAGGAUGGGACAUAAAAUCAAAAAAAAAAAUUGGUAUUGUUUAGUGAUUAUAGUAAUAUGGUCGGAUAAAUCCACAUCAUAUUAUAUAUAUUAUUUGGUAUAAAUGACACAUUAGUAAAAAUGAACCAUUUAUAAAUGGAAAUGGUAAAAAUCUCUCGCGAUACUCUAGCUUACUUUAUUUUAUUUGGUUUUUUUGUGGCAUUCUAAAACUUCAUGACAACCCCUAGAUAUGCUAUGAACCAUGAAUAGGUGAUGGAAGCACCAUCAAAUUAUAUUGUAGCCAUUAGACCCAUGAUUUGCAAUAAGAUUAAGGCCGAGCUUUUCAAUAGACCAUUUUUUGAUAGGAAAAUUUUAUUCUUGGUCAUACGUUUUAUAGGUUGGAUUUUAUUGAUUUAUGUUACAUAAUAUUAUGGCCAUAUGAAUUGGUAAUUAGGUGUAUACUUAGGUGAAGAUUAAAUGGGAAAAAUUAGAGAAGAGUGGGUUGAUUUUCUUAAGCCCAAGACCAGCCCCACCGUUCGGCCACUAAGGCUUGGCCUGCAAAGCCCAAAGGGCUGCUGUCGACCAAAUGGAGGAGUCGGCCCAAAGGAUGGCCCAUCAACCUACAUGAAAAUUAACAAGUGGCUAAGGGGAUUAGCCAAGUGGCAUUUGCAUGCAAUCAAAUGAUUGCUAAUCAUUGCUGAAGGAAAUAAAAGAGAGGGAGAUCGGGCGGAGUGAGCGAGGAGUACCGAGAGAGAGAGAGAGAGAGAGAGAGAGAGAGAGAGAGAGAGAGAGAGAGAGAGUUGUCAUGCGAGAGAAAGAGAGAAAGCGGGCGUGCCAGAGAGAAAGAGGAGGAAGAAAACCGUUGCUACUGAGCAUCCGCCUGGUCCCGCCGUCAAGCCCACCUUGUCCCGCCGUCGUGUUUGCUGCGAUUUUCUUUGGAUUAGAGACAAGUAGAGUCUGUUAGCCUACACUUUGCUUGCUAUGAUUGUGCUGUUGAAUGCUGGAAAUGGUUGAGUUGUGCUGUUGAAUGCUGGAAAUGGUUGAGUUGUGCUGUUGAAUGCUGGAAAUGGUUGAGUUGUGAUGUUGAAUGCUGGAAAUUCGAGUGAAUGGUGGUGGUUUUUCCAAGUGAGCUGUUGCAUGUAGGAACAAUUCAACUUUUGGUGAUUUCGUGAGCUGCAUGCAAUUUUCUAGUUGGAAUUUCACUUUGACUUCUUGAUGAAAUUUGUAGAGGACUUCUUGGAGAUUAACAUAUCAAAAUUUGAGAGAAAACAAACAAGUAUUCGUUGGUGAAACCAUUUUUCUUCAAAGAUACUAGAUCUGGAAACGUUUAUGUUGAUCUGUUGUGAUUAUGUGAAUUUUGUGCAAGUAUCCAUUCCGAAUUUGAUCUCGUGUCCUUGAUAAGAGUUGUAGAAGCCAUAUUGAGGAAUAAAAUACUAAAAUUUGAGAAGAAACGGACAAGUAUUGGUCGGUGAAAUGAUUUUUCUUCAAAAUGGUUAGAUCUGGAAAGCGUCAUUGAGGGUUAGGAAGAGUAUGGUGACUGUAGCUUUUGAUCUAUCACAAAUCUGACUUCAAUUUCUUCACGAAAAUUUUACCUCUAUGUCUCAAUUAUAACAUGUUGAAAUUUCAGAAUUUUUGGAGUUCAUUUAAGGGCUUAAUCGAAAUUAUUUCCAAAAGUGUGCAAAAAGGGGUGCUGGAAUUUCUUUUGCUGUGAUGUAUGGACCUAUGUGAUUGAUGUGAAACUUUCUUGACAUGGUGUUCUGCAUGAAAUAUUUUUCUCUAGGUCUUUUUUACAUCAUGUUAAUUUUUUAGAAUUUAUUGAGAUCGUUUACUAAUUUUUCCAGAAUUUUUAUUAAAGAAGUGCAUUCUGCUUUAUCCGAAAAUUGUCCUAUUUUGAAAAACAAAUGAAUUGCUCUAUGAAAUAUGAUGUCUUUUGUGGUUAUUCAUGCUGCAUAUGUGGUGACAUUUGGCAUAUCAUAUGACAUCAAAAGGCAAGUUUGGACCUCGAAUAUUAUUGCAUCAAAUGCUUAUUUGAAAAUGAGAUAUAUAUAUAUAUAUGUGUGUGUGUGUGUGUGUGUGUGUGUGUGUGUGUGUGUGUGUGUGUGUGUGAAUAUACAUUGUGGUGGUAAUGAUACUGUCGGAGGUGUGAGCCGACGAUGCCCCGGGAAUGUUAGGAUGCCCAAAGGUUCGAAUGAGUCGAUGCCCUUUGGAUGCCUGGUUGUAUUAUGAAUACAUGCCCAGAGGGUCCUCGGGAGUUUCGAGAUGCCUGGUGGUAUACGGUACGUAAUUCUAGGGGGAUACCUGGUGGUAUGUUGGUACGUAAUUUCAGAAACCCUGGAGGUGUGUGCCGGGGGGAUUCCUCGUGAUACUUGUUGGAGUGCGAGAUGCCCGAAGGUUUGUGCCAGAGAUUCCUCGCGAUGCCAGGUUGGAUGCGAGCGAUAAAUGAGGGAUGCAAGCAGUGGUCCCUGGGAGAAUGAUGAGAUCCUUUUGAAUAUCAAAAUAAGAAUUGAAUCAUGCAUGUGUGUGUGUGCAUAUGGCAUGUGCUAUAAUUGCCUGUGAAAUUGAGUUGAUACUAUUUGGCAUCGAAUGGAUCUCAUGAGGAUAUAUACAUGAUUAUGUGGAUGACAUGAAUUAUGCGUAUGGGUAUGUGCAUAUGGCAUGAGAUAUAAUUGUCCAUGAACUUGAAUUGGUAUUGCUUGGCAUGGGAAAUAUGACUAGUAAGGUUGUGAAUGAAUCUCAUGGACAUAUAUGCAUGAUGGCAUGGAUGAUAUAUGCAUGUCGCAUGAAAUUGUGUUGUCUUGCCUAAUGCAUUGUGUAGUUUGAUGGAUCUUUACUGCUGAGUGGUUGUACUCACCCCUUUGGGGACCAACAUUUCAGAUUGAGUGAUGCCUCUAGCACCUGUCACGCGUGGUACAUUCUAUGGUAUAUCAUCUUAUGUUGAGGUCGAGUGCACAGAACACCCCUGCGUCGGUGUUCAUGGUCUGAUGUUUAUCCGCGUCUAUGUCUUGGUCAUAUAUGAUGUGAGCCUACCUGAUGGCCUUGUAGUACAGGAGUUUCUAUCCAUCCAUGUUCGUCGAGAUAGGAGGAUGAUAGCGAUGCUGCCGCCGCCACCGGCCGAUGCAUCAGGAUGGGUGUAAUAGGAGUGUAUGACUGGUGGAGGUUGAUACUUUUUGGGAUGGCUGCACUAACUUAUGGAUAGAUGUACAUGUAUGAUGUAUAGUCGGGUUCUUUUGGGUUUAGCUGAGCUUAGUUAAAGUCUUGGCGUUUUGUUGUACCGACUUGUGAAAUCCAUCUUAGUUAUGUAAAUAAAAGUGAUUCGGCCCUAAAGUAUAUAUAUAUAUGAAAGGUUGUAGUUGGUGUGUAUUGCAUUGUAUUAUUUAGUUUGUGUAUGGGUUAGGGAGAUGAUGAGUAUGCUACCGUUAUAUGAACUGCGCUGGGACUGAUUAAGGUGAUACGAACCCCCAAGGAUUUAUGGACUCACUACAAUUGAAAUGGUAUUAGAGUAGCAUGUUAUUAGGACAAGUGAAAAGUAAGCACACUAUGGCAACCCUAGCAGAUCGGGGGUCAUGUCGAGGGGUGCCACAUUUUUAUUUUAUUUUCCCCUCUUUUAUUAAUUAAUUUCUUUUUUAUUUUUUCCCCUCCCAUCAUCCUCUAAUAAAAUUUUAUUAAAUAGUAGAUUGUACUAAUAUAAUCAAAAUACUAAUAUAUUGAAGUUAUUUUAUAAAAAAGUAAUUAAAUUCGAAUAUAUGAAAAUAAAAAUAAGAUUAAAUUAUAAUAAUUAAUUCAUUAUUUUUUUUUGUUUUUUGAAUUUCUUAUAUUAGAAUUCAAAUAUUAUUUAUAUUGAGAUAUAAUUUUAAGUUUGUUAAUUUAAAAAAAUUUCCUUCGGUUCAAUGUGCAAUGUAAUCCAUGAACUUUUAAUUUGUUCAAUAUGAUCCAUAUAUUUUUUAUACAUGUUUAAUGUUGUCUUUAAGUGGUAUGUAAAUGUUCAAUAUAGUCUUUUAUUAAUUCAAAAUCAGGGUGAACAUUUUCAUAUAAUCUAGUGACUAAAUUGAAUAUAUACAAAAAAAUCAAAUAUUACAUUAAACAAAUUAAAAGUUUAAGAACCGCAUUGCACAUUGAGUUAAAAUUGAUAGAUCAUAUUAAAUAAAUUAAAAUUUUAGAGAUCACAUUAUACAUUAAGUUAAAAUUCAUGAAUUAUUUGUAUCAUUUUUCCAUAUGAAAAAGCUUACACAAAAAGUCCCGACACAUGGACAUCAACCCUCCAUAAAUUUCGCCCAUAAAGUAACUCCCGCUUAAUUGCAUGUGAUAGAAAAGCAAAUCGUUCCAUUUGCCUCAGGAGCAUCUCUCCUCCCAUGGAGAGCUAAACCCCUCAAAACCCAAUAAAUUGCCUGUACAACAAAUGAUUCACUUUAGGAUUAAAUUUUAUUUCAAUCACCCCCUUCUUUUGCUAAAGCAACAUAAAGCUUCUGCAAACCCUUUUUAUUUUUUUAUUUUUUAUUUUUUUUGAAUUUUAACUUUGUCUUCAUGAACUACGGGGAGAGGGAGGGAAGCUUUGGCCAUUUUCCUUAGAUGCAUCUCUCCUUUGUUCAGCCUCCAACCUUUUGCGACCCUCUCCAUGCAUUGAAUGCUCUUUCAUGUUAUUGUUGUGAUAUUAUCUUGUUCCUAGUUUUGUCUGGUUAUCAAAAGCAAAUUGAAAACUAUGAUGGGUCUCUUGUUUCUAAUUGGGAAUUAUCCCCAAACAAAUCCAUUUUUCCUCGGCCAAAAGGUUAAUUAAUCGUUUGCAUGAAAUGAUUCCAGAAGGAUAUUGCAAUAUAAGCAUAUAUAUGUUACCUUUUCCCCAUUGUAAGCAAGAACUUAAUACAUGUUUUUCUUGAUCAAAUCUAGCCUAUCUCUAGUUUCUUUUUCAAAUGCUUUUCUUAGAAUAGGCCUUUUGUGUAAUACUGGCCUUUAGUGGGACCAAAAAACACAAGGAAAAAAGGGGUUGAAAAGUGAAAAGAAAAAAAUUAAGUGGAUGCUUAAGCUUAUAAAGAAAAUCAAAGAGGAAAAGAAAAGAAAGAAAAAGAAAGAAAGGGGAAAAGAGAAAGAGCUUUGUGUGUACAUGCUAUGGGAGCCUCACUAGGCUGGAGUUACUUUGAUUUGCAAUGUAUGGUAAGUGCUUGCACCUCUUAUUCUUCUAAUCAUAGUAGUUUUUGGAGUUAUGUCGUAGUUUUGGGAAUUAUGUCAUAUAUUCAAAGUUUUGUGAAAAUCAAGUUGCGAAAUCUGAUUAUUGAGUUGUUGAGUUAUGAGAUUUCAUGAAAAUGGUGGGUUAUGGUUUCGUGAAGCCAUAGGGUUUGUCGAGAGUUGUUUUUGAGUGAUAGUUUAUUUGGAGUGAGAAUCUUAGGAUUUCACAUUCACAUUCCACAUUGUGAACGGCUUAAAUAAUCACUUCAAUGAGCGAUUUAUUAGUGCGUAGAAGUUGUUUUGUUCGUGUUUAGAUGUAGUUUAGCCAUUUUGUAGUUGAGGUAGAGUAUUACUUAGUUUUAAUGUUGAUUCUCGUUUAAUUGAUAGAAUUAUAAAAUCAUCAACCCGUUUAGCUACACGUUGGUUGAUUUGGGCAUUCAUAUGUGAGUUGUGCUAUCUCUUCUUUGAAUUAGUAAACUCAUUUCUUAAAAAUUAUAGAAAUUUGAUAUAUUAUAAGUUAUUACAAUUUGAUAUUUGUAAAUGGUUUGCCAAAUUUUUUUGGAAAGUUGUUGAGAAAGGUUAUAUGUAUAUGUAUGGGUUGAUUUGAAAAUAUGGCUUAUGAAGUGGAUUCUGAAAUGAUUUGUGAAACGUAUUAUGAUUUAUAAAAUGGAUUCCGAAAUGGUUUGAGAAAUGCCUCAUAAAAUGUAUUAUGUUUGAUGAAUGGAGUUGAGAGAAAGAUUAUAUGUUUGGUUUGUGAAACCGUUUUGUGAUAUUGAUUCCAAAUUAGCUUGUGAAUUGUGAAGGAUACUGUUGUGAAUUUGUGUUGGUACUUAAUAUCGCUAUGAGCCCAAUAAGGGGUUUGUAGGUAUGCAUACUAGUUAGGAUAUUCUUGUGAGCUAGCUACCGUCAAUAUAAGUGGAAACCUUGCCAACGGUGAGCUUGGUUACCUUGUCAUGGAGCAUUAUGCAUGUCGUGGUAGAUAUUUAAGUAGGGGUCUGGCCAAUGGAUGGACUAUUGACAUGUGACUUGAUAUUAGUUGAUAUAAUGGACCAUUGACAUGGUUUUUUUUUUUUAGAUUGAUUAAUGGACUUAAACAUGGACUUAACCAUUGAUGUUUGUCAUAAUGAUAUUGAUUUAAGGAGUAUUUUUUUUUAUAUGUAUAUAGUUAUGUUAAAAUGAUAGAACUCAUCUUUAUCUUAUAUGUGUAUUAUGUUAUGAAAUUGAGAUAAAUGAGUUUUAAUAUUAUUUUGUAAAGUACAUAGUGGAUACUCGAUCUACUUAGAAGAUAUGAGUACUACUCAUUAUGCUGUGAUUACUCAUUCCAUUCAUCUUUCAUGCUUUUCAAGUCUCCAAUUAGUGGCUAUUAGAGCGAGAGUGUUAUUCAGGAGAUUUUUGAAGUUGACUUUUGACACACCUCGAACCUCCGAGCAUGUGCACAUCCCACUUUGGUCGAUAGAAAUGUGACUUCCUAGGACACAUUGCCAACCCAUUUAUUUUAUUACGCAUGCGGAAGCGAAACAAAUCCCUUGACAACAUUUAACUUGGGAUAGAAAAUCAAGCAAUCAAUCACAACCAAUCAAGCUUUCUUAUAAACACAUAGGUUUAUAUACAACACUGGAUUGUCUACAAAAUAGACCGGCUCAACAAAAAGGGGACUGUCUUAACAUCCACUAGUCAAACCCAUUUGCCGAUUCUUUAGCCUCCACUUUCCGAACUCCAGGACUUCCGGUCCUCCACGAUCAUCAUGUAGGGACCUAAAAUAUUGUCCCACAACCGGAAUGAAAUGAUAUCUCAACGAGUCCUACCCUCUAAGACCCAAUUAGGAAGAAAAUACGCCUCAGGGCGCUCUAGCCACACAAAUAGGAUGGAGUACUUACCUCGCCUCAGUCCUUUCCUGCGUGUCAGUACAAUUCAAUUCUCAAUCACACAAUUGAGCCAACGAUUCAAUUCAAUCAUACUAUCUAUCUUUCCAUUUCAAGCCGUACUAUCUAUCUUUCCAUUUCAAUCCGUACUAUCUAUCAACCAUUAUUAUCUAUCAUUCAAUACCGUCUAUCAAACUAGUUGUUAAUACGACACAUGCUCUCCAAAGCUGUAAUAUAUAGACGGUAACUCACUCAAGUUGUAUAGAUAAAUAAUAGCUCGUCCAAGCUGUAUAGAUAGAUAAUAGCUUGCCCAAGCUGUAGAUAGAUAAUAGCUUGCCCAAGCUGUAGAUAGAUAAAUUGUGCUCGCACAAGCUGAUAAAACGAUCUUAGCUCACACAAGCUGAUACAUAUAUAUAAACUAAUGCUUGCCAAAGCUAUUCAUUCAAUAAUAAGCCAAUCCAUACUUCAAUUAAAUCAAUCAUCAAUCCAAUCAAUUCAAACUGGUCACACAAACCAAUUACGGUGCUAAAAGCCAACACCGGGUAUUUUCAAGUUAAAUACCAAAACUUCUCUAAUAUUCACACAAUCCCACACUUUUGGAAUUAUUAACCAUAAUCAUCAAUCACUCAAUUUUUCAAUUUAAACAUACAAUUAGCACAAACUGACCACACCAAUGCGAUCAGCGCGAAAUUCUAACGACCGACCAUUCUGGCAAAUUUUUUGAAAUUAUUAAAUAAUUAAAUAUUAAAUUAUAAUAAUAUAAUUUAAUAAAAUAAUAUUUAUAAAUUCGAAAUAAAUAAAUAAUUAAAAAUAAUUAAUUAGGGCUUAAACAAGAUUAUACUAAUUUAAUCAUACAAUUAGCCAUAAUUAAACAUCCAUUAAACUAAUCAUAUAACUAAUCUAAUUUACAUUAAAAUAAUAUAAUCUAACCACCUAAACCUAAUUAGACUAAUCUAAACACCUCUUAAGCAUAAUUAACUUACUAAGCAGGGAUUAGAGGAUAAACUCACCGGUUUUGCGCGCCAGUGAGUUCACGACGACCACAACGCCAAGGCGGUCGAUAAACCCCGAAGCGGCAACACCAACGGAGGUCGGGAAGGGCUUGAAAACGGGCCACGAAGUCUCCAAAACCUUUAUGUCUUCUACUUCUGAUCUGGGUUGAACUACAGAGAAGAAAACAACAACUUCAAUGGCGAAAACGGACUAAUCUGAGCUCCGACGAGCAGGUGGUUGGAAACCGGUGGCUCCCGGAGGUCAAGGGAAUCUUAUUGGAGGUUGGGAUGGGCGAAGGAAGGAUCGGAAUGAGAGAAAAAUGGCCGAAAACGUGAAACAGUGCAGGCUGCAGGCAGACCGAUGGAUUGGCGACCGGUUCCUUCCUGGCGGCGCCCAUACCGUCCAGCGGCUCCGUUUGGAACGAAAUUGGGCUCGUUGGAACGGUCUGUCUCUCCUGGUCACAGUGAUAGGUGACUCGUAGGCUGAUUCAUCCGGGAAGACCACUUUUGACUCGAUUCUUCACUGAAGGGUUAGCUAGAGCAGAAAUUGAAGGAGAGGGAAAACGAGGAGAGAGAGAGCUCCGUUCGAGGGAGGCCGAAUGGGGGAGAGAGAGAGUGAAGAAGUGAGGGCUGUCAAGACCCCCAUCAAUUCUUGCUUCAAGUCCCCAUGCCAAGCCAUCAUCAUUUUCUCUCUCUUCUCUAGCCUUUUCUCCCUACAACUAGGGGUAUUUUGCUCAUUUCACCUUGCAAAAAUUACAAAUCUGACCUUGGGCUGAAAUUGGUGGAUGGGCCUAAGGAUUGGGCUUGGCCAUGAAUAGGAAUGGGCUUGGGAAUUUGUUGGGCUUGAAAUGGAUAAGAAUUGGCCCAUGGGCUUAGAAGAUAAAUAGUAGGUUUUGCCCAAUGGGCUUAUUUGCUUGACUUAAGCCCAUUAAGGUGGCUGUCCAACUUUGGGCCUAGGGCCCACACUGGCUUGGCCCGACCCACGACCUCACGAGCUCACUUCCUCAGUCCAAAAAUCCAUUUUCCAAUUGCUCGACUUAAUUGGCUCCAUUGACGGUUUAAUGUAGCUUCAUCCAAAGUCCGUCCCAGACAUUCCCGAUAAUUCAAAGUCCAAUCCUAAGUUCUCUUGCCAUGUCAAUUUCGCAAAAUGUCAUUUCGGUUACAACUCAAACUAACGAGUGGCUGUGAGGAUUCACGCGUGACCGACUCGUGCCAAACCACGUUCAAGACAUCUCGACGCAUGGACGUCUUUGACUGUAUGAAAUUAUGGAGGAUAGAUUCUUAUUUCAAAAUACACGAUUACUGAGGAUUAACAUAAGGUCGUUCGUGGAUUCAAUAACAGUAAAUGGAAUCACCCGUCGUUCCAUUAUGUUCUAUCCGCGAAUCAACUUUUAGUUGUCCUUAGAAUCGGCCUGCCUAUCUACAGGAUCGUCCUCACGUAAAUCUCACGGUCAAGUCGUUUUCCCAGGUCGAGUCCUUUAGUCGUACGAGUUAUGUCCUCAUUAGUCUUUCCCCUCAAGGUUAGUAUCUCAAGAGUGAUCAAUUCCGAGUGAGAUCAACUAACAAUGCAUUGACGAAAUUCACCUUCACUCAUCUCUCAGAGGGCUCGAAUUUCAGGAUGUCACAACUUUUGGGUAGAUAGAGGCUACAUCGUUCAGGUGGAAAGAUAGCCGUCCUAUUCCCUUUUUUGCUAGAAUUCGAGGUGUGAUAUUUUGUUUUUUCAAGUUUAGAAUCAGUUUGAUCGAGUGUCCUUUCCAUUUGAAUUGGUGGCCAUCUUAUCAAAAAGUUAUUCUACAAGUGUGAACUCAACCACAAAUUUGGGCCCCAAAAUCUGGGUUAGGAUAAAUUUCUAUGGUUUCAUGUAUACAAUGUUUUCCAUGUACUUCUCUUGAAUGCUAAAACUAACGUAAGCAACGAGUGUAAUUGGGGUAGGAUCGUUACAUACAUUGUUUGUGAUGUCUAAUAUGAUGAAAUCAUUUCUGAAUUCACACACUUUUAAGUUUGAUAUCUUUUAUAAAAAAAAAAAAAGGACCGCUGCUAAUGCAAAGUCGGUCUAUAAAUAUCUUAAGUUGCCUUUAUAUAUGUCGAUUUCAAUGAAUUGUAAAAGAGGUACAAGGGAAAGGGGUAACUAUGUGUGGCACCCCCGACAUGGCCCCUGAAUCGUUAGGAUCGCCACAAUUCAAUUACCAUUCUCUUGCUUGGUCUUCAAUCCUGGGGGUUUACAUCAUUUAGAUCGGUCCCUGCGCAAUUUAUAUGGUGGAAGCGUAUCCAACAACUCCCUUCCCUAUAUUCAGAAAACGAUGCACACCCACUAAACAUUUAUAGGUAAAAGCCGAAUACUUUUAUUUACUUAAACCAAAUGGACAUUAGUCAAUGAUACAUCAAAAUGCCAUAGUCUUUUAUACUCGACUAUACUUCAAAAGAUGACCGACAUCUCAUCCAACAGUCGUAUACUUAAAGUCCAUCGAUUAGUGUCGGCGUCCAAAAGUUCCUUCAUUUGCUAUCCUCCUCCCCACGGUCAUAUCAAACCACUCGAUCCAUCUACCUGUGGCAAUGGCAGCAGAGGUAUCUUAUCUAGUCUGAAAUGUUAGUCCCAAAACGGGGUGAGUACAACCACUCAGCAGUAAAGAUUCAUCAAACUACACAAUGCAACAAGCAAGACAACCACAAUUCAUGCGAAAUGCACAUAUCAUUCAUGCCAUUAUACAUAUAUGUCCAUGAGAUUCAUUUACGACCUUACUAAUCAUAUUUCCCAUGCCAAGCAAUACCAAUUCAAGUUCAUGGACAAUUAUAUCUCAUGCCAUAUGCACAUACCCAUACGCAUGAUUCAUAUCAUCCACACAAUCAUGUAUAUAUCCUCAUGAGAUCCAUUAAAUGCCAUCAUGAUCGCAUUCUCAAUGCCAAAUAGUAUCAACUCAAUUUUAUAGGCAAUUAUAUCACAUGCCAUAUGCACACACACACGUGCAUGAUUCAAUUCCCAUUUUGAUAUUCAAAAGGAUCUCAUCAUUCUCCCAAGGACCAGUGUUUGCAUCCCUCAUAUAUCGCUCGCAUCCAACCUGACAUUGCAAGGAACCUCCGGCACAAACCUUCGGGCAUCCGGCACAAACCUCCGAACAUCUUGCAUCCCACUUGGCAUCACGAGGAAUCCCCCCGGCACACACCUCCAGGGCUUCCAGAAUUACGUACCGACAUACCACCAGGCACCCCUUAGAAUUACGUACCAUAUACCACCGGGCAUCUCAAAACUCCCAAGGAUCCUCUGGGCAUGUAUUCAUAAUACAACCAGGCAUCCACAGGGCAUCGACUAAUUUGAACCUUUGGGCAUCCUGACACUCUCGGGGCAUCGUCGGCUCACACCUCCAACGGUAUCAUCAUUACCACAAUGUAUAUUCACACACACACACACACACACACACACACACACACACACACACACACAUAUAUAUAUAUAUAUAUCAUUUUCAAAUCAGCAUUUGAUGCAAUAAUAUUCGAGGUCCAAACCAGCCUUUUGAUGUUAUAUGAUAUACCAAAUGUCACCACAUAUGCAGCAUAAAUAACCACUCAAGACAUCAUAUUUCAUAGAGUAAUUCAUUUGUUUUUCAAAAUAGGACAAUUUUCGGAUAAAGCAGAAUGCACUUCUUUAAUAAAAAUUCUGGAAAAAUUAGUAAACGAUCUCAAUAAAUUAUGAAAAUUUAACAUGAUAUAAAAAAGACUAGAGAAAGAGAUUUCAUGAAGAACACCCUGUCAAGAAAGUUUCACAUCAAUCACAUAGGUCCAUACAUCACAGCAAAAAAAAAUUCCAGCACUCCUUUUUGCACAGUUUCGGAAAUAAUUUCGAUUAAGCCCUUAAUGAACUCCAAAAAUUCUGAGAUUUUAAAAUGUUAUAAUUGAGACAUAGAGGUAAAAAAAUUUUGAAGAAAUCAAAGUCAGAUUCGUGAUAGAUCAAAAGCUACAGUCACUCUUCCUAACCCUUAGUGACGCUUUCCAAAUCUAACAAUUUCAAAGAAAAAUCAUUUCACCAACCAAUAUUUGUCCAUUCCUUCUCAAAUUUUAGUAUGUUAUUCCUCAAGAUGUCGUCUACAACUAUUAUCAAGGACACAAGAUCAAAUUCGGACUGGAUACUUACACAAAAUUCACAUAAUCACAACGGAUCAACAUAACAGUUUCCAAAUCGAGUAUCUUUGAAGAAAAAUGGUUUCACCAACGAAUACUUGUCCGUUUUCUCUCAAUUUUGAUAUGUUAAUCUCCAAGAAGUCCUCUACAACUUUCAUCGAGAAUUUGAAGUGAGAUUCCAAUUAUAAAAUCGCAUGCAGCUCACGAAAUCACCAAAAGUCGGACUGUUCCUACAUGCAACAGCUCACUUGGAAAAACCACCACCAUUCACUCGAAUUUUCAGCAUUCAACAUCACAACUCAAGCAUUUCCAGCAUUCAACAUCACAAUCACAGCAAGCAAAGUGUAGGCUAACAGACUCUACUUGCCUUAAAUCCAACGCAACCACAACAAGCAAAACGGAGGACUCAGUAGGGGUGUGCAUGGUCCGGGGCGGGCGGGUCCCGGACUAGAAACCGGGAACCGCCCGCUAAGGACCGGUUCCGAAAAAUUGGAACCGGGAUCCACCCGUUUGUUGCAUGGAUCCACCCGGGAACCGGACCGCCGGUCCGGUCCGGUUCCCGGGUGGAUCCAUGGAUCCGGUCUCACUAACAACGAGAUGAAAAUUUUAAGCUAAGGAAAUCUCAACAUCAAAAGAGAUGACAUAAUUGAUCUCAAUUCUCAAUUGCAUAGCAAGCAUCAUCAAAGCAAGCCAAAAAUUUUCAGCUCCCUAGUUAAACAUCUUCGAUGAACGAUUUAGCAACAAGUUUUCCAUAGCAUAAAUGAGAAUAUCAUACUUACAUUACCUGAUGGACAUUAUAACUAGACUGAUCCAAAGUCAGGAGGAUAAUAUACAACUAACAGCAAGAGAUGCAAAAGAAUGGCAAAAGUGAAUCUUACAAGUGAGGUGAUCAUCUUUCCUCUCACUCCAGCACUUCAAGUAUCAUGUUGGCAAGACUAGGACUCUCAUAAGAAGAGAUCUUUAAGUAGGGAAACAGAAGUGCAUCGACAGCUUAUCCGAUGUCAUGGAAGCCGGACAAGCUUGUUGACAGCAGAAUCUAAAGCAUCAACAUUCCUCCUCAGAAUUUUUCUGAAGCAAUGUCAAGGAAAACACAAAUGAUAGCACAAACCUUUAAUUCAACUGGGGAAAAAAAAAACGAAACUGUGUGGCUUUUACUUUCGAAAGAAUGGGCGUCGCUCGUUUGUAAGAAGUAAAAUGAUGCUUUUCGAUAAAUUUCUAAGUUCACAGGACAAAAAUGUGUUCAGGACAAACACUGCAGCAACGAUAAAGACUUUUUCCAUCUAGUCAAGGAUACAAUUGUGUCGAUGAACAAAUCAAUGAAAGCGGAGUUGGUCCUGCCCCAUCACAUACAGAGUUUGGCUCGCCUCUUGAAGUAACCCCACUUUUCGGAUCAUUAGCAGCAGGAAUUCCCAGCCCAAAGUUUUCAGAGAGUGUAAGUAAUCUGAUCAACCUAAUUAUGUUAAAGGCACGAACUUAGCAGUCCCAUCUUUUUUUUUACUUUCUAAAAGAACAAUGAGCAUCAUACAUCUACAUACAUGUCAUACUAAUGUACAAAUCCUGAUCCAGAAAGAGUAAGUGAUGGUUUCCAGUUUUCCAACCUAGCCAAGAAAACGAUGAAUCUCUUAAAGUUGUACCAAUUGGCCAGACUAUCUCAUUAAUCAUUGAACGAUCAAGCCAAAACUAUUUAGCGCCAAAGAGAAGAAAAAAAAAGCCAGAAAAUUCAGCGCAAUCAUAGAAGCGCCUAACGAAAUGCAAAAACAACGAGGGGAAAAGGAAGGCCGAGUGCAAGAGGGAAGGCCGCAGGCGAGGCGAGGCGACCGACGGACCAAGAGCGAGAUUAGGGGAGAGUUUUUUGAGAGGGCUAGGGUUUUGUCCAUCAAUAUGCGUGAGGAAAGGGGAGGAUUGCGAAAACGCGAGACGCAAGUUCAACUAAAGAAGCGCAAAGCAACAGAGGAAGCAGAGGUAGCAAGCAAGCAAGCAAGCAAGAAGAGAGAAACGCUGCGGGAAUUAGCGAGCAAUUGAGAGGAAGAAGCGAACCUGCAUCAGAGCCUCGACGCGGGAGCGAAGAACGAGAGAAAACGAGGGGACGGACAGCAGAGGCAGAGGAGCAGCGGCUGUGGCGACCGGCUCGAGGGGGUGGACAGCGGCGGAGGAGGAGCGGCGGUGGCGGCGUCGACGCAAGGGGAGGAAUCGAAGAUGAAGAGAAGAGAUUGAGGAAGAGAGAGAGAGAGAGAGAAUCGAAGAUGAUGAAACCGCAGAGGAAGAGACGAGACGCGGACUUAGGGUUUCUUUCUUUUAGUUUUUUUUUUUAAUAUUAAAAAGUGCCGGUCCGGUCCGGGUGGGCGGGCGGGUGGAUCCGCCCAUGGAACCGGGAACCGGACCGGUUCCCCCCGGUUCCCAAAAAUUGGAACCGGGAACCGGACCGGUUCCCUCGAGAACCCCCGGUUCCGAGUGGUUCCGGUCCGGUUCCGGGCGGUUCGGGCGGUUCCCGGGUAUUUUGCACACCCCUAGGACUCAGGGUUUCGGAUGUGGCUCGGCGACGGCGGACUCGAGCAGCAUCGACGGUGGCAGCUCGGACCCGGCACGGGCGGAGGGUGGCCUUCCUUUUCUGCCCUCACACCCACGGACCCCUCGCUGCUCCCCCUUUCUUUUUAACUUUCCCUCGAAUUUUUUUUUUCCCUCACACUUGCUCCCCCCCCCCCCCCCUCCCCCCUCACUCUCUCGGCCUCACUCUCCUUUUAUCGAAAGUUUUUGCUUUUCUUUGAUUAACUAAUUCACUAAUUUUACAUGCAGGUGACAAGUGUUCUCAUGGAAAGGACAAGUAGAAGAUGCAUGGACAAGUGGCUUCAAAUAAUGAACAAGUGGAGGCAAUUCAAGGACAAGUGUUGAAUGGCAUCCCCUUCUCGCGAGCCCUCUCUCUCUGUCCGAAUUCUUUUCUCUCUGGUUAGUACAAGUGAGCUGAUUAGUCGCUGGUUUUUCACCAAAACCAGUCAACUAAGAGAACAUUUUUCCAUGGUUUGGCUGCAUGAAGGGCAGCUGGAUCCGUACGUGUCCAGCAUGCUUCUCUUCCUUCGACACUUGCUCCUCUCUUGCAACGUGUCUUCAGCCAUUUAACUAAUUCUUUUCUUAAUCCCAAUUUGCUGGCCGACCGCGAGAAAGCAACGUGGCAUCAAUGGUCAGAAAUUUUCCUCUCAUAGUUGGCUAGGGUGUCGACCAAAUGGAGAGAGGUUGGGGCAGCCUUGGGCGCGGACGAUUCCUCCUUUUCCGCAUGGGUGUGCAUGUCCCUCAUGCACGGCUGAAUUCUAUUUCUUCGGCUCAGAAUUUUAAUUAAUAGAAGUCCAAAAUUUCCCUCUCAUUUUGUAUACAUUUUGGUGGUACAAUUGUGUAGCGUCAUCAAAGCAAUUUGCACAACUCAAUAAGGUUGAAUGUAGUACUAACGAUGAUGAAUUCCAAUAGUAGCUUCGUCAAUCCAUGACGUUUCAAAAUAUGGGUGAGAUUGAUCUCACUAAUAACCUUAUGUAAAGAGCCUUUUGACAAUACUCUAGUCUAUCCCACAAUCGGACUAUUUUCUAAACAUGAGGUAUCGGUCCAUUAAAUUGCUCGGCCUUAAUUAAAUUAAAAUCUAUUAGCCAAAGACCAUAACAUAGUCCGAUGACGCUUCCAUCACCUAUUCAUGGUUCAUGGUAUGUCUAGGGGUUGCUAUGAAAUUCUAGGAUGCCACACUAUGGCUAGAGUUCUGUAGUCUCUGGUUCUAAGAAAAAUCCUGUCAAAUCUUUUCUCUAGGUGUAGGUGUCGUCGACAAUGAAAUGGAAGAAUUGCAUUGGUUUCUUUUUUGCUUCUUCUAAAAUAUUUUACUUCUCAAACUCUCCAUAGAGCUUCAUGCUUUUUACUAUUCUUAGGUUAUGGUUGCCUGAUGGUAUGAUUUAUAUAAUUAUGCUUCCCUUGUAGACUGCAAAAGUUAUAGGGGCGGCCAUCCAACCAUUACUACAGUCAGUUGGUCGGCUGCAGCUUGUUGUCGCUCGGGUUCAGGCCCUUUAUAUCUCUGCUUCAGAUAUUUUUGAGCUUGACAGUCUCUAAAAUUGGUAAACGUUGUCUUCCAACAGAUUGACAAGGCCACGCAUGAUCAAACUAGAGAUUCUCUUCACGAGCGUCAAGCUGAUGAAAGUGAUGAUGAGGACGAAGACAUCGAUCAUGUCUUUUACAGGGAUGAGGAUGAAUCUGGACAAACUAGCGAUGAUACAAAUGAUGACGAGAAGCUCUAAAUUUUAAGAGUUAGUCAACCUUGCUGGUGUGAAAUUUGAUUUGUCGUGUUGCAUCUUCAUAAACUAUGGAUUGUUGGGGUAAUUAGUGGGUAAAAAAGUAGGUGAAGGCUAUAAGACUAUUUUCUCUGAUUCCAUUUUCAGGUUAAGUCUUAUAUUCCACUGCGAGAAGUGAGUUCCAUACAGCUUCUUGUAGAUAGACUAUUUUGAUAUUUCGACUAAGAACCAGUUAAACAUGAUCCCCUCGGAGAAAUUCAUACAUAUGCUGCCAAUUUCGCGCCCUCCACAAAUUUUAUGAUUCCGAUUGCAUGUGCUGGUCUCAAGCAAUCACCCCGACGACAGAGACCACCAUAGACUAGCCGUUAUGGUAGCGGUGGUUGCCCUGCAGCGGAUUAUGGCAUCUCUAUGUAUACUUUUCCUGAAAAUUGUUUAUUCAAUUAUACAAUCAUAUCCUCCGUUUAUCAAACACUCUGUAUCUGGCCUUGUAUCCGGUGUGUUCGCAUACAAGGAAUUUGAUACCAAAAAUCCGCAGGACUUCUUGUUCGAUCUUAAUGUAUCCCUUUCGACUUUAUUUCUUAGCGACCAGAUGCGGCGGAAGAGUAGAACAUGACAUUUUACCCUCGACGAGUUGACAGAGCACAUGUCGCAUUCUUUAGAUAUAAUUCCAAAAUCUGAAACCCAGAAACUUUAGAUGACCAUCUCACUGACCCGGGAUGCUUUAGAUGUCCUCACUUGGAUUGCACCGCACGGCAACCUAAAAAUCGUUCUGGCAUUUUAACAUCAUAUGCUGUAUGCUGGAUAUAAUUAUCAAAGGUACUAAAUCCAAUAAUUAUGUAAAGCGAAGUCAGCUAAAAGCCAAGAGAUCGCUAUUGAGACAUCUGACAACAUUAAAAUGAUAGGAUAGUUUCACACAGAAAACAUGGAAUAUGACACAUAGAAUUCCAAGUUCGUUCGGGUAAGAAACAACGAAAAGCAAAGCGAGUUCAAAAGGAGAAGCGAAAAUGGUUGCUGUAUUUGGUUUUAAAUGAUUCGUUCGAUUUUGCAGGGUUUCAAUACGUCCCGAUCCAAAUUAAGCUGUAUAUGUAUCAUGAAACUCAAAGGGGGACACACGCAACUAUUGAGACCGAAAGAAAAGAAAGAAAACGGGGGGCCGCACGCUACAAUAAUCACUCAAUUGAGGACCACAUCGGACCAAAGUUUAUUCGGACAACACUUCAUAUGGGCAUGCGAACGAAGCAAGUACAGCCAAUUUACGAUACAUUUCCCAGAACCAUCAUCACAUUCGCCUAAGACACGAGCAGUCCUCUGUCACAGGGUGACAUCUCCUUGGCGGAGCGCUUCCUGGAACAGGACUGGGUUUCAGGGACUUCGCCUCCGCAUGAGCCUGGAUGGCCCUGAACAUCACGGACGCCUUCU